GAAGCAUAGCAACAUAUGCCUAUGAGUGGCAUUCAUGCUAUCAUUUUAGGCUUGUCCAGCUCCUUCCAUCUUAGCAAGCACUUCCAUUUCUACCAUCUUAGCAGCAACUGUCAAAUUGAGAUACGGAAAUCCCAUUAGCGCAUGAGUUAAUUUUGCAGUGGAAAUAGAGUACAAGAUGUCUUCAUGAUGUAAGUAAUAUGCCUGAAGUUGUGAGAUGGGAAGUGAAGUCAACAAAUUACAUUAAUGGAAAUGCAUGGAAGGCCACACAUACGUAUUAGUCCAUGAUAUGCUACAAAGCUUGUAUGUACAUAUAGCAAAUUAAAUGCAUUAAUUGAAUAGAGUGUGUUUAGUGAAUUUACCAGAAUCGUCCAGAAAACAUGGGAAACAGCAAGUGUUCUUGCAGACUGCGUCGGAGGCACCCGCACGAAUACAAAGCUGACAACAUAGUUUUGCCUGGGCGGAUGCGCAGCAGCCGCACUCCGCCGCGGUGGGGUUAACAUUGAGGCUCAAGAUGACCAGGCACAUGAUCACCAUCAAAGUGGUAGUCCUCUUUCCCUCCAUUGCCUCCUCUUAGCUUGCUGCUACCUUCCUUGGUUACCUAGCUAAGUUUAUUGGUUUUGUGUUGAGAGGUGUGAUUCUUGAAUGGACGUUGCCGGCGGCAAUUUAUAGGCAGCUGAGCUAUGUGAUGAUAUGGACUAGGUGCAAAUGGGUGGUUAAUGGCAAGGAAAGGGGCGUCAGACAAAGCCCAAUGGCAACUGCUGACAUGCGAUUAAAUUCAGAUCCACAUCCGGCCAUUCAAUAAUACGGUUGGAGUUGUGGCACAGAUAUAUUAUUGCAUGAUCAUCAAGAUAAGAUCGUACAGUGACUGAGUGAGACAAUAAAUAGCCAAGUAAACUAUUUUAUCCUGCUGCAAGCAGCGCUGCAUUCAUAAGUUUAUUUCACCUUUGAUCACAAUACUCUUCACACACGUACGUCUCAGGGAGAUCUUACUUCCGCUGGACUGCUCACUUCCGCUGUCAUCAGUACUGCCAAAGACACAAGCUCACAUCUGCUAUUGCGGAGCAGGCCAAUUUGCUGCGGAACUUCGGUGACGACCUGAAGGACAUGAAUUCGGUGCUGGAGUCCAUCUCAGUAGCACUCCAGGACGCUGACACUGGUAGAAAAACGACCUUCCAUCGUCAACAAAAAUCCCGGUAGCUUUUUUACUCAGUACUAAAGAGGUUUUAAUCUCGUGCAAACACCUUUAGUCCGGAUUGCUGUUACCUGUUACCACGCAACCCGGACUAAAGCGUACCCCACGAGUUACUAUAUAAGGAUUGCAUCCUUUACUUAGUCAGAUAUAAUGUGUAGGUGAGAUGAUAAGGAAGUUAUGCGUGAGGCUUAAGGUUGUGGGUUCGAAUCCAAGGAGAAGUGGGUGCAGCUGUGGCUUAAGCGGCUGAGGCACGCCGCCAUAGACAUCUCAAAUUUGCUCGAAGACUACCAAGACACUAGUGAACCCUUAACAGUAAAGGUGAGUACUUAUGAAUGUCAGCAUCCAUGUUGUCCAUGCUUCCAAUGUAAUAACAAGAUGGACUACUCUUCCUAGCGGACUCUUCACAACCACUCGUAAAGCUAUAUGUUUCUCAAUGCAAUUUCGUAGAAGCCAAUCGAUCCAACCAAGUGACUAAAUCAUUCAUCCUUUCCAAUGAUGUGCAUCAGGUUUUCUACAUGAAGGGCAUGUCUAGCAAACCCAAGAUUUCAGAAGAAAAAGAAAAAUCAUUGGAACCAAAGAGCCACAUAGUUCUUCCAGGAAAAAAAUCAUGGGAGUCGAGAACAAAUCAAACCAAUCAGAGGAUUAUGGUCAGCUUAAUGGCAUGCCUCCAUUCGAUGUCGAAGUUCACCCAAGCAUCAUGUUAGCCAAACAUCAAAUGUUCGUGCGUUGUUACGGUAAAGAUCAAUUGUGUUUUUUAAACUCAUGGAAUUUUUUUUCUAAGUUUUUAUUACACUUAUUGGAUGUCUACACAUUUGCUAGAAAACCAAAAUAAUUUGGACUUAAUUAUUUCUUUCAACUGAAGUACUCACUAAAUUUCUACCUUUUUAUUUAAGCAAGAGAGUUGCUAAAAAAAAUGGAUACAUAACCAUGUUGUAUCGUACAAAGCAACCACAUUUCACAUAUAGUCCGGCUUACCAAACACCAUUUUUUACUGAACAUAGCGUACAUGAGUUAAGAGACAUGGAUUUAUUUCUAUUGCAAGUAGCAUAGCGUACAACCUGCCUGCACCGAUGCAGCUCAAUAUGCGAUAAUUUUUAUCUUCCCAUGUAAUUUUUCUACUCUAGUACAUAUUGAACUCCACAUUAAUGUCAUGUUCUUUGGCGCCCCAGACGGUUCCUAAAGUUUGGAAACAAAAUAGAUAGCCAGAAAUUUUUUUUAAAAUAUUUAUAUGGAUAUUUGUAUGUUCUUUGCAAACUAACAAUAUUGUUUACCAAUAUCAAAAGGAAUAUGGCUAGGAGCCAUUGCCGCAUAUGGCAGGUGAUGGUAGAUGGCGUAUGGGAUUUCGUUAAUUUAAUGGUAUAAUAAGCUGAAAUACAUUUUCUAUUUGCAAAUGAAUCAUAGCUGAAAGUGGUGAGAUUGUUUUUUCGCCGGUUUAGCAUCCUGUGCACCGGUUCAACUGGAGGGAAGCGGUUCACCGAGACGGAUGGCAAUUUUACGGCAGAAUCAUUACUUGUUUUAUUAUUAGGUGAAGAUUUUAGCUUUUAGGUAUCUCACAUUAACAAUCUGUUUCUAGUGUAUAAUGUAGGAGACCCGUAAAGAGUCUACACACACAUAUAUAUGUUGACUAUGAAUGUAAGUUUGUUGGUUUUAUGUAUGUUCAUUUGGAGUUUAUAUAAAUUUUACAUUUUAUAGUUUUGUGUAUAUGACGAAGAUCCAUGACUUGCAUUAAUUUAACCUUUCUUCCAACAACUCUUAUGCAUGCUGUUUCUAGGGGAGCGCACUGGUUGCAAUUUUGGUCCCCGAUAUAGCAUGAGGACUUAAGGGAGACGUGCACGUCGUAACCUUAGAUAUUUUUGCAAGAAGCAAAUUAUACUUUGCUUUUGAUUUUCUCCAUGCCAUUUGCUGACUCUUAUCCCUUUUAUUUAUCAUUAUAAGAUGAAAAUAUUGUAAAAACUUGGUUACGUGCGGUCGCAGAAGCUAGAGACUAUUUCUUUUUUUAAAAAUACACAAGAGGGAGAAACUUGGUAACAGCUAGACAGUGAAGAUCGCAUUUCAUAAGAAAGAUGGUGCACGUUCUUGUUUGGCUGUUAACGAAAUGACUUCGUUUCACCACACCACCAGAGAGCCCCAUUGCACUUGCAGCAAAAGCGUGGAGCCGCUUUCAACCAGCGUGCAAUAAUGCAGUCCCGCGUGUCUUGGUCUUACAAGAUAUUUGGUUCUUUAGUCCGGACUAAAAUUCAUGUCGCAUAGAAUAUUCAGAUGUUAAAUAGGAGGACUAAACAUGAGCUAAUUAUAAAAAUAAUUACACAAAUGGAGGCUAAUUCCCGAGACAAAUCUAUUAAGUCUAAUUAAUCCAUCAUUAGCACAUGUUUACCGUAGCACCGUAUUGUCAAAUCAUGGACUAAUUAGGCUUAAUAAAUUCGUCUCGCAAGUUAGUCUCCAUCUAUACAAUUUGUUUUAUAAUUAGUCAAUGUUUAAUACUCUAUCUAAACAUUCAAUGUGACUGAAAUUUUAGGAGGUCCUAAAGAACCAAACACCCCUUAGUCUCCGCCUGAACUAUAGCAGGUGCUGGCAGCGGUAGCAGGGUCGUCCAUUAUAUCUAUGGAUGGAAAUGAUCUGAUUCGGAUGGAAUCGAAUUCGAAUAGCACUUUUUACCACAUACUAAUCUGAAUUGGAUGUUCUCGAAUGUGAAUGCAAAACGGAUAGUUCAAAUUUGAAUACUUUGCGGAUUUUUGCAUAAUAUUAAUCGAAGAGAAUUUGUUAAAUUUAGCCGGACAUAAAUUUUUCUAAAUUCAAAUACUUUGCAGAUUUUCGAAUGCAAAUUUUUUCAUACGAUCUCGGUUGAAUACAAACUUUAUAUCAAAGUUGUAUAUUUAGAUUAUAUAUAAAACUUUGUAGUUGACCUCCUUUUCAUUUAAAAUUUUUUAAUAGCUCAAAACAUUAUUCUAAGCUUUCUAAUUUCAAAAUCUUGAAUUUUAAAUUUUUCAAACGACCUCGGAUGCAAACUAGCUCUAUAUCAAAGUGGUAGUGCUUAAUGAGAUAUAAAAUUUUGUAGUUGACAAGUUUUUCAGUUGAAAAUAUUUAGUUAUCACAAACAUACAAGUUCUUCAUUUGAUGUCGAGGAUUGGAAGUGUUGAGUUUGAAGAAUAUAUUCUUUGAUUACAAACUUUUCCAUAUGAUCUUGGAUGAAUACGAACUUUAUUUCAAAGUUGCAAAUUUAGAUUAGACCAAAAACAGUAUAGUUUACAAUUUUUUCAUUCAAAAUUAUUUAGUAGCUCAAAAUGUUAUUCUAAACUCUCUAAUUUUGAAAUCUUGAAUUUUAAAAUUUUCAAAUGACCUCGGAUGCAAACAAGCUCUAUAUCGAAGUGGUAGUUCUUAAUGAGAUAUAAAAUUUUGUAGUUCCAUCUGAGAUCAUUUAACAGUCACAAAUAUACAAGUUUUUCAUAUGAUGCUAAGGAUCAGAAAGAUUAAGUUUGAAGGCUGUAUUUUUUUAAUACAAAUUUUUGCAUACGAUCUCGGAUGAAUACAAAUUUUAUAUCAAAAUUGUAGAGCUCGAUGAGAAUUUAAACUUUGUAGUUGAUAUAUUUUUCAUUCGAGAAUGUUUAGUGGUCCAAACAUGUAUUAUAAGUUCAGAGAAGAAACACACAAUCGGCCACGUCAUCAAUUGACAACUUCCAAAUUGAGCAUUCCUAUUGGUUCACACCUUUCCCUUUCAACUCGUCAAGCUUAUCUCCUCCCACUCCUCCAUCGUUCACUCCCCCUUCCCCUUCCUCUCUCCCUCCCUCCCUCCGCUCCAGCAGUGGCAGCCCGACCUGCCUCCUAGGACGGUGGUGUGCGGGGCUCGGGCAUCCCUGGCCUCUAGUGGCGUGGCAGGGCGGCCUCCAGCAGCGAUGGCGGAACUCGGCCUCCGGUGGCGCACAGGCAGCGCAGCCUACCUGGUCAAAGGCGGCGCAACAGGGCGACCUCCCCAGCCUCCGGUGGCGCGCAGGGCCUCCAUGACCUCCCCGGCCUCCCUUGCCAGAGGUGGUGCGCGGGGCUGCGCCGACCUCCCCAACCAGAGGUGGCAAGGCCCCAGCUUACGGCGGCGCGUGGCUCCCCAGCUAGGGUGUGGUGGGGCGGCGGCAAGUCAGGCGUGGCCACGUGGGGGUGGGGGGAGGGGGUUGGGCUGGGCGGAUUCAGAUAGUAUCCAUUUAACCAUCCGAAAUGUGGAUAUCCGUUUAACAAUCCGUUUAGCAAAACCGAAUUUGGAUACUUCCACUUAAGUAUCCAACUAGGAUUCGAAUGCGGAUGGUCCUACCAUAUUGUUAUUUCAGCGGAUACGAAUAUGGGAUAAUUCGAAUAACGACUUACCCAUCCCUGAUUAUAUCCGUGUAAAUAAAUAAUUGCGGCAGCAGGUUCCCGUCGCCACGCCCCCGUCAAACCAAACAAUUGCUUGCGCGACACCGUGUUACUAGAUCUUGUACAGUACUCCCUCCGUUGCAGUACUCCCUAAUGAAAGUUGAGAAUCGAUCGACAACCACGGCUAGUUGCUAUGCACUCGAUCAGAUGGUCCAGGCGCCCGCUGGUAAUCAGGUCGUGGUUCACGCGCAUCAGGCCAGCUAUGACGUUGCCAGCAGUGCUCAGUACACAAAUCUAGCUAUCAGUCGGAUCCAAUUGGGCAGGCAUUUGCACUGUGGUUGUGUUUGAACCUGGAGAUGUCGUUGUCAUUAUCAGGCACCAUACAUCCUCUCUCAGAGGGUGUUUCACCCCCUAAACUUUAGCCCCUCUCACAUCGAAUGUUUUAGAUACUAAUUAGGAAUAUUAAACAUAGAAUAUUUACUAAACCCAUUACAUGGAUGGAGGGUAAACGACGAGACAAAUCUAUUAAAUCUAAUUAGUCCAUGAUUUGACAAUGUGCUGCUAUAGUAACUAUUUGCUAAUGAUGGAUUAAUUAGACUUAAUAGAUUUUUCUUGCCGUUUAGCCUCCGUCUGUGCAAUUAGUUUUAUAAUUAAUUCAUAUUUAGUCCUCCUAAUUAGUCUCCGAAUAUUUGAUGUGACACCGACUAAACUUUAGAUAGCACACCAGGGACCGACACCAUGCAUGCUGAUUUCAUAUCAUAAUUAAGGAAAGUGAUAUCAUAAUUAAGGAAAGUGGUAGCAUCCAAGAAAUCGAUCAUGUUUCUUCCCCCUUUGGCUUUCCUACUAGGAUUUGGAUAGCGGGCCUUCCUACUAGGAUUUGGAAUCCGCUAUCGCAUGACUAUCUUAAUUAUGUCCCAUAGUCCAAAACUCACAAAACAUCAAAAAUCCACCGAGAAUAAAUUAAGUAAAAAACAUGCGCACACAGAUAAUAAUAAUAAUCAUGUUUCAAUAAAAUUGCUAAGAUUAGAGAUAGUACAUAAACAUAUUAGAUUGUUCGUGACACAUAUCAUGGUGGAUAGUGUCUGUGUCCUUAUUACAAGCAGCGAUAGAUGCUUGUCACCACACACACGCACGCACAGAUGCACGACAUACAUAUAGUUGAGACCAACGGAUGGAUGUCCCAUAGGGUGAAUAAUUUAUUGGAGAUAAAUAUUAACAUAACUUGGCCAUAGCUUGAAGCAUAGCAACAUAUGCUUAUGAAUGGCAUUCAUGCGGGUAGCAAUGCUAUCAUAUGCUUUUAGGCUUGUCCUUAGCUUCUUCCAUCUUAUAGCAAACACUGCCAUUUCUUCCAUUUUAGCAGCAACUGUCAAAUUAAUUGAGAUAUGGAAAUCCCAUUAGCGCAUGAGUUAAUUUUGCAGUGGAAAUAGAGUAGAAGAUGUCUUCAUAAUGUAAGUAAUAUGACUCUGACAUAGGGAGUGAAGUCAACAAAUUACAUUAACGGAAAUGCAUGGAAGGCCACGCAUAUGUAUUAGUCCGAUAUGCUACAAAGCUUGUAUGUACAUAUAAUAAAUUAAAUGCAUUGAAUAGAGUGAUUUUAGUGAAUUUACCUAAAUCGGAUUAAAAAACAUGGGAAACAACAAGUGUUCUUGUAGGGCUUUGUUUAGUUCCCAAAUUGGGAGUAGCAAAGUUUGCAUUUUACCAUAAAUGCGCAACUGUAGCAUGUAGCAUUUCGUUUGUAUUUGUGAAUUAUUAUCCAAACAUUGACUAAUUAGGCUCAAAAGAUUCAUCUCGCAAAGUACAACAAAACUGUGCAAUUAGUUUUUGAUUUCGUCUACAUUUAGUACUCCGUGCAUGUACCGCAAGUUUGAUGUGAUGGGAAAUCUUGCUUUUCAAUAGUGACAAAGUUGGGAUUUCGGGGGGAAGGCCUGUGUCGGAGCCACAUGCAAGAAUGGCUGACAUUGAGGCUCAGACAAAGCCCAAUGGCAACUGCUGACAUGCGAUUAAAUUUAGAUAUCCACAUCCAGCCAUUCACAUUUAUGAGAUAUGGACACGGUGCAAAUGGGUGGGGUCCUGAUAUGGAGGUGCGAAUGGCUGUCUACUUGUAUAGUGUAGCUCCAAUGUACGUAUAUGUAUCUUAUGCAUGUAUACAGUUGCACAAACUCUGAACCAACUCUUCAUAACAGGUCUUUGUUACCAAGUAACUUUACUUUUGCACGUUUCAGCCGAGAGGUAGAAGAGAAUAUUUUUGCAUUUUCCAUGUGCGUCAGUGGUAGAGAACUAGGAAUUAGUUCCGGAUGGUAGGGCACAAAUCUUCCAAACAACUAUCCGAAAUUAAGCAAUCGAGAUAAAGGGUGCCAUCUAUUCUCUCCGAAAAACACAGGUACCAAAAAGAAGAAGAGAAGAGGGAGGGCCUCCCGUUAAGGCCCGCUCGGGGUCUCCAUCCCACCACGCGCCCUCCCAACCCAAAGCCCAUCGUUUUCCCUCCGUCCCUCCCCUCUCCAUUGCCGCCGCUGCUCCCCUCAUCCGAGCUCGAUACGGGUGGUCGGCGGCCCCUCCUCUCCGCUCCCGCCCCCGGCCUCCCUUUGACCGCCGGGCGCCGGCAUCACUGCCGCGGCCAACCCCAGGGCGCAGCGCGUGCCUCUAUUUCUCUCCCCCGUUCAAGGGCCCUUUGAUGGCGACGAGCACCCACCCACCAGGUAUGCCCUCCCCUUCUCUUCCUAACCCUAAUAUAUUCGGAUCUCACCCAGUCACAAUAUAUUACCUAAUAGCUUCGAUUUUGUUUGCAAAAAUCAUCACGUGCGCACCCAUGUCCGCUAGAUUCUUGCGCCUGAUCCUGUGCUGCUAUGGUUUGGGCGGGGUAGACUAGUUGAUUCGUGCACUUUUGGGUGCUUGUAGUGCUAGGUUUUGGAGGGGGAUAGCCCAGUUGAUUCCUCCGUUUUGGGUGCUCAUGGUGAUAGGAUUUGGAUGGGGAUAGCCCCAAUGAUUCGUGCGCCUUUGGGUGCUGGGGAUAGUUUUGGGUGCCUGGAUAGUCCAGUUUCAAUGUCAGUAUAUGCGUAUUUUGGGGAGAAUUUUGUUUUGGGUGGUUCUGGUGCUAGAGUUUCUGAUGCUUAGUAGCCCAGUUUCAAUCAAAUUCCCCCAUGGGUCGUGCACUACGGGAAACAAGAAAAUUGCCGAGUGUAUUUUUUUUGCCGAGUGUUUUUUUUCCGAGCACUCAGCAAACAAGCUUCGCCGAGCGCCAAGUCAAAAACCCUCGGCAAAAAAAAAACACUCGGCAAAUCGGGGCUUUGCCGAGUGUCAAAUAAAAACACUCAGCAAAGAAGGGGGUUUGCCGAGUGUUAAAAAAAACACUCGGCAAACAGGAGGGUUUGCCUAGUGUUUUUUUGACACUCGGCAAAAAAAUAAUUGUUUUUCCUCUUUUCACCUUGAAAUUUUUUCUACUCCCCACAUACAACACGUGGUACUCCAUGUUAAAAUUUGGUAUAUUUUUGGAUUUAUUUGCUAUAUUUAUUUAAUUAAUUGCAUUUCAAGGAAAUUUUUGGUAUAAGUCAAAUUUGAACUGCAAGUGAUUCAAAUUGUGGAACAAAAUGAGUAGAAAAAUGAUAUUCAUGUUAUUUGGCUCAAUUUGAGAUCUGACCCAUGAAAUGAAAAGAAGUUUCGAACAUCUUGUUCAGGAAACACGACAAUGAACAUGUGGCGGUAGUAUUUUUAAAUUGUAAAAAAACAAGCAAAGUCUGAAAAUCAUGAGAUUUGUAGUUAUGUGAUGAUAUAAUACGUGGAAGCUGUGGAAAAAAAUUGGAAAGGUUUUGCACAUUUCAUCAUGUACGAUGAUUACAAACCGAAGCAUAUCAGAAGAAGAAUAGUAACUUUGAGAAGGAUUCGAUAAAAUUUAGAGUCGAAGUGACGGUCGAGUUCGGUUUGACUACAAAACUUUUUGUAUAGUCAGUAGAGAACAUAUCUUAUUUCGUGUGAAAAUUUGGUAUUUUUUGAAACUGUUGGAUAUUUUUAAUUUUUUUUUUAAAAAACUUGCCGAGUGUUUUCUCGGCACUCGGCAAAGACUUUGCCGAGUGCCCGACACAAAACACUCGGCAACUCAGUGUUUGCCGACUGAAAAAUUGCCGUGUGCCGUUUGCCGAGUGUUACACUCGGCAAACGGUUCGCCGAGGGUUUUUUGCCCUUCGCCGAGUGCCCCUAGCACUCGGCAAUUUCACUAUCUCCCGUAGUGGUGGCUGGACUUAUGGGGGGAUCAUUGAUGGGGGACUAGUUGGAUACUUUUUGGCUGUUUUGGGAGUCCUUGGCAGCGGCUUCUCAGGGCGUACGUAGCCCAUUGUAGAUUCCAGCCGAGAAGAUUAAGGAAUUGUGACUGCAACCAUGUUACUUUUCUAGGACUCUGUUUCUGAUAUUGUUCCCGCUGCAUCUUUUCAUCCCCAUGGUGAAUGUUGCUGUUGAUCUGUAGAUUGGAUUUGUUCCUCGGUAGCUUUAUUAGAUUUGUGCUGAAUGAUAAUCUCUGCCUGUGAUAUUUUUCUUCAUUGCGGAUGUGUGCCGAGUAUAUCCCCUUUGUUCAUUCUGUUGGCUUUUUUUAUUGUCUCUGUACUCGGCUGUUCAGCUUGUGCAGCUAAUGAUCUAAUGUAUUUUGUGGUAACUAUGUAUUUUUCGGAUGUGUGCCGAGUAUUAUCCCCUUUGUUUAUUCUGUUGGCUUGCUUUCAUUGAUCUUAAGAUAACUGGUGCUAUAAAUUCACACUAGCUGAUGCACUUGCAAAUAGCUAUGUAAAUAUGAAAAGAAGUAUUUUUUUAUCCUUUUGUUUGUUUGGCAUCAUAUCUGUUUAAAUGGCAUAGCAAUAAGAAUUUUUUGUUUUUGGGGAAUCAUAUCUGCUUAAAUGGUAUAGAAAAUGCUGAGUGCACUGUCAAAUAGAUUUUCCAGCAGUCUGCUUUCAGUUGUUUUUGCAAAUCCUCACAGGCCAGUGAACUGACUUUGUUUUUACCACCCCAUGCCAUCUAAAUGACUAAAUCAGUCAGCCUAAUACUAUAUAUGGUCAUGCUAUGAUCUUAUUUCUUGAAGCUCUAUAGGUCAACCCAUAAGGGUAACUUAGUUUUUCCUAUUCUGGCUGGGGAAGUGGAUACGAUGGCUAUCCUUGGUAGAGUUAAAUACAUUGGCGGCUCUUAGCGCGCCAAUGUGGCACCACAAUAUCGAACAUAUGUAGAAACCCCCUUGUUUUUUCUCAUAUCCCUCUCUCUCAGCGUCCUCUUCUCUUCUUCUCCUCUGUCUCCUCCCCUCCCAUCGCGUGCUUUAUUGCGCCGCCGCCAUCCGCCUCCAUGUAUGAACACGUCGUUUGUCAUGAAGAAGCAGUUGAUGAGGCAAUCAAGCAUGUGGUGCACAAGGUUCUUCUGCUGGCCAAGUCCGAGUCGAACAGCCGCGCAUUCAUUGGGGAAGCACGCGCCAGGCAUCACCAGGCUCCUCGUGCCCCUACUCUGCUCCAAGGACUCGGUGCUUCGACGCGCUGCUUUCCCUGUCCGGCGAGCGGGGAUCGUUGGGAGAUGAUCGAUGGAGGAUGGAGCUGAUCCUCCUGUACACGGUGCCGGUGGGGAGCAGGGAGCUGCGGAGCAGGUCCACGGGCGGCGCCAUUACAGCAGGUGCAGGCUAAGGGUAAUGAGCAGAUCGAGGCGAUGGAGGAGGACCCGCACGAGGUGCAGCUUCUUCGCCUCCUGCGCAAGGUCAGCGCCCAAGCAGCCGCUGAGGGACAGGCCGAGGCUUAGCUCGAUCUCAUCCGACUAAAUGGUGGCUGCACUCCCACAGUCCCACUGGUGCUCCUCCCUUCUGUCCGAACCUGCCGAGGAAAUCCCUCGAUGCCAUGGGUCCCGGCUGGACGACUACUCCUCCCACAGAUUGACUGAGGAAGAAGAGCUUCUCAGUGUCCAAAAAUUCAGUUACACUGGAAACAGCAACCAAUUACGUCCUUCCGGCUCAGCCAAGCCCCAAUCUCCUUGCUUCUGUGCGCCCCUGCUAAAUAUUCCAGAAACCAAUCUGGUUAGUUGUUUUUUCACAUUUUCAGUGCAUGCCGGUGCUGCUGUGUGCGGCAUGCAUGGAGUUGUCGUGGGAGUGCACGGUGGCUUAGCUGGUGCGCCAGUGCGCGGGCACGAACACAACGGUGAAGAUGGCAGGGCCAUCUCAAAGCUCCUGAGCACCUGCACGCGUCGCUGAGCAGGACAUGCUGCGACGGUGGGCGAGCGCUGCUAACGCCCUGGGGAAGAGCAGUGGGUGCAGAGAGAGGGAGCGAGGGAGAGGGGUUCUUGUAUAUGUUUGCUAGCGUGGCACCGUUUACGGUGCCCGCCUAAGUGGCAUUCACGUGUCAUUCAUCCCAAAUGGUGUUGCAAGGUUGAACCUAUUGUGGGAGGCUUUUGGUUUCCCUUGACCAAGUAUCACCAGUGAUAUCACUGCGUUCUGGUUAUGUACGAAACACUUGUCCUUUUAAAACCUUUCUGAAUUUAGAAACGAAUUUGAAACAUUACCCUCAUUUCCAUGUUUUUCUAUCUUUUGUCCCUGUAAAAUCAAACUAAAUUUGAAUUAUUAUGUUCAGAACUACAAGCUGAUUUACUUGUCCCAUUUGCUAAUAACAGGGCCUUGUGAUUUCUAAUGAACAUUGCAGAGCAUGUUAUAAAGCGUAUGCAUGAACACCAAGGGGAUGAAACCAUUGGUAUAUUUCUCAUAACCUUUUGAACUUAUCAUUUAGCAUAUUUGUGUUCUAGUGUGACGUUUCAGCCACGAGACAUGAGAAAUGUUAGCUAUGGAUUUUGGUUAUUCAUCAUGGGUUCACAGAUUUGUUUUUCUCUAAAAGAAUUGGGAAGUAGCUUUCUUUCUGGGUAUAUGUGGGGAAAUGCAUAUGCAAUCUUUUAUUUAUUGAGGUGACUGUAAAAUUCUUGUCUGACUGAAUAUGCGAUUUCAACCUACAUGCUAUACUUAGGGAAAUUUGUGAAUCUCCUAAUGUCUGCUGCAUGGCAUGAAUGCAUAUUUUACUGGUCCAUAAUGUGAAGUUCUGUAUAUAAACUUCUCGUGUUGACCCUUUAGAACAUGCUAACUGGAGAGUUUUCUAGAGUAGUUAAACAAGAGAUUUAGUUAAAUCUGCACACAUAGGUGGGGCCUGGCAUACCCUAAGAAUCGGCCUAGCCGGCCAGCCCAUUAGUAAAAAAAAAAGCACCGCAGUCAGCAGUCCCCACGUUGGUCUUCCUCGAGUCGCGACUCGCGAAGAUCCCAUCCUCCGAGUCCAAGAUGGUGGACUGUGUCGAGCGCGGGGCGGGCGAUUAGUUGCCCGGCCGCCGGCGGGGGAUGGCCGGACGGCCAGAUCGCCGACUCCUCUAGUCCUCCCUCCAGCCUCUGCGCUUCUUUCACAGUGGAGCUAGCGGCGAGGCGCCCGACCGACACCCUUCUUCCCAAAUCCCGGCAGCCCUGCCUCGAUUUGGCCUCCUCCGAUCAUUUGAUAAUCAAUUUGAUGAAAUUAAUAUGGAGUUGCUUUCUUGUAUGGUUGCCUUCAAUCCUGCUAAUUCAUUUGCUUCAUUUGAUGCACAAAAGAUACACAGACUUGCUAUAUUUUUAUCCACAAGACAUCACAAGCACGGAUUUGCUAAAACUUGAAUUCCAGCUCGAUAUUAUAUUGAUGAUGUGAGAUAGGAUGAUAGUUUCAAAGGCCUACAAGAUCUUGUUAACUGAGACUCAGUUAAGCUUGUUGAAACAAACAGGCAUAAUAUUUAUGACUUGGUUUACUUGCUUCUCAAAUUGGUAUUGGUUCUUCCUGUGGCGACAGCUAGUGUUGAAAGGGAUUUUUGUGCAAUGACUUUGAUCAAGAGUAAGCUAAGAAAUAAGAUGGGUGAUAGUCUUUUGGAUGAUUGUCUUAUCACAUUCAUUGAGAAAGAUAUUUUCUUUGAAGUGGAUGAAGAAGAUAUAAUUAAGACUUCAUAUCCAUUAGAAAUCAUAGGCUGGAGAAGAAGUAAUAUUUUAAUUUUCUUUGAACGUUAGGUCUGUAAGCUUCUUUUAAACUAUCUACAUUAUAAUUUAUGGACCUUUUAAUUUAACCGUUGAAUUCAUGAUAUUAUGAGAUUUUUUUAUCUAUGUUAUUAUUGUUUACCGAUUUAUUACCAAAUUAUUAGUUUGAUCUUACAAUAUUGUAUUUUGGAUGAUUGGCUCGGCAUACUCUAAGUUUAAAUCCUAGCUCCGCCACUGUUUGCACAUUAAUGUGGCUUAUAUGUGUGGAGUCACUUAACCUAUGCACUUGGACCUCCACUCCCUUAGGUUUUAUGAACCUAAUUUGACAGCCUGCUCGUCUUUUAUUUUCUACCAAUCAGCUAGGAACGAACAUGGUGAUGUUUGCAUCUCUUGCAUCAAUGGCUUACAUGUCAUUAUGUAUCACAUUAGCAAGUCUUGUUUUGUUAUUGGCUGGGAUGACGGGGACUCUAGCUGGAAUUGAAUCAAAGUGGUAGAUCACAGGGUAUUCAUUGCCAUGUAUUUCUGCAGUUGCAUGGACUUGCAUCAAACGGACCUUCCUACUUAUGUGAUUGUCCUAUAUGAUCUCCUUUGAUUUCAUUUGCACACUGUAAUCACAUUAGCUAGAACACUCGCUUUUUGCUUCAAAUUUGAAAUUCAUAUCAUGAUGGACUAGAACGCUGAAUUUCUUGAUUGCUGAGUUACUAAUCACAUUGUGGCGCUGCCAAAGAAGCUGGACUCUUCAUUGUUGUUGCCUUGUGGGCUGCCGUGUGCAAAGAACAAGAGCGCACGGUAUUAUAAUAGCAGAGCUGAACACAGACAAGCGACAAGGAGCGGAGCAGAGCAGAGCACAGCCAAGCACAAGCAGUAGAGUAGAGCAGAGCAACCGGGAGAGGAGAGGGCACAUAUGCAGAGUAGAGCAGAGCCAAGCGCAAGCAUUCAUGCACUCAAGCAUGCAGCAGAGGUGUAGCAAGGCAAGCACAAGCAGCAGAGCAGAGGGAAGGGAAGGCUGGGAGAUGAAUAGGCGAAUAGUUACCUGGACAGAGCAGAGGGAAUGGAGAUGAUGCAGAUGCUUCCGGAGACUGGAGAUUUGGAGAGGAACAAGGCCACGUUGUGAACAAGGUCUCCUUUCUCUUCUCUAUUUCCCGCGCAAGUACUUGUGCAUAGUGGCUGCCUCAUCCUCCAGGACGCCCACUUCAACCUGAGGCGGGUGCCACAGACAUCCUGGCUAUGCGACGGCUACCCCCAGCACACCCCCAGCGCCUAUGAACCAUGAUCCUAAUACUAUAAAUUGUCAACCUUGUAAUCUUAUUUCAAGCAUGCUUUCUAUGUCAACCUGUAAGGUUAAUUUCGUUUUUCCUUUUCUGGGUAGGGGAGUGGAUAUUGCUGUUAUUUAUAUUAUGUUGAUAUUGGUUUCCACAUGUCAUUCACCCCAAAUGUGUUGCAAGGUUGAACCUAUCAUCGGAGGAAUUUUUUUCCCUUUACCUUUAUAUCACUACGCUCUGGUUAUGUAUGAAACACUUGUCUUCUUAAAAACCUUAAUUUAGAAACAAAUUUGAAACACUAUCUUCAUUUACAUCCUGUAUGUGUUUUCUACCUUUUGUCCUAUAUGAUCUGCUUUGAUUUGAUUUGUGCAUAGUUUUUUCAAUUCAGACCUGGUGAUCUCUGAGGUUCAUGUUGUGCUGAUAAGCAGCCUACUAUUCAGUAACACUUUCAUGUGGCAUGUUCAUGUUAGCUAGCUAGAAACACUGCUUUUAGCUUCAAAAUUCAAAUUCAUGACAUGAUGGACAUUGACAAUGAAUUUCUUGAUUGCCGAGCUAUGUACACUGUAAUUCAGACCUGGUGCUUUUAGUUUUUUUCUUGAUUGCCGAGCUAGAAACACUGUGCUUUUAGUUUUUUCAAUUCAGACCUGGUGAUUUCGGUUUUUUCAAUUCAGACCUGGUGAUUUCUGAGGUUCACGUGUCACACCGAUUUUAAGAACAAAAUCGAGUGCAUUAAAUAUACAUGUACGCUAGGAUCAGGUUACACACAUGUACGACAUAAGCGAAUAUCAAAGACAAUGCCAUAACGAAAUAAAGAGAGUAUUAAUCAUUAUUACAUGACCGAAAGUCUCAAAUAAACCACAAAAUCUAUUUAUUACAUAGCGGAACUCCUAAGAUAGCAACGUCUCCACAGGCAGCUGACUGAAGAACUGUAUGCCUAGAACUCUUCAAAAUCGUGCAGGUACUCCUCCAGAUUAGCUUGGUAUGAACAACGGUUUUGCAAGGGUGAGUACACUUAUGGUUGGUACUUAAUAAGUCGUGGGAAACAAUGUAGUGUAAGGCAAAUCAAGGUAUGGCUAAGGCUUAAACAGCAUCAGCUUUUAAUUUAGUUGGUCAAAUUUUAUUAGCAAUUAAUUAGACGUAAAUUUAUACCACCCGAAAUUAAACAAGAACAUGAAUAAAAUAAUAACAUAACCAUAAAUGAAAUGACAACAAUUUAAAUCCAUCUUUUCAUAGCAUUAUCAUGUGAGGGUCCAGUCCGCUCUUAACCGUGAGCACCGCUGAUCGAUCAGUUUUACACUCUGCAGAGGUUGUACAUCUUUACCCACAAGUCGCGUAAAAGUUCAAAAGAAUUUUGGACCCAACCAUGCGGUGUUUGCAAGGCACCAUACCACACUUCCAAGGUGUGAUUGCAUAUGAACGCUACGAGGCCUUUACAAAGAUUCAUUAGUAAGUGGUAACCCGCUAAAGUUUCGGUAUUUGGCGUGCACAACCUAUCACAGGCCGCUAAUGCAACGACUCAGUCCCCCCUCUUGCCUCAUCACGAGUAAGAUUACCCCAGACUAAGGUUUCUAAUUAUUCAGCCAAGAUCAGAACCAUUUAGUCUUGUGGUAGCACUGUUUUCUUGGGUGGUUCUCCAUGUUCCGAUUAAACAUAAUGGUCUUGUAUUAAUGGAAGGUAUAACAUAAAUAAUACCAAAUUAAUAAUAAUUCAGAUUAAAUCACCAUAACCAUAUUUGAGCACUAAGCAUGAGCUACCCAACAUAAAUUUAACCCGGUUGGUCAAGGCAAGGUAGAUAAAGUCUAGGAAAUUCUUAAUUGGGACCCAUCAAGUUUAAAUUAUACUUUGCAUGGUAUUGUUGCAUAGAACAUGAAAGUAAAUGUGAAUAGGACUGAAAAGGAGUGAUUAGGGACACGACUUGCCUUUUUAACCUUGUUCUUGCUGUUCGUACUCCUCGAAAACUUUGAUCUUCAAAUCCCUCGAACUGCUGACCGUCUACACGCGUCACACGACCACAUACAAGCAAACAAAUAUAAUACAUAAGAAAACAGUACACCAAUCAUAAUUAAAUAGAAGAAACAAAUUUGAAAAGCUAUUCUACGCAUUAAAACGAAAACACGGAUACAAGGAACGUUAAAAACGGAGCUACAGUGCAAAAACUACGCUUAAAACAAGAUGCAGGGGUAUAACUACGAGAAACCAAACUUCCAGGGAUUUAAUUUUAAAUAAUUUUGAACUGCAGAAGGGGCAGCAGGGAAAAACGUAGAAAAUGCAGGGGCUUAAGCGCAAAAGCAUGGCUGCUGACUCAGCUGACUUGAUGUGGAUCGUCGGAUGGCGAUCCGGCGGCCGGCAGCUGCUGCGCUGACGUCAGCGACGGCGAGCGCCGGCGAAAAACGGCAGUUCGCCGGAAUCGCCCGGGAACGCGCGACUGGGUGCAGAUUUGAGCGAGGAUUAGACUAGCAGAUAGAAACGAGCGCAGUGAACUCAUUUGGGAUGCCUACGGCGAGGACUUGGCGACGGCAUCGGCUCCGGCGAGAACUUGCGGCAGGGAAACCAAAUAAAAUAAAAUAACACGGUUCAGAGAAGCGGCGCUGGAGGAACGCGAGCGAUUUUGCGUGCGAGCGGAAGAAAACACUGCGAGGAAGAUGACUGCGGGCCCUGCUUGUCUGCGGCAGGAGGAGAGCUGCGUGCGAGAAGAACCUGGCCACGAUCUGGGCCGUUGCCUUCGAUCUGGGCCGAGGCAAGCUAGCUGGCCCGCUGCUGCGGAAAGGUGCUGGGCCACGGGCGGAGCACAGCGUCGGGCCAGAAAGGAGAUGGCUGCUGCGAGGAAACAAAAGAAAAUGAACUGGGCUGCGACAGAGGAAAACUGGGCGUCGGCCAGAAAGAAGCUGCGUGCAGCUUGCUCUUGUUUCCGAACUAGAAACAGGAACUGACGGAAAGACAGAAAUCAAUUGGAGACUGAAACUGACGCCCCAGACUCUGAACUUCGAAAAAACAGGACAACCAGCCAACUGACAGAAAAAAAAAAAGCUUAACAACCCAAAAGCAGUACACAACCACGAAACCAGGCCACAAGACUGAAAAAGCUUGAUAGGAACAUCUGGCGACUGAACCAAAAAACUACAGAACUGCAACUGAAGAACUAGAGAACAGAUAAAUAACUGAUUGAACUCUGAAACUGAAACACCAAAGAGCAGGAAGCUGACUGACGGAAAAUGCAAAACAGCAACCCAAGGUGAAACACAAAUCCUUCUUCAAGCAUUCAAACAAAGAGAUAUGCAACAGCAUGAAUGCUCAAUAAAAUCCUAUAUUUCAUUAAUUAAUUAGAAAAAAUGCUCAAAUGCCUAGAAAAAUGCAAAAGUGACCUUAUAUACCUUAAACAAGCAAAUUCGUUUCUAGCGAUUUUUGGUAAAAUGCAAAAUUAGAGAUUUUGGGUGUUACAUCAUGUUGUGCUGAUAAGCAGCCUACUAUUCAGUAACACUUUCAUGUGGCAUGUUCAUGUUAGCUAGCUAGAAACACUGUGCUUUUAGCUUCAAAAUUAAAUUCAUGACAUGAUGGACAUUGACAAUGAAUUUCUUGAUUGCCGAGCUAUGUACACUGUAAUCACAUUGUGGGGCUGAUAAAAUAAGCAGCGUUGAGACACAUAACAAUUGAAUCUUAAGCUUCACACAGAAUCUGGACCAGUCAUCCUCAUUCCUGUCAUGCUGGAAAUGUCUUUGAUACAUUUCAAUCACAGGCAAUUGAAUUCGUACUGGGGAGGAUGGCAAUGGUGCGUGAAGAGAGAUCAAUGUGGCAAAUCUCACAUUGUUCAUUACCAGGUAUCUCCGAUUUCUGGUUAUUUUAAAUUUACCUUGACAUGUGACUUAUUGAGGUAUUGUAUUUCAUCUAAUGGUAGUUCUGAAUUUAUGGUAACCUUGGAUGGGGUUUGUCACUUUAUACACGCACGGACUUACAAAGGACAGCAAAUGAGUAUAUUUAGAGGGCUCCUGUCCAACCAUGGACUAUACUUAUGUACCCUUUUUUGACAUGGUAAUUUGAGGUUAAUGGAAAAGUAGCGAUAGUCGCCUCCAGCGAAGCUACCUUCUUCGAAAGCUCCGAGGCUGCUUUCUCGCUCUUAGCAAGCCGAUCCCUCGUAAUCAUCGAAGAGUAAGAGACCUACAGAUUUUAAAAACCAAGUUACCAAAAAUAACGAAGUAAAAGACAACACUCGCAAGACAAACCACCAAACUAUCUCAUAAUUGUACCUUCUUUACGAGGUUCGCCUCCAAGUUAAAGAGCUCUUCCAAGAUCAUUGACUUCACAGCUUGCUGAAAAUCUAUGCGCCAAAGGAUAUAGUCGUAAGCAUAAAAUAAAAAUUGGUAAAAACCAAGGACAGCAAAGCCAUCUACAAGCUGUUCUUACCCUCAUACUUUCGCACCUCAACGGCGAUCGGAACAACCUUCUCUCUAGCCUCGCCCUUAGACGCCACCACAAUCUUCCCGCCACACAAAUCCACAACCUGUCCUUUACCUUUGCCCUCUCCCGAAGUCGUCGUGCCCGCCUUCUCCACCCUUUUUGAACCGCCAACAUCUGCAUAGCGCUCGCAACCUUCACCUUCAGCCCCCCAGACCAAAGACAGGUUGUGAGGAUUAUAAACCCUACCUUCGGCGCAUGUAGCUAGAAUCUCCGUGCGCCCGCUCAAGCCCAGACACUCAUUCAGUCCCUGAAGCCCCGCCGGCAACCUCUCACCUACAUCAUAACAUUCAACUUUUAGCCUCACAUGAUCCUCACAACUAACCUUACCAACGCCCCCCAUAGUUUCUUCCAAGUCCUUCAAAAAUUUUGUUGAGGCCUCACCACAAUCAAAGAACCGUAGCAUCGAUAGAAACACCUCUACAUGCUUACCAGAUCUCACAGCUUCGGCACACCCACCCUUUGGAUCGGAUGAGAACGCAUCCACAAGCUUCGCCUUUUCAGUGGCAAACCCCCUCUCAAGUUUCCCAACAUCAGUCAAGAGAUGUUGCGCGCUCUUAAACUUCGAGCUUAUGGAAGGCACCGUGAUCUUGGUACCAGCUGCCGAAGACGCGUCAACCUUGGCACCCGUAACAGUAACAGGAGCAAAUCGAGGUUUCUUGGCGCCUCUUUUGAUCCGCGCAGCGGGCCCGGUGGAUGAAGGUGCAAGAGCUGGAACCUCCUUAGGAGGGCGCAUAGAGACAGGAACAACAUGUGCCGGAUUGCUCAAGUCGCCAGACGAAGCUGUCGACCACGAUGGCAACAUAGCAGACGAAGCCCCCGCGGUCAUUUCCUUCCUUUUUUGCGCCUCCAAAUUCAAGGUCUUUUGCUUCGCCUUAGCGGUCACUUGCAAUUCAAUAGUGAGCUUCACCACGGGUACGAAGUCAAAUUUUGCCUUUUUCCUCUGCUCAAGACUAGCACCGCGACGGCGCCUCUUGCCCGUAACUUUGGGGUGAGGCAGAACCACAAUAUCAUACAAGUCAAAAAUCUGAGAUGAUGACAUUCCAUUUGUAUCCAUGAUUUAUAUUGUGUUCCUUGAAUAUCCAUUAAAGUCUACUUGAAUUGAUUUGCAAUUAUGUGAAUUGUAUGUGAAACUCUUUCCUUGUAUGGUUAUUCUAAAGUUGUCCCUAGUCGGAGUUCAUGUGAGGACACAUGAAUAUUAGACUAGCACAUGUAUUAGAUGAUGACUAUGUUUCACAAGUCAUGGACAUGAAGAUGUGGAACUAAUAAUGUGGGCACAUGUGGAGACACGUGCUAGGACUGACCCAACACGAGAAGUAGUUCUCUCUUUAUACAACAUAUACGCUUUGUCCUUAGACCUGAGAUUGUCGCAUGUACUCAAGAUGUGGAUUGACUUACUUAGGGGCUAUCAAAUUCUACGCCGUAACAGGGUAGUUAUAAAGGUAGCUUUCGGGUUUGUCAAGAAGCAUGCUAUGAGACAUGGUCAAUCAAGAUGGGAUUUGCCCCUCUCUGAUUGAGAGUGAUAUCUCUGGGCCCCUCGAGUGAUCGGAUCCGAAAAUGCAUGGCCAUGCUACAUACGGUUAAGAGUUAGCCUACAAAGGGAUUCCGAAUCAUAGGAUCGAGAAAGAGCGGUCGGCUUGAAGCUAGACCAAAUAUCGUGAGGCAAAGGGAAUAGCAUGUAUAUAAUGUUGUGAUGGUUCGUCUGAUAUGAUCUUCGUGUGCGUAUAGGAGUUGGCACGUCUUGCUAGAGGUCGCUACCGACUAUUGGGCCGAGUAGGAGUACUCAGGCCAUGUCUAUACGUAUCCGAACCCAUAGGGUCACACACUUAAGGGGCUGGAAGCCCAAUUCGGAUGUGAUCCGAAUUGGAUUAGGUUUAGAAGUACUAAUGGGCCUUGGACCCAGAGGUCCGUUAGGAACCUCUAUAAAUAGAGGGGUGGGGGCGCCCUAGGGUUUACACCUUUUUGGUGAAACACAUCUGCCGCGCCUCCCACGCCCUCGCCUGUUGCAACUCGCGGACCUAGCAGUCCGGCUUGCGACGCUUCCUCCCUGCACGUGUGGAUACCUUGGAAGUGUUGCUCCUGCAGCACUUGGACGAGCCGCCAAUGAGCCACGACGAGCCACGAUGAGCCGACGAUGAGCCGCGGCACGAGGGGGAUCUUGCUGCACGUGGACGAGCUGCUGAGGAGCUGCUGGACGUCGAUGUGUUCGACUACGUACGACUACGCUGAUCGACUUCGCUGCAUCAACGCGAAUCUACAUCUUCCGCAUCAUUGCAUCGAGUGGUAAUCCCGUGAUCCUGAUACGGCAGUUUUCCUAGUUUACGCGGUAGAAAAUUUUAUUUUGCGCUAGUGUAGCCUACCUCAUAUCCCAACAACGUGUGCUAUAGGUCACGCAAGCCUGAAAAUGGCCACACCGGACACCGGGUACGAAAACAUGGGGGAUGGACCGAACAUUUGAAAAUGGCCUCCAUAUGUGUUUUCGGCUAUGAAAACGUGUGUUAUAGGUCACGGAAGCUUGAAAACGGCCGCACCAGCCACUAGGGACGAAAACGUGGGGGAUGGACCGAAGACAUAAAAAAUAGCCUCCAGACGCGUGUUCGGCCAUGAAAACGUGUGGUAUAGGUCCUGGAAGGCCAAAAACAGCUACACCGGCCACCUGGGAUGAAAAAGUUUGUGUAAGACCGAACACUUGAAAAUAGCCUCUGGACGCGUGUUCGGCUAUGAAAAGGUGUGUUAUAGGUCACACGAGCCCCAAAACAACCACAGCGAACACCGGCUACAAAAACAUGGGGGAUGGAUCGAAUAAUUGAAAAUGGCCUCCAGACGUUUGUUCGGCCAUGAAAUCGUGCGUUAUAGGUCGCGGGAGCCCGAAAACGGCCACACCGGCCACCGGGAAUGAAAAUGUGGGGGAUGGACCGAAUAAUUAAAAAUGGCCUCCGGAUGUGUGUUCGGCCAUGAAAACGUAUGUUAUAGGUCACGGGAGCAUGAAAACGGCCGCACUGGCCACUGGGGACGAAACGUGGGGGAUGGACCGAAGACGUGAAAAUGGCCUCCAGACGCAUGUUCGGCCAUGAAAAUGUGUGCUAUAGGUCAUGCAAGGCCAAAAACAGCUGCACCAACAACCGGGGACGAAACCAUGGCUGUCAAACCGAACGCUUGAAAAUCGCCUUCGGACGCGUGUUUGGAUAUGAAAACAUGUGUUGUAGGUCACGCGUGCCCGAAAACGUCCACAACGGACACCGGGUACAAAAACGUGGGGGAUGGAUCGAAUAACUGAAAAUGACCUCCGAACGCGUGUUCGGCCAUGAAAACGUGUGUUAUAGGUUGCGGGAGCCCAAAAAUGGCCACACCGGCCACCGAGGAUCAAAACGUGGGGGAUUGACCGAACAAUUAAAAAUGGCCUCCGAUUGUAUGUUCGGCCAUGAAAACGUGUGUUAUAGGUCAUGGGGGCCCAAAAAUGGCCGCACCAGCCACCAAGGACGAAAAUAUGGGGGAUGGACCAAAGACAUGAAAAUGGCCUCCAGAUGCAUGUUUGGACAAAAGUGUGUGCUAUAUGUCGUGCAAGGCCAAAAACAGCUACACCAGCCACCGGGACGAAAACGUGGGUGUUUGACUAAACAAGUGAAAAUGGCCUCCGGAAGCAUGUACGGCUAUGAAAAUGUGUGCUAUAGGUAAUGGAAGGCUAACAAAAGCUACACCGGCCACCGGGGACAAAAUCAUGGGUGUCAGACUGAACACUUCAAAAUGGCCUCCGGACGCGUGUCCGGCUAUCAAAACGUGUGUUAUAGGUCAUGCGAGCCCGAAAACAACCACACUGAACACCGGGUACAGAAACAUGGGGGAUGGACUGAAUAACUGAAAAUGGCCUCUAGACGCGUGUUCGGUCAUGAAAACAUGUGUUGUAGGAUGCGGGAGCCCGAAAACGGCCACACCGGCCACCAGGGCAUGGACCAAACAAUUGAAAAUGGCCUCCGGAUGUGUGUUCGGCCAUGAAAACGUGUGUUAUAGGUCACGGGAGCCCAAAAAUAGCCGCACCGACCACUGGGGAUGAAAUCGUGGGGGAUGGACCGAAGAUGUGAAAAUGGCCUCUAGAUGCGUGUUCGGCCAUGAAAACGUGCGCUAUAAGUCAUGUAAGGCUAAAAAUUGCUACACCGGGACUAAAGCAUCCCCCAUGAGUUACAAUAAAAGGAUUGUAUCCUCUACUCAGUCGGAUGUACUGUGUAGGUGAGAUGGUAAGGAAGCUAUGCGCGUGGUUUGAGGUUGUGGGUUGAAAUCCUACGCACCGCGCGCACACGCGCAUAUUUUGUGUGAAAAAUCAUGUGACUUGUGAUCGGCCAAGGAGAAGUGGGUGCAGCUGUGGCUUAAGUGGCUGAGGCACGCUGCCAUAGACAUCUCCGAUUUGCUCGAAGACUACCAAGACACUAGCAAUAACAAGAACUACUGCUCUUCCUAGCAGACUCUUCACAACCACUUUAAAGCUGUGCAUUUCUCAAUGCAAUUUCGUAGAAGGCAAUCGAUCCAACCACGCGACUAAAUCAUUUGUUCUUGCUAAUGAUGUACAUCAGGUUUUCUAUAUGAAGGACAUGUCUAGCAAACCUAAGAUUUUAGAAGAAAAAUAAAAAUUAUGGGAGUCAAUAAUAAAUCAGGCCAAUCAGGAGAUUAUAGUAAGCUCGAUGGUAUGCCUCCAUUCGAUGUCGAAGUUGGCCCAAGCAUCAUGUUAGCCAAAGAUCAAAUGUUCGUGCAUUGCUACGGUAAAGAUCAAUUGUGUCUUUUAAACCCAUGGAAUUUUUUAUCUAUGUUUUUAUUACACUUAAUGGAUGUCUACACAUUUGCUAGAAAAUCAAAAUAAUUUUGACUUAAUUAUUUCUUUCAACUCAAAUACUCAUUAAAUUUCUACCUUUUUAUUUAAGCAAGAGAGUUGCUCAAAAAAUGGAUACGUAACCAUGUUGUAUCAUACAAAGCAACCACAUUUCACAUAUAGUCUGGCUUAGCAAACACCAUUGUUGUCUUAACAUAGUGUUCAUGAGUUAGUAGACAUGGAUCUAUUUCUAAUUGCAAGUAGUGCAGCGUACAACCAGCCUGCACCGCCGCAGCUCAAUAUGCGAUAAUUUUUUAUCUUCCCAUGUAAUUUUUCUACUCUAGUACAUAUUGAACUCCACAUAAAUGUCAUGUUCUUUCACGCCACAGACGGUUUCUAAAGUUUGGGAACUAAAUAGAUAGCCAAAAAUUUUAAAAAAAUAUUUAUAUGGAUACAUGUAUGUUCUUUGCAAACUAACAAUAUUGUUUACAAUAUCAAAAGGAAUAUGGCUAUGAUCAUUGCCGCAUAUGGCAGGUGAUGGUAGAUGCCGUAUGGGGUUUCUUUAACUUAAUUGUAUAAUAAGCUGAAAUACAUUUUCUAUUUGCAAAUGAAUCAUAGCUGAAAGUGGUGGGAUUGUAGAACCGCCGUCCAUCGUGUCCUUGUAGGACCGCUGCACGAGCCUGUGAGCCACCAGCCACCAUGCGCCCAAGGGCCAUCACCACGCCACAAGAGGAUGCUGUCUACCCGGUUUCGCGCGCCUGUGCUAGCUGCCUGAACCUGGGCCGCCGCCGGUCGCCUGCCCAGCCGCGCGUUGCGCCAGGGUUUUGCUGGUGACGACCAUGGCCUUCGCGAUCAAAUUAAAAAGUUAUCAACUGCAAAGUAUUAGGCCUCGUUGAGCUCUACAAUUUUGAUAUAAAGUUUCUAUUCAUCUGAGAUCAAAUAAAAAAUUUGAUACUCAAAACAUAAAUCCAUUAAUCUAGUCUUGCUAAUCCUUACCACCAAAUAAAAAACUAGCAUGUGUUGUGUGUUUGUGACCCUAAACGAUCACAAAUGAAUAACUUAUGGACCUUGCUAGCGCCCGGAUGUCCAGGCCGGGGCACUAGCAUCAGACCCACGAGUAGCCGUCCGAUCGGGUUCGACACCACUUCAGGAUCUGGCUUAAAAAGAAGUCCCACCGAAACAUUGUUCCAUGUUGCAUGAAGCAACCCACUACCGUCGCCAGGUCUAGAGCAAGCACCACCUUCAAAUCUGCUGCUCACCCUAGCUAAAUAGGGGCAUUAAAAUAUUUCUCGCAUAUCCUUCUCAAAUUAAACAAAAUCGCAACAUCUGAAAAUUUUUACAGAAAACCAUGAAACAUAUCGAUUAGAUAGAUGUAACAAGAUGGAAUAUGGUAUAUGCAACAUAUAGGUUCCGAAAAGCAGAUGAAAUAUUAUGUAAUGAUUCUUGAAACAGUCGAGAAAAAUAGAUGUAACAUCUAAAAUUAAGAAAAGAAGCUUUAUGCAAAUUGCAAAAAGCUGAAACAAGUGGUUGAAACAUUUCAAAUCACCAAAUGCCACAUUUGAAAUGACCAGAUGAAACAUCACGAAAUCAAUUGCAACAGUUGAAGAUGAAAACAUUCAAAUGCCUUGCCUUUCUCCAAAUUUGACCCUCCAAGCAUGAGUCCAGCCAUUUGCACAUUAGACCCUUGGGAGGAGCUCACCGGAGAACAACAAGACCGUGUUAUCCAACAAUUUUCAGAUCAAAUUGCAACAUAAAGAACAAAGCAUUGCAACAUCUGGCAUCACGAGCUACAACAGCAACCAGUUAGGAUCAGGAGAAAGAGGGCAAACACAAGCCUAACAAUGAGUUAUAUCCGGUUUAAACAAGGAUAAAAAUGAGUGUAUUUUACACUCAUCAUGUUGUCUUUUCGCAGCUGUACCGCCUUUAGCGUGUUGUAUUGUUCCUAACACCAAGUCUCCGAGGCCCGAAAAAAUAAGGAAAGUGGUAGCAGCUCAGAAAUCGACUAAGUUUCUUUCCCCCUUUGGCUUUCCUACUAGGAUUCGGAAUCCUCUUUUGUAUGACAAUCUUAAUGAUCUCCCAUAGUCCAAAACUCACAAAAACAUCAAAAAUCCACCGAGAAUAAAUUAAGUAAAAAAACAUGCACACACAGAUAAUAAUAGUAAUCAUGUUUCAUUAUGAUUGCUAAGGUCAGACACAAUACAUAAACAUAUUAGACUGAGUGACCCACCUCACCUCAGAGUAUGCACCAUGUCUGAGUGACCCACCUCACCUUGCCAGGACACUGGUCCUGCCCUCGUGGUUCACGCGCCCUCGUGGUUCAGCAGUGGUCAGUACACAAAUCUAGCUGCCAGUCGGAUCCAAGGGCAGGCAUUUGCAUUGUGGUUGUGUUUGAACAUGGAGAUGUCAUUAUUAUUGUCAGGCACCAUACAUCCUCUCUCAGUUUCACUCCGCCUCACACACGGAUAGCACACCAGGGACCCGACACCAUGCAUGCCGAUUUCAUAUUAUUAAUAUUUAAUUUUUUUAAUGGUUGUUGAAACUAUAUUGUUGAUAUUUUUAUACAUAAUUUACGACCUAAUUUGGAUAUAUUUUUGAAAUAUUCCGAAAUCUUAAAUUCACACGUCUAGAGAUACAGUUAGUCCAAUCUGAUGUUUCCGAUUAUAAAAAUGAACAUAAAGAGAUAGGAAGCGAGAGACGUGAGGGGGAAAGUGAAAUUAGGGCCUAAGGGGUGAAGUUAGGGUUCCAGGUGAGCUGUCAUCACUACGUGUUUUUAAUCGAAAUUGGAAUGUCAGCAAUCGUCAGAUCUUGAGCCAACAGUUGAGACUGCCUCGGAAUGGUAAUUAGGUCUGCGCGAGCUUGCAUUGUGGCCUUCCUUGAAACCUUGGACAUAGGUGUUAUAUUAUUAUGUUCUUGCCAGCACACAGCAGACGACACAGUUGAGAUGUGCAUCACAUUUUCUAUAUGAAGGAUAUGUUUAGCAAACCUAAGAUUUUAGAAGAAAAAGAAAAAUCAUGGGAACCAAAGCGCCACAUAGUUCUUCCAGGUAAAAAAAAAUCAUCCACUAGACCAACACAUAUAGUAACGAUCCAAAAAGUCCAUAUUAAGAUUUUUUGAUAGCAGAAAAAACAUAAAAUGUCUAAUAUUUGUAGUAUUAAAAGGAAAAAUAAUAUAUUCACUUGACCUUUUUCCCGUAGCAACGCACCCGGUACGUGGUCAGACUUAAUGCACGAUGCCUAAGCAUCCAUUGGGCCUACCCUCGUGUGGAUCACGCGCAACAGGACACGGCUCACAAGCUAUGAUGUGCAGCAGUCGCUCAGAUGGCUGAAAGGUACCCUUAAUUUGAUGGUACCAUAUAUAUAUAUAUAUAUAUAUAUAUAAACAAGACAAACCACCGUUGAUACUACUUUGCACUACUUGAUACAUAUAUCUCCACCAAAAGCGAGGCACGUGGGGAGGAGACGAUAUGUGGUUGAUGGUACGGGUACGUGACGAGCGCACCGUACGAAAAUUUUGCUCGCGUCGGACGACUGAUGUGAAGCAUUACCCAAUCUUAAUUAUCUCGCAUAAUCCAAAACUCACAACAACAUCAAAAAUCCGUCGAGAAUAAAUUAAGUAAACCAUGCACACACAGAUAAUAAAAUUGCUAAUAAGGCCAGAGACAAUACAUAAACAUAUUAAACUGUUCAUGACACAUAUCACGGUGGAUAGUGUCUGUGUCCUUAUUACAAGCAAUGAGAGAUGCUUGUCACCACACACACGCACAGAUGCACGACAUACAUAUAGUUGAGACCAACAGAUGGAUCAACUAGAGGUCACCCCAUAUGGUGAACAAUUUAUUGGAGAUAAACAUUAACAUAACUUGGCCAUAGCUUGAAGCAUAGCAACAUAUGCCUAUGAACGGCGUUCAUGCUAUCAUUUUAGGCUUGUCCGCUUCUUCCAUCUUAGCAAGCACUUCCAUUUCUACCAUCUUAGAAGCAACUGUCAAAUUGAGAUAUGGAAAUCCCAUUAGCGCAUGAGUUAAUUUUACAGUGAAAAUAGAGUACAAGAUGUCUUCAUGAUGUAAGUAACAUGCCUGAAGUUGUGAGAUGGGAAGUGAAGUCAACAAAUUACAUUAACGGAAAUGCAUGGAAGGCCACACAUACGUAUUAGUCCAUGAUAUGCUACAAAGCUUGUAUGUACAUAUAGCAAAUUAAAUGCAUUAAUUGAAUAGAGUGAGUUUAGUGAAUUUACCAGAAUCGUCCAGAAAACAUGGGAAACAGCAAGUGUUCUUGCAGACUGCGUCGGUGCCACCCACAGCAAUACAACCAAAACAACAUGCUUUUGCCCGAGCGGCUGAGCAGCAGCCGCACUCUGCCGCGGUGGCCGAGUUAGCAUUGAGGCUCAAGAUGACCAGGCACAUGAUCACCAUCAAAGCGGUAGUCCUCUUUCCCUCCAUUGCCUCCUCUUGCUGCUACCUUCCUUGGUUACCUAGCUAAGUUUAUUGGUUUUGUGUUGAGAGGUGAUUCUUGCAUUGAAUGGACGUUGCCGCGGCUGCAAUUUAUAGGCAGCUGCGCUAUGUGAUGAUAUGGACAAGGUGCAAAUGGGUGGUCCUGAUAUGGAUAAGGUGCAUGCGAAUGGCUGUCUACUUGUAUAGUGUAGCUCCAAUGUACAUACGUAUGUAUCUUAUGCAUGUAUACAGUUGAUGGAUGUACAUGUUUGUUGCACAAAUUCUGAACCAACUCUUCAUAACAGGUCUUUGUUACCAAGUAAUUUUACUUUUGCACGUUUCAGCCGAGAGGCAGAAGAGAAUAUUUUACAGAGAGGGCAGAGAAGGAGGUUGGCGGAGGCGCCGUGGUAGGGUUCCCCGUGUCGCCAAGAUUUUUGCAUUUUACAUGUGUGCAUUGAUCACUUCGUCGUGCUCGCGGGGCCCAACUCCAGGUUGUACCCCAGCAGACCACGUUCUGUUUCUCUGCCUCCAAUGAGCAUGCAUGCCUCCACAAGGACCACAAGACUUAGUAAAAAAGCUAAACUUUGCAACACGAUGUAUACAGAACGUUUUGAAAUGUACUCUCGUUAGGCAUUCACCUCCUUAACAAUCACUGCGACUGUAAAAUAGGUACAUCGACGCUAGCUAAAUAAACCACUAUAAGAUUUAGCAAGAGAUCAUUUUAUACAAUCCUGUAACGAAACAAUUUGACAAUUAUAGUGUCCAUAUAUUUUGACAAAAAAACGUUUAAAUUAUAUAAGGAGGUGGGCCCGAAAACGGUUGGAUUACAUCGAGAACGUUUUGAAACAGUUGGCGGAGCAGGAUUCUGGCGUGGAGCAUCUACAUUGUCGCGCGCGCGGACUGCCGGAGUAGGCACGCUCGACUUGUCCCAUCGCCAGCUAAAUGAUUUAGUACCGGAUGGUCUCUAGUACCGGUUGGAGCCACCGUCCACCGGGAGCUUUCCUAGUUUGGAACUGGUACUAAUGCUAAUAUUAGUAUCGGGUCAAAAACAAUCGGUACUAAGGCUAGGGAUGACACGUCAUUUUUCUAGUAGUGUGUGCAAUUGGUUUUGUAAUUAGUCUAUAUUUAAUACUUCUAAUUAGUAUCUAAAUAUUUUAUGUGAUAGGGACUGAACUUUAGUCCGUGGAACCAAACACCCCAUAAGUAUGUUUGGUGCUGUAAGGAUUUCCUAAGGUUUUAUUUAAUUUCCUAGGCAUUUAAAUUUCUUUCUAAAAUAAGUUAAUGAAUCAUAGGAUCUCAUUGUUGUAUUCAAGCUGGUGCAUUGAUUUUGCCUAUAAAACCCGCUGUGGUCUUCGCAGCCCCCAUCAAACCCUAGCGCCCUUGCCACAAGCUCAGCACCGCUGCCGCCCGAGCUCGAGCACUAGCACCCACCCAUCGUCGUUGCCUUCCCGUCGAUGGGAUCACCGCCCGGAGCUUCGCAUCGUGGUAAGGAAGCCGCCCGUGAAGAUCCCAUGUGCUCCUAUGCCCUCUACCGUGUCCCCGAGUUCCCGAAGUUGCUAGUCUCCUACUGAGCCGACUCUCCGAGCUUCACGUCACCGGUGCCGCUCCGAAGACCUAGUUCGGUUCGCCGUGCACCUCGCUUCAUCCUGAGCUAAACCCCAUAAUGAAUGGUGGCCGGAUGCUCGCCGCCACGGCGCGUCGUCUUUUUUGUUGCCCGUGCAUUGCCUAUCCCCUUCCAGCCGAUUGCAGCUGUCCAAUCGCAAACCGAUGGCCCUGAUCGGAUACCAAGGUCAAUACCGGUCGAACCGAGCCGUGCACUGCUUUUGCAAGAAGGCUCCUGUUUUUCUCUCUUUUUGCACCUGAGGUCCUACGCAGUUCAAAAGUAAUAAGAUCUAGGUCCUUUUUCUUUUGUUUUAGCCCGUGUUCUUUUAUAAAAUCCCGCCCACUAUUCUGUUUGGUCUUUUGACGCGUUAGACCUUCUGUUUAUAUGUUUAAUUAGGUUUUAGGUCUCGAUUUCUUUAAGUUUAGCCCUUGAAAGUUUAGUUCUCUCGCAGUUAAGCCCCUGAACCUUGUUUAGCUCAUAUCUUAAGCGUUUUAAAUCCGUUUUAACAGAUUCUUGCGCCUAUAAGUUCAUGUUGACGCAUAGAUUAGUUGACUUAUAUGAACCUUGCUGAUUAAGCUCCUUGAUUGUGCCUCAGAUCUCGCUAGGGAAGAAUAAUGGAUGGGCUUUGGUUGAGCUUGUAGAUCGACUUGCAGUUGCAGUGAAUGAGCAGAGGAUUGGCAGUGAAUAAGAGGCCGCUGCCCUGCUUGGUAGGGAAAAUAUCUGCUUGCUACCAAGGCCUGUGACGCAUGGACCCCAUUGAGAGUGCAUUAUUGACAAGGACUUAAAGCCAAGGGCUCCACACCUGUCAUUGAUCAGCUGUCUGCUGGGCGCUGCAAGGAGGUAGUGCAUGUUUGACAUAAAGAAGCAGGUGGCCCAGGAUUUACGAAGAAUAAGGAUCUAUUUGAUACCCUUGCUUAUAUUUAGGGGCUAAAAGUUGCUUAUUUGAAGUUGCUUAUUUUUAAUCCUAGCUGUUUGAUUGCAUGGGCUAAAGAGCAUUGAAUGAGGUGGACAUUGUCAUGUUUGCCUCUAAUGAUUACUUCCCAUCACAUUUCUCCCCCCUCAUUCAACGAGGGAAGGAGGUGUAAAGUGCACCUUUUAGCCUCGAUAAGCAACCCUUGUGUUGUUUACGGGCUGAACAUAAGUAGCUAAAGUUUAGCUCCAAUAAACAAGAGUGUUUGGUAUUUUUGGGGUUAAAAGGGGCUAAACUUUAGCUGCUUAUGCAUAAGCAAGGCCAUCCAAAUAGGCCCUAAGUAUGUUUGGCGUUGUAAGUAGGUUUUAUUUAAUUUCCUAGGCAUUUAAAUUUCUUUCUAAAAUAAGUUAAUGAAUCAUAGGAGUUCAUUGUUGCAUUCACGCUGGUGCAUUGAUUUUGCCUACAAAACCUGCUGCCGUUUCCGCAGCUCCCAUCAAACCCUAGCACCCCCGCCACGAGCUCCAGCGCCGCUGCCGCCCGAGCUUGAGCACUAGCGCACACCCAUCGCCGUCACCUUCCUGUCAAUGGGAUCACCGCCCGGAGCCCGCAUCAUGGUAAAGAAGCCGCCCGUGAAGAUCCCGUCCGCUCUCGUGCCCUCUACCGCGUCCCCGAGUUCACCGGAGUUGCCAGGCCACCACCCAGCCGCCUCUCCGAGCUUCAUGUCGUCGUUGCCACUCUAGCUGCCACUCUGAAGACCUAGAUCGGUUUGCCGUGCACCCCGCUUCAUCCUGAGCUAAACCCCAUCAUGCCACGUCAUAGUAAGGAAGCUGCUCAUGAAGAUCCCGUGCGCUCCCGUGCCCUCUACCGCGUCCCCAAGUUCACUGGAGUUGCUAGUCCGCCACCGAGCUGCCUCUCUGAGCUUCACUUCAUCGUCACUGCUCCAGCCGCCACUCUGAAGACCUAGAUGAGUUCACUGUGCACCCCACUUCAUCCUGAGCUAAACCCCAUGACGAACUGUGGUCGGAUGCUCGUUUUCGAGCGAAUUCCGGCGAGAUGGUCACCCGCCGCCGCCGUCUCCGUCGCCCAUGCACCGCCUGUCCCCUUCCAGCCGAUGUCCGGUUGCAAACCGAUAGCCAAAAUCGGAUCUGGUCACCAGGAUUAAUACCGGUCAAACUGAGCCACGUGCGCCGCUUUUGCAAGAAGGCCCCUAUUUUUCCCUCUUUUUGCACCUGAGGUCCUACGCAGUUCAAAAGUAAUUAGAUCAGGGUCCUUUUUCUUAUGUUUUAGCCCAAUUCUUUUAUAAAAUCCCGGCUGCCAUCCUGUUCGAAAUAGAUACGGUUAUAGAUAUGCAAACAUCUGCAUAUUUCCAACCGUAUCUCUUUUGAAUGGGAGACGCCUAACUAGGUUACGUGACAUACGAACAUCAUACGGAUAGAGAGGGGUAGGAUGCCUCACCUUGCUAUCCUACAAAGUGACGACUCGAGGACGGUAAUGUAGCCUCUCCUGCAAAAAAAGAACAUACUACUAUCAAGUUAAAUUUUCGACAGCACCUCCCCUGCACGUGGAGGUUUCCAUAACCUGCAUCAAAUAAAACGGCACGAUGGCUGACAACCACAUCUACAGCACCAGAAUGGCAUGAUGGCCGACUUCCACAUAAAGUUCUUAUACCUUAGAUUGCCAAGUCAAACAUCCUUUUCUAAUUUCUAAAACAAAAGCCCUACCACCUCUCUAUCUUAUUUCCUAUGGGCUNNNNNNNNNNNNNNNNNNNNNNNNNNNNNNNNNNNNNNNNNNNNNNNNNNNNNNNNNNNNNNNNNNNNNNNNNNNNNNNNNNNNNNNNNNNNNNNNNNNNNNNNNNNNNNNNNNNNNNNNNNNNNNNNNNNNNNNNNNNNNNNNNNNNNNNNNNNNNNNNNNNNNNNNNNNNNNNNNNNNNNNNNNNNNNNNNNNNNNNNNNNNNNNNNNNNNNNNNNNNNNNNNNNNNNNNNNNNNNNNNNNNNNNNNNNNNNNNNNNNNNNNNNNNNNNNNNNNNNNNNNNNNNNNNNNNNNNNNNNNNNNNNNNNNNNNNNNNNNNNNNNNNNNNNNNNNNNNNNNNNNNNNNNNNNNNNNNNNNNNNNNNNNNNNNNNNNNNNNNNNNNNNNNNNNNNNNNNNNNNNNNNNNNNNNNNNNNNNNNNNNNNNNNNNNNNNNNNNNNNNNNNNNNNNNNNNNNNNNNNNNNNNNNNNNNNNNNNNNNNNNNNNNNNNNNNNNNNNNNNNNNNNNNNNNNNNNNNNNNNNNNNNNNNNNNNNNNNNNNNNNNNNNNNNNNNNNNNNNNNNNNNNNNNNNNNNNNNNNNNNNNNNNNNNNNNNNNNNNNNNNNNNNNNNNNNNNNNNNNNNNNNNNNNNNNNNNNNNNNNNNNNNNNNNNNNNNNNNNNNNNNNNNNNNNNNNNNNNNNNNNNNNNNNNNNNNNNNNNNNNNNNNNNNNNNNNNNNNNNNNNNNNNNNNNNNNNNNNNNNNNNNNNNNNNNNNNNNNNNNNNNNNNNNNNNNNNNNNNNNNNNNNNNNNNNNNNNNNNNNNNNNNNNNNNNNNNNNNNNNNNNNNNNNNNNNNNNNNNNNNNNNNNNNNNNNNNNNNNNNNNNNNNNNNNNNNNNNNNNNNNNNNNNNNNNNNNNNNNNNNNNNNNNNNNNNNNNNNNNNNNNNNNNNNNNNNNNNNNNNNNNNNNNNNNNNNNNNNNNNNNNNNNNGACAUUCCCAGGCCCGUCAAGUCCAUCACCGCACGCAGUCGAAUCCCGAAAUUUCCGCCAUCUUUUUCCCCUCCCUUCCCUCUCUUUCCCUUCCUUCCUUCUUUUUCCUCCCCUUUCUUUCCCUUCUCUUUUUCCUUCUCUUUCUUCCUCCUCUCCCUUUUUCCUUUUCUUCUCUCUCUUCUUUUACUUCCCUGCCACCUUCCCACUGGCGCUGCACACCCCCCCACUGCCUGGCACGCGCGUCGGGCCGCGCGCCCGCGCCCGCGCCCGCCGCCGCGUCGCGCCGCCCGUGCCACGCCCGCUCGCGCCUUGGCGUCUAGCGCUUGGCUCGGUGCGUCGCGUCGUGUCGCCGGUCACCGGUCGCCGCCCCUGUGGCCUCGUCGACCACGCCGCCACGCCAUCCACGAGCUCCACCACUCCGGCACGCCACCGGUCAAAAGUCCGGCCACCAUCAUUACCUCGGCCCUCGCCCGCCCGUGCGCCGCCUAUAAAAGGGGGGAGCCGAGCCUUCACCUCCACACCCUCACCACGAGCACCUGGCCUUCCUCCACUCCCACCACCAGAGCGCCGACGACCAUCUUCCUCUCAACCUUCUGUUGCCUCCAGGAAGAAGAAGGGGUAAAUCCCUCUCCUUGCGAUCCAACCCACCAAUUUCCCUGAUUCGCGGACAAGUCCUUCCACCAUUCCAAAAAUAAUUACAGAUAGGCCCCUGCUCUCGCGGUUCAGUCCUAAACCCCGUUUUAAAGCCCAUAAUACUCCUUUAAACCGUCAUUUCAUGCGCCAAAUUUCCUCCAAUCCACCCCAAAUUCGACCACAGCCUCCUCUCAUAUAUUCCCGCCGAGGCUUAUCGAAAUUCCAUGAAAAUACCCUGUCUAUCUAUUUUCCGUUCAUGUUUCCUGUUCGGAGCUCAGCGGGUAAAAUCUUUUUCCUUUGUAUUUAUUGUGUGCUCGUUUGUGUGUGCCGUAGAUUGUGGAGUACCCGAGGAGGAGCGCGAGGAGGAGUUCGACCGCGAGCCCGAGCCCGAGGACCCGUACCGCGAGCAGGAGCUCCCGGAAGGCUUUGAGAACGGCAAGUCCAAUCUCACCCUUUGAUGCAUAUUUAAUACCCAGUUUUUCAGACACAACCUAUUGGCCUGUUUUAUAACAUGCAUAUUGUUUUAUCGCAAGACAUGGUUGGAUAGCCACCCCUUGAUUGUUAUGACUAUUCCUUGAUUGUCCCAUAUUUAUCUCUAAAUAUGAGUUACUCUGUUUAGAUGAUAAAUACUGCUAGAAUGCUUAGGAACUCAUUACCCAAAUUCAAACUUGACUACACCUGUUUACUCGGAAAAUAAUGUGUGAGUAUGUUUAACUGAGGAGUUGGGUUUUCGGGUGUAAAGAGAGGUGGUGGAUGAGAUGGAUGGGUGUUUCUUGUGUGGAACGCCGGGUUGAUAGGCUCGUACCUCAGUGGUUGGGCAGAGUGGGAGAUAUCCAUCUUGUCAUGGCUAAGGACCGAGUUGAUGUGUCAUCCUGCCUAAUUCCAUCAUCGUACAACCACUCGACCGUUGUAUGGGCAACGGCUUAGCAUAAAUCCCACUAGCUAAACUGCUAGGCUUCAGGUGUGCUGGUGAGCAACGGGAGGCCUUGGAAACGGACUAAGCUCUUGGUGACUUAGGUCCCGGUUACGGCCCCGUGGAUGGGUUGCUAACCCCUUGAGCGCUCCUAUGUUGACUAGUCAGUGUUGGCUAAGGUGGGUAAUGGCUUUGAUAGGAUCCGUACCGACACUAAGGUGAUCGCGAUACGGUUCCCUACUUGUGGGAAAAGUGUACAACCUCUGCAGAGUUAAAACCUAUCCGGGUAGCCGUGUCCACGGCAUUGGACGAGUUACGGCUCGGUCACACAACUAGCUUUUGGGGAUGACUGGUAUUUUUUUACCGCGUGUGUGGGUGUGUGGAGUUUUGGAAGUGUCCGGCAGGUGUGCCGUGCGCUACGGCGGACGGGGAGUCCGGUAGCGAUAAAACUUGGAUCCUUUGUGUAGGAUCAACCCCACUUGAUAUGUUGUUUACUAAAAAUGUUUUCCAUUAAACCGCUUUGAAAUGGAACCCCGCAUGUGUCUAAAAAGUCAGCUUUACUGCAAAUAAACCAUAGCUUAUUCCUUGAUUAUUCAUAUGCAUAUUCUUGUUGUAUCCCCCUCCGUGGAUGGGGUUGGACUUGCUGAGUACUUUUGUACUCACCCUUGUGUUGUUACUUCAGAGGAGGAUCCGGACUUCGUCGCCGAGGACUUUGAGUAGGAGGUUGCGUCUGCACCCAACGCUGCCUGUGGUGUUGGCCCUUUUGCAGGAUGCUUCCGCUGACGCUUAGCUCCGAUUGCAGCCCGGAGUCCGACUGGACCGCAACUUGGAUUUGUGUUGUUAUCGCUUUAGUCUUGCUUUGGGUGUGGCUUGCCCGCCCGCUCCUUCGGGAGCUGUACGGUUUCUGAACUAUCUGUUGAAUAAAUGUGUUAUCAGCCUCCUGGGACUGAUAAUUUGGAUCACAUUUAGUCUCUACUUAUGUGGGGACGCUUCACCGUGACAUACUUUGCCAAGUGUGUAGCGAAAACACUCGGCAAAAUAUUAUCUUUACCGAGUGUUUUCACUAGAUACUCGGCAAAGUACACUUAUAUUUCAUGUACACUUUUUCAAUAACGUGUUUUACUAACCUUUUUCUGAUAUACUUGGGAAAAACCUUGUCAAAUUCACUCAACAAUGGAUAUAUGAUUUUUCUAUUGAUAUUAUUCCAUUAUUUCAUUCAGUUAUAGCUCAAAUUGAAUUUAUAUCUAUUAAAAAUCAAUAAUUGCAUUUAAUAAAUAAAAAUACCAAACGGAUCCGAAAAAUUUCCAAAAUUUGACAUGAACCAAUCUAUGUUGUAUGUUGCCUGUACAAAAAGCUUUGAAGUCAAACCCCAAUUCAAGUGUCACUUGGACUCCAAAUCUUAUCGGAUCCUUUCUAACUUCUAUGAAUCCUUUUGGGAGAUGAGUCGGUUUGUAAGCAUCAUAUGUCAGAAAUUGGGCGAAACCUUCUCAAUUUUUUACCACAGCCUCCACAUAUAAUAUCAUGACACCUUGACAAAUCUUAUGAUUUUCAGACUUCGUUUGCUUUUUCUAGAAUUUAACAACCAUUCAACCACAUGUUCGUGAUCGUGUUUUCUAAAAAGAAUGUUCAAAAUUUCUUUUCAUUUCCUGGUUGAGACCUCAAUCCGGAUUGAAUAAUAUGAAUAUGAUUUUUUCACUGAUUUUAAUCCAUUAUUUAAAUCACUUGCAGUUAAAAUUUGACUUAAAUAAACAAAUUCCUAUUAAUGCCAUCAAUUCAUUAAAAAUGGCAAACAGACAAAAAAUAGACCAACUUUUAAGAUGGAUUACCAAAUGUCAUAUAUGGGGAGUAGAAAAAGUGUGGAGAGCAGAGGUGGAAAAAAAAGUUUUGCCUUUGCCAAGUGCCUACACAAACACUCAACAAACUUUGCGGAGUGCCUAUUGAAAACACUCAGCGAACUUCUGAGUUUGCCGAGUGUCUAGAGGGAGCACUCGGCAACCUACUUAUUUGCCGAGUGUCCGCGUCGGACACUCAGCAAAGUACUAACGGCUGGCACACUCCCCUAACGGACGGCGCACGUGCGAGCCAUGUGCUGGAGAUUUAUCGAGUGUCAAAUCGUUGCGAGUGUCGUGUGGAUGUUUGUCGAGUGUCUUAUUUGCGACACUCGGCAAAGCUAUUGUUUGCCGAGUGUAUUAUUUAUGCCGAGUGUCUUCCAGUAUACACUCGGCAAAUGAUGUCUUUGCCGAGUGCCCGACAUAAAGCACUCGGCAAAAAUUUUACACUCGGCAACGUUCCUGUUUCCGGUAGUGAGUGACCCGGGACUAAAGACCCCUCUUGUCUCUAAUUGCUUUAUUCCGGAUGGAUUUUCAGGAGAUUUGCUCCCUACCUAGGCAAGUUUUCUACUUUUCGCAAACCAGUUAGCCCAUUGUUGAUGGGACGCAUCACUAGAAACAGCUCGGGAUCCACUUGUCCAAUAAUCGAGAGGGCCUAUAUGGACCACGUGUGCGGAUCCCUAAUUAGGAAAAAAGAAUAAUGGAGUAGGACAUCUCCAUGCUCACCUAGUAGCCGCUGCUAGCUUGUGCGUGUGGAACACGAGUGCCGGCCCAGUUGGCGCUAAGACAUCGUACGUGCAUUAAGGCUACGAUCUCUUCCUUCUAACUCAUGCUUGUGCUAUUAUACAUUAUUGCAUGAUCAUCAAGAUAAGAUCGUAUAGUGACUGAGUGAGACAUGUGUGUACUAACGUGCAUUUAAGCCUCGAACUGUGUGUUGUUACGUGAGCUGCCUCCUCACCUCGCCUCUGAAUUAUUGAACCGUUUCCAACAGUGUUGGUCUCAAAUAAAUUUGACACCAAACAUAUUUAUGAAGAAGAGAGAAUAAUACUUGGAAUUGGAAAAAGUUUAUCUCUCUUUACAAUGGGGUAGGGCUCCCCUUUUAUAGUGACCCAUGAGCCACUUUACAUUUGGAAAAUAUCCUUCCUCAACCACUACAUUAAUUCCUAGGAUAUGCCGUACAUAAAGGUCAUUUGAGGUAACGUGUACAAAUUGAACUCUUCCACAUGGUCACGUUUCUCAUACCUCCUGUUUUCCAACCUCAGAGACAUCAUCUUCACGCCAAGUUGAUCAUCUAGCCUCAAGGCUCCAUCCACGAUCCGGAAUGAACGUCCAGCCUUGAGGCUCCUUCUUCGUUAAGCUUUGUUGAGAACUCAUAACCUCACAUAGUUCUCCUCACUGGUAGAGAAUUGACCUUUAGUCCCGGUUGGUAGGGUGCAUAUCUCUCGGAUAUCCAUCCGGGAUAAACCAACCGGGACAAAAGGGGGGGUCUUUAGUCCCGGGUCACUCAACCGAGACAAAAGACCCCCUUUUAUCCCGGUUGGUAAUACCAACCGGGAUAAAAGGGGUCACCCACGGCCGGCAGCUGCAAAAAAAAAAAAAUUCCUGAGCUCCCGGGAGGCCCCCCACACGCGCAAGUCACAAGUCACAAGUCACGCAAUUUUUCACGCGAAAUAUGCGCGUGCGCGGUUCGUGGGAUUCGAACCCACAACCUCCAGCCUCGCGCGUAGCUUCCUUGCCAUCCCACCUACACACCACAUCUGACUAUGUAGGGGAUACUAUCCUUUUGUAUUAACUCGUGGGGGACCCUUUUAUCCCGGUUGGAAACACCAACCGGGAUAAAAUGCCUCUCAGAGUCUUUUUUUCCCACUAGCCUUUGCAACCGGGAUAAAAGGUCCCGGUUGGUGAGCCCCCCACCAGUGACCGAGUUUUAGUCCCGGUUGGUGAACCUUUUGUCCCGGGCCAACUUUAAACCGGGACAAAAGGGGGCGGAUGGAAAGUCGUUUCUCUACUAGUGCCUCCGAGUAUUGUUCCCGACUUAGAACACUCGAGGUUUAGCUCAGUUGGAGUUUAGCUAUUACUGUUGCCAGUCACCAGCCUCGAGCCCCUCCAGAAGCAAGGUGAUGCGAGAGUACAAGUUUUACUAUUAAAGGUGUUUCCAUAUAAUGUGCGAGGUUAAAGCACUUGCAGCAAAAGCGUGGAGCUGCUUUCAACCAGAGUGCAAUAAUGCAGCCGUGCCCGUCUUGGUCUUGGUCUCCGCCUGAACUAUAGCAGAUGCUGGCAGCGGUAGCAGGGUGGUCCAUUAUAUCUAUGGAUGGCAAUGGUCAGAUUCGGAUGGAAUCAAAUUCGAAUAGCACUUUUUACCACGUACUAAUUCAAAUCCGAAUUCGGAUUCGGAUGUUCUCGAAUGCGAAUACAAAAUGGAUGGUUCGAAUUCGAAUACUUAGCGGAUUUUUGCAUAAUAUUAAUCGAAUAGAAUUCAUUAAAUUUAGCUAAGAAAUUAAAUUUUCCAAAUUCAAAUACUUUGCGGAUUUUCGAAUACAAAUUUUUUCAUACGAUCUCGGUGAAUACAAACUUUAUAACUAAGUUGCAUAUUUAGAUUGUAUCUAACACUUUGUACUUGACAUCCUUUUCAUUUAAAAUUGUUUAAUAGCUCAAAACAUUAUUCUAAGCUCUCUAAUUUCAAAAUCUUGAAUUUUAAAUUUUUCAAACGACCUCGGAUGCAAACAAACUCUAUAUCAAAGUGGUAGUGCUUAAUGAGAUAUAAAUUUUGUAGUUGAUAAGUUUUUCAGUUGAAAUCAUAUAGUUACCGCAAACAUACAAGUUCUUCAUUUGAUGUUAAGGAUUGGAAGGGUUAAGUUUGAAGAAUAUAUUUUUUUACCACAAACUUUUUCAUAUGAUCUUGGAUGAAUAUGAACUUUAUUUUAAAGUUACAGAUUUAGAUUAGAUCAAAACCAUUAUAGUUUACAAAUUUUUCAUUCAAAAUUAUUAGUAGCUCAAAAUGUUAUUAUAAGCUCUCUAAUUUCAAAAUCUUGAAUUUUAAAAUUUUCAAACGACCUCAGAUGCAAACAAGCUCAAUAUCGAAGUGGUAGUGCUUAACGAGAUAUAAAAUUUUGUAGUUUCAUCUGAGAUCAUUUAGCAGUCACAAACAUACAAGUUUUUCAUUUGAUGCUAAGGAUUAGAGAGAUUAAAUUUGAAGGUUGUAUUUUUUAAUACAAACUUUUGCAUACGAUCUCGGAUAAAUACAAACUUUAUAUCAAAAUUGUAGACCUCCAUGAGAUUUUAAACUUUGCAGUUUACAUAUUUUUCAUUCGAGAAUGUUUAGUGGUCCAAAAAUGUAUUAUAAGUUCAGAGAAGAAACACACGUCUAGGCACAUCAUCAAUCCACAACUUUCAAACCCAGCAUUCCUAUUGACUCACACCCUUCCCUUUCAACUUGUCAAGCUUAUCUCCUCCCACUCCUCCAUGGUUCACUCCACCUACCCCUCCCUCCCUUCGCCCCAGCGGCGGCCUAACUCCCAGGACGGUGGCGUGCGGGGCCCGAGCAUCCCUGGCCUCUAGUGGCGUGGCGGGGCGGCAUCCAGCAGCAGCGGCGGGGCUCGGCCUCCGGUGGCGCGCGGCCAGCCCGACCUACCCGGUCAGAGGUGGCGCAGCGGUGCGCGGGCCUCCCCGACCAGAGCCGGUGGGGAGCGGUGCGCGGGGAGGACCUCCCCAGCCGGAGGUAGCAGGGCGCGACCUCCCCUUCCGGAGGUGGCUCCCUGUGGGGGCGCGGCCGUGACAGCUAGCGAGGCAAUAAUUGCUUCCGUACGCAGCAAUAAUUGCUCGUGCGACACCGUGGUACAGUACUCCCUCCGUUGCAGUACACUGGUCCAGGCGUCAGGACACUGGUCCUGCCCUCGUGGUUCACGCGCAUCAGGCCAGCAGACAAGCUAUGAUGUUGCCCUCGUGGUUCACGUGCAUCAGGCCAGCAGACAAGCUAUGAUGUUGCCAACAGUGGUCAGUACACAGAUCUCGCUAUCAGUCGGAUCCAAGGGCGCAGGCAUUUGCAUUGUGGUUGUGUUUCUUGGAACAUGGAGAUGUCAUUGUGAUUGUCAGGGACCAUGCAUGCCGAUUUCAUAUUAUUAAUAUUUAUUUUUUCAAUGGUUGUUGAAACUAUAUAGUUACUCCAAUAUCACGUUUCCGAUUAUAAAAGUUAACAUAAAGAGAUCGGAAGGGAGAGCCGGCAUAAUGAAGCCGACGCGUAUAAUAAGCACUACAGCCGGCAUUUAUACAAACGGGUACGCAUAGUAAAAACUAGAAUUUAUAAAUAAAUGAAGAUAUUCAAAUAUCUGCCUUACUUUUUUCAUUAAUUUUGCAUGAAUAAGGGAUGAUUCAUUAAUCAUUAUUGAACAAAUUGGCACACAUGCUUCGUGCCCGCGUUGGGAGCAUUAUGCGAUGCCACCGAGCUGCACCACCACGGUAGAGGGCCUGUUUGGGAAGGGGUGUUAAAGUUUAACACCCCCCAUUUAACACAUUUUUAACAAAAUGGCUGCCAAACACUUGUGUUAAAAGAGUAGUGUUAAAAUUUAACACCUCUCUUUUCAUAAACACAUGGAGGGGGUGUUAAAAUUUGCUAAAUGUGUUAAAAGUGGUCCCCUCCCCACUUAUUCCUUGGUUGCCCCCCCCUCUCUCCUCCUCUCUCUCCUACCCGCCGCAUUUAAGAGCAUUAUUGAGGGGUAAUGCAGUCCUUUUCCAACAAAAGUGUUAAACUUUAACAACCCAUCCAAACAUCCCACAUGUGUUAAAGUUUAACACCUCAUUUGAGGGUGUUAAAGUUUAACACCCUGUUAAACUUUAACACCCCUUCCCAACUUAACACCCCUUCCCAAACAGGCCACAAGCAACACCACCGGCUGACUGUGCUAGCGGGGAGCACCCUCACCGCCUGCCCGUGGGGACUUCUUCUGCCGGCCAUCGUGUCUUUGUAGGACCGCCGCGCGAGCCUGUGAGCCACCGGUGGCCGUGCGCCCAAGGGCCAUCACCAUGCCACCUGAGGAUGCUGUCUACCCGGUGCCGCGUGCCUCUGCUAGCUGCCUGCACCUGGGCCGCCGCUGGUCGCCUGCACAGCCACGCGUUAUAGCCGCCCCCCUGUGCUGGGCCACCCCAUUUCGUGUUGGAAGAACUGCCACAGUCUCGCGCACUGGGGUUUUGCUAGUGACGACCAUAGCCUCCAAGAUCAAAUGAAAAAGUUGGCACUCAAAAUAUACAUCCAUUAAUCUAGUCGUGCUAAUCCUUACCACCAAAUAAAAACUAGCAAGUGUUGUGUGUUUGUGACCCUAAACGAUCACAAAUGAAUAACUUAUGGGCGUUGCUAGCCUAUAAGUUAUGGGCGUUUGUGACCCUAGUCGCGCCGGGGUCUUGCUGGUGACGACCAUGGUCUUCGCGAUAAAGUAUUAAGUCUCAUCGAGCUCUACAAUUUUGAUAUAAAAUUUCUAUUCAUCCGAGAUGAAAUGAAAAACAAAUGAAAAAAUCCGAAGUAUUAGGCUUCAUCGAGCUCUACAAUUUUGAUAUAAAAUUUCUAUUCAUCCGAGAUCAAAUGAAAAAAUCCGAGAUCAAAUGAAAAGUUGGAACUCAAAACAUACAUCCAUUAAUCUUGAUAUAAAAUUUCUAUUCAUCCGACAUCAAAUGAAAAAGUUGGCACUCAAAAUAUACAUCCAUUAAUCUAGUCGUGCUAAUCCUUACCACCAAAUAAAAAAACUAGCAUGUGUUGUGUGUUUCUGACCGUAAACGAUCACAAAUGAAUAACUUAUGGGUGUUGCUAGCAUCCCGGACGCUAGCAUCGGACGCAUGAGCAGCCGUCCGAUCGGGUCCGACACCACUUCACGAUCUGUCUUAAAAAAAAGUUCCACCGAAACAUUUUUCCAUGUUGCAUGAAAUACCCCACUAUCCAUCGCCAGGUCUACAGGAAGCACCACCUUCCAAUCUGCUGCUCACCCAAGUAAAUAGGGGCAUUAAAAUUGCAGAAAUAUGUCACAUAUCCUUGUCAAAUUAAACUAAAUCGCAACAUCCAAAAAUUUCUUACACAAAACCAUGAAACAUAUCGAUUAGAUAGGUGUAACAAGAUGGAAUAUGGUAUGCAACAUAUAGAUUCCGAAAAACGGAUGAAACAUUAUGUAACGAUUGUUGAAACAGUCGAGAAAAAUAGAUGUAACGAUUAAAAUUUAGAAAAGAAGCUUUAUGCAAAUUGCAAAAAGCUGAAAUAAGUGGUUGAAACAUUUCGAAUCACCAAAUGCCACAUUUGAAAUGGCUACAUGAAACAUCACGAAAUCAAUUGCAACAGUUGAAGAUGAAAACAUUCAAAUGCCUUGCCUUUCUCCAGAUUUGACCCUCCAAGCAUGAGUCCAGCCAUUUGCACAUUAGAACCUUGGGAGGAGCUCACCAGAGAACAACAAGACCGUGUUCUCCAACAAUUUUCUGAUCAAACUGCAACAUACAAAACAAAGCAUUGCAACAUCUGGCAUCACGAGCUACAACAUCAACAAGUUAGGAUCAGGAGAAAGAGGGAAAACACAAGCCUAACAACCCCAAGACGAAACUGAUGUACUCAUCAUACAUCACGGCUUGCCGUGCACAGAGAUGAAGGCCGCCAAGCUCAAUCGAAACAGAGACGACGUGAUAGUGCUCCAGAUCGACGGUCCCCAUCAAUUGUUGCGUACACUGCCAAAAGCAAUGGAAGAAGAAGGGUCGUCCCUGCUCGACCUCCGUAGAUGAGCGCAGAUUGGGGGAAACUGUAUAGAGUGCCGCUGACAGCACAGGCGAGGGGGCUCAGGCUUGAUUCAGGGUGAGGGUAGCGGGUAGCAUGAGGAGACAGUCAGGUUUCAUAGGAGAGAGGUGGAGGAGAGAGCUCUGGUGACUCGGUGAGGAGGGUGCGGCACGGAGAAAGGUGUGUAGCUGAAGGAGCUACAUGGUUGGGGGGAGGCGAGCGUAGAGACCAGAGAGGGAAAAAAAGCAUGGGGAGGAGACGAUAUGUGGUUGAUGGUGCGGGCACGUGGCGAGCGCACCGUACGAAAAUUUUGCUCGCGUCGGAUGACUGAUGUGAAGCAUUACCCAAUCUUAAUUAUCUCCCAUAAUCCAAAACUCACAAAAACAUCAAAAAUCCGCUGAGAAUAAAUUAAGUAAACCAUGCACACACAGAUAAUAAAAUUGCUAAUAAGGCCAGAGACAAUACAUAAACAUAUUGGACUGUUCAUGACACAUAUCACGGUGGAUAGUGUCUGUGUCCUUAUUACAAGCAAUGAGAGAUGCUUGUCACCACACACGUGCGCACAGAUGCACGACAUACAUAUAGUUGAGACCAACAGAUGGAUCAACUAGAGGUCACCCCAUAUGGUGAACAAUUUAUUGGAGAUAAACAUUAACAUAACUUGGCCAUAGCUUGAAGCAUAGCAACAUAUGCCUAUGAAUGGCGUUCAUGCUAUCGUUUUAGGCUUGUCCAGCUUCUUUCAUCUUAGCAAGCACUUCCAUUUCUACCAUCUUAGCAGCAACUGUCAAAUUGAGAUAUGGAAAUCCCAUUAGCGCACGAGUUAAUUUUGUAGUUGAAAUAGAGUGCAAGAUGUCUUCAUGAUGUAAAUAACAUGCCUGAAGUUGUGAGAUGGGAAGUGAAGUCAACAAAUUACAUUAACGGAAAUGCAUGGAAGGCCACACAUACGUAUUAGUCCAUAAUACGCUACAAAGCUUGUAUGUACAUAUAGCAAAUUAAAUGCAUUAAUUGAAUAGAGUGAGUUUAGUGAAUUUACCAGAAUCGUCCAGAAAACAUGGGAAACAGCAAGUGUGCUUGCAGACUGUGUCGGAGCCACCCACACGAAUACAAAGCUGACAACAUGCUUGUGCCUCGUGGGAUACGCAGCAGCCGCACUGUGCCGCGGUGGCCGAGUUAACAUUGAGGCACAAGAUGACCAGGCACAUGAUCACCAUCAAAGUGGUAGUCCUCUUUCCCUCCAUUGCCUCCUGUCGCUGCUACGUUCCUUGGUUACUAGUAAGUUUAUUGGUUUUGUGUUGAGAGGUGAUUCUUGCAUUGAAUGGACGUUGCCGCGGCUGCAAUUUAUAGGCAGCUGCGCUAUGUGAUGAUAUGGACAAGGUGCAAAUGGGUGGUCCUGAUAUGCAGGGGCGGAUCUAGGGCCCAGGCAGUUUAAAUUAAAGUCUCCGCAUAGGCAGUUUGACUAUGGCCCCGUUUGUAUCCGCUUAUAAGCGGCUUAUCGGUGGAAAUAAGUGAGAAUCCCGCCAAACGCUUUGCUUAUUUCCACCGAUUCUCGCUUAUGUGGUAAGCCGCUUCAACAAUUUGAACUACAAGAAGCGAAAAACGAGAAGCGAGAAAAUCUUCGCUUAGAUUAUAAUCCAAGCGUGGCUAGAAAAAGCGUAUACAAACAGAGCCUAUGAUCAAUUUUACCUGUAUUUCUCAAUAUGUAGAUAAUUCUAUGCCAACAAUUAAAAACUAAUACAUAAUUUGACACGGUGUACCUCGAGAACGUUUUGAAAAUGUACUCUCUCGUUAGGCGUUCACCUCCUUAACAAUAACUGCGACUGUAAAAUAGGUACAUCGACGCUAGCUAAAUAAACCACUAUAAGAUUUAGCAAGAGAUCAUUUUAUACAAUCCUGUAACGAAAGAAUUUGACAAUUGUAGUGUCCAUAUAUUUUGACAAAAAACGUCUAAAUUAUAUAAGGAGGUGGGCCCGAAACAGUUGCAUUAGCAUAUGGUUACCCGUUUGUUGUCUUCCGGCCCUAAAAAAAGGACCAUCUUACUUAAAAAGGUUCUAUUAGGCCAUGCAGCCGGCUCUGUGGCACCAAAAAGAAAUUUUGACACGGUUUACAUCGAGAACGUUUUGAAACUAGACUUUGGUACGCAGUUCAUCACCUGCUUAACAAUAACGGCGUACAUAGACGCUAUCUAAAUUAACCACUAUAAGAUUUAGCGAGAGAUCUAUUUUUAUAAUUGCGUAUACCACUUUACAAGAGAGAUGUCAAGAGCAUGAUGGUACACUUUGUAUAUAUCUUUGAAUUCCAGCUACGGGACUUUCUUGCCUUCGUCGAAAAAAUCUAUCAGUUUUAUCUUAAGGCCGAACAUCUCCCUAUCGUCAGCGAACUUCUUCAUGUACCAUUCAUGGAAUUUGUAUAUCAAAGCUUCCGUACCAACUCAGGCCUUACUGGAGAUUUGCCUAGCUCAAAGGUCCGUUUCAGUUCAACUAGCGGUCCAGCUGGCAGCUCAACUUGCCCAAGACAUUCAGCAAGUCCCAUACCUAUUUCUUCCAUGAAUUUUAUUACUUCUGCUUGUUGAUGCAAGGGCAUUGCUGCUAUCUGUUUAGCGUCGUUUUCUAGUAGAUGCCCGAGGUGGGGGAUAGCACCACUUGAAGACAACUUUCCAUUCCUUUUUUUUCCUCUCAUCAGCCUUAACUAAUGCCCGUUCGUAGUUCAACAGUAGUGGCACCGACUUCUUGGUUGCUUCUUUCAUCUUUUUUUAAAAAAAAUUAAUUCUCUUCGAUCUAUUAGCGGUGGCUCCAUCUCCUUUGCUUUUUUUCUUCGACCCUUUUCUUGAACCACUCCCUGCAUUCUGCUUGGUUUCGGCCCAGCGUUCCGCUUGAGUCAUUGCCUCUUAGCAUUCCUCAGGAGUCACUUUAGGCUCCUUUAUUUUUUUCUUUCUCUAUCUUGGCUUGGGAGGCAAUGGUCGGGACUUCUUAAGUGGUGCUGCAGUUUCCUUGCUCUAGGCUUCUCUUAGUCCCGAUGAUGAUGAUCGGGGAGGGGUGUUGUUGUCCUCGUCGUCGCUCGCACCACCAGGAUGUGGUGGAGAUGGAGACCUUGAUCGAGCAGAAAGCGACGGUCCCUGUGGUGACUAUGGUCCUGGAGCAGGUUGUGCUGGAGAUGAUGGUCCUAGAGCAGGCCGUGGUGGAGAUGACGGUCUUGAGCUUUGAGGAGAGGGUCGCUGCUGGGGAUUUGUGGGGAGCAGUAUUGAGCUUUGAGGAGAUGCCUCAAUGCCGGGGAUGAUGAUGUAGCAUUUGCGCCAUAGAAUGAUCCCGUGAAGCGCAUAUCCUAGUGUCCUUUCCCCAUCACCUCCCGGGAGGUCGAGCUCUAGGCCUUCAUAUUGGCUAUCAACGAGCUGCUCUAGGCCGACACUGGCGUAGCCAGGUGGAAUCUCAAUGCCAUGGCCUGUCUGCCCUGGCAGGAUUGGUAAGGCACUCUCGUAUGCCACCUGUACAUAUAACAGAAAUAAAGAAGUUAUUAAACUCCGAUCCCGAGGUGUGGAUGGAUGAUUGAGAAGAUUGCAAAAAUAUCAUGUAUAAGUAUACCUUAAUGGUGAUGUUGUCGACCGAUUUAUGCAGCUCACAUGAGGUGCAUUGCGUGAUGACAUCCAUAGGGAACCAUUGCUCAACCAUGGGUAAUCCUUGCAUUUGUGGAUUGGGGAGCCCUGUGGAAGCACAGCUGCUCCCGAGGUGUUAAGAAGGGCUGGCGACGUUUGGAUCCGACAGUGCUCUAGAUUGGGCUAACUCCGCAACUGCUAGAGCCACUCGACAAUUGAUUUCCUCUUGCAUUCUUACUUCUUGUGAAUGCACUUUGGAUUCUAGCAUGCACCUCAAGGUCUCCUCAACCUGUUCCUUUCUUCGCUUAUGGCUUUGGUACGAAGCGAUGUCACCUUGAAAAGCGAACUUCCAUGGAAUGACCCGUACCCUCGACAAUGUCCUGGGUGCUCGGGAUUCCCGAGGGCCAAUGUGAGCUCAUGAUUCUCUCGGUCCAUCUUCAACCUCCGAGCCUUAGCAUCUUCAAUGUUCUUCAUAAGCCUUUCGGCCUUCUGACGUAUUGUCUCAUUGAAGAUCAAUGUCACAUCCUCUUUGGCUCAGGUUGCCUCCAUGAGCGUAACACCAAUUUUUCGAUUGAUCGGGCCAUUCAAGAGUUGCUGGUACGAUACUCUGAUCAAUCAGGUUUUGUUCCAUCUUGCGCCAUUUGGGAAUUGUUGUGCCCUAACCACCUCACCCUAGACGAUGAUGGUACUCCUUCUUGCCAGCAUUUGAAACGUUGGUCUUGAUCUUAUUCGCACCGUCUUCGCUCGUCUUGUGUUCGACAAAUGCCUCCCAGUGGUCCCUCAACUUUUGCCACUCAUCGAAAUCCGGAGUUUAGCCAUUCUUGAUGAAUGUGGCAUCCAGCAUCUUCUUGAAUGUCUGGAAUUGUGUGGCCAUCUUCUUCAACGUCCACGGUUUCACAUCAUCUUCAUUACAUCCUUCGGGAAAUGUGAAAUGUCUCUUGACAUCUGCCCACAGCAUAUUCUUUUCUGAAUCCGGGAGUGUGUAUGGAUUAGUACUUUUCUCCUUCCAUUCCCUGAUGCUGAUAGGCAGAAGCUAGAGACUAUUUCUUUUUCUAAAAAUACACGUGAGGGAGAAAAUUGGUAACAGCUAAAUAGUGCAGAUCGCAUUUCAACACACGUUUUUAUAGCUGAGCACACGUCCGAAUCCCAUUUUUAAGUGUUCGGUCCUACACCCACAUUUUCAUCCCUAGUUGUCGAUUUAGUCAUUUUUUACCUUCCAUGACCUAUAGCACACGUUUUUAUGGUAGAACACGCAUUCAGAGGUCAUUUUCACAUCUUCGGUCCAUCCCCACAUUUUCGUCCCCGGUGGCCGGUGUGGCUGUUUUCGAACUAACGUGACUUAUAACACACGUUUUCAUAGCCGAACACGUGUCCGAAGGCCAUUUUCAAGUGUCUAGUUUGACACCCACAUUUUUGGCCCCGGUGGCCGGUAUGGCUAUUUUUGUGCUCCCGUCACCUAUAACACACAUUUUCAUGGUCGAACACACGUCCGGAGGCCAUUUUAAGUUGUUCGGUCCAUCCCCACAUUUUUUACCCCGGUGGUCGGUGUGGCCAAUGUUUUCUUGGCCGAACACGCAUCCGGAGGCCAUUUUCACUUGUUUGGUUCGACACUAACAGUUUCAUCCCGGUGGCCGGUGUGGCUAUUUAUCGUUCUCCCGUGACCUAUAACACACAUUUUCAACACUAACACUUUCGAAGGCCAUUUUCAAUUGUUCGGUCUGACACUAAUGUUUUGGUCCCCAGUGGCCGGUGUGGCCGUUUUCAACCUCCCGUGACCUAUAACACACAUUUUCAUAGCUAAACACGCGCCCGGAGGCCAUUUUCAAGUGUUCGGUCUGACACCCACAUUUUCGUCCCCGGUGACCGGUGUAGCUCUUUUUGGCCUUCCCAAACACGCGUCUGGAGGCCAUUUUUCACUUGUUCGGUGCAUCCCUAGUUUUUGCUCCAGUGCUGAUGUGGUCGUUUUUAGGCUUCGACCUAUAGCACACAUUUGCAUGGUUGAACACGCGUCCAGACGUCAUUUUCACUUGUUCGGUCCAUCCCCCACGAUUUCAUCCCCGGUGGCCGGUGUGGCCGUUUUUGGGCUCCCGUGACCUAUAACCCACGUUUUCAAGGCCAAACUCGCGUCCGGAGGCCAUUUUCACUUGUUCAGUCCAUCCCACAUGUUCUCGUCCCCGGUGGCCGGUGUGGUCGUUUUCAGGUUCCCGUGACCUAUAAUCCUCAUUUUCAUGGCUGAACACACGUCUGAAGGCCAUUUUCGCUUGUUCAGUUCAUCCCCCAUGUUUUCGUCCCAGGUGGCCAGUGUGGCCGUUUUUGAACUAACGUGACCUAUAACAUACGUUUUCAUAGCCGAACACGUGUCCGAUGUCCAUUUUCAAGUGUUCGGUAUGACACCCAAGUUUUCGUCCCUGAUGGCUGGUGUGGCCGUUUUCGGGCUCCCGUGACCUAUAACACAUGUUUUCAUGGCUGAACACGCGUCCAAAGGCCAUUUUCAUUUGUUCAGUCCAUCCCCCACAUUUUCAUCACCGGUGGCCGGUGUGGCCAUUUUUGUGAUCCUGUGACCUAUAAAACACAUUUUGAUAGCCGAAGACGUGUUUGCAGGCCAUUUUCAAGUGUUCGGUUUGACACCCACGUUUUCGUCCCCGGUGGCCGGUGUUGCUGUUUUUUGCCUUCCAUGACCUAUAGCACACGUUUUUGUGGCUGAACACGCGUUCGGAGGCUAGUUUCACGUUUUCGUCCCUGACAGCCAGUGUGGCCAUUUUCGGGCUCCCGUGACCUAUAACACACAUUUUCAUGGCCAAACACAAGUCCGGAUGCCAUUUCCAGUUGUUCAGUCCAUCCCCCACAUUUUCAUCCUCGGUGGCCGGUGUGGUUGUUUUCGGCCUCCCGUGACCAACAACACACGUUUUCGUAGCUGAACACACGUCCGGAGGCUAUUUUCAAGUGUUUAGUCCUACACCCAUGUUUUCAUCCCCGGUGGCUAGUGUAGCCAUUUUUUAUCUUCCGAAACCGAUAGCACACGUUUUCACGAGCAUGGCCUGUGAGGCUUAGCUUCUCGUAAUCGUAGGUCAUGGCAGGGUUUGAUCGGUCGGGAGGCUGAAGAGUAAGUUACUUUGGGUAGUCAGUGGAAUGGGAUGCCCUUUCAUUUGGGCGAAGUGUGUGAUCGCACGAAAGUAAAGAGCGAGUGGUACUGCACCCUCGUGGAGCCCCUGAGCGACCCAAGCCAAGAGUGCUCGGGCUGGGGCGCUGUAGGAGCGAGUAUCGAAUGGAAACAACUGGUAAAACCAAGCUAGGGAAAUAAACAAUGUAAUUGCUCAAUGUUCCAUGUGUUGGUGAGGAUGUUGCCGUCGUCGUCCUUCAGUCAGUAGGCGCAUGGUCGGAUCACCUCGGUGACUGUGUACAGUCCUUCCCAUGGCGGAGAGAGCUUGUUCUUAUUAUUGGUCGACUAGGUCCUUCGAACCACAAGGUCACCAAUCUCGAGGGUCCUCCCUCGGAUUUUCCUCUCGUGGUACCUACGAAGGGUUUGCUUUUAAACGAGCGGAGUGGAUGAUGGCCGUCUCAUGUGGCUCCUCGAGCAGGUCGACUGUGUCCUGCUAAGCUUCUGUAGCUCGGUCUUGGUCGAAGGCCUUUACCCUUGGGGCACCGUAAUCGAGGUCGAACGGUAACACGGCUUUGGCUCCGUACACCAAUAAGAAGGGGGUGAACCCUGUGGAUUGGUUUGGGGUCGUUCUAAGGCUCCAGAUUACCACUGGGAGCUCUGUGACCCAUCACCCGGUGUGCUUUUUUAGCCGGUCGAAAAUGCAAGGCUUGAGCCAUUGGAGGACCAUGCCAUUGGCUUGCUCGACCUGAUCAUUGGUUUGUGGGUGCCCGAUCGAGGCCAAGUCGAUCCUAAUGCCGUAUCCAUCAUAGAAAUCCAGGAACUUCUUGCUAGUGAAGUUUGUUUCGUUGUCUGUGAUGACGCAGUUAGGGACACUAAACCGAUAGAUGAUGUCAAGGAAGAACUCGACUGCGUCUUGUCACCGGAUGUUGGUGAUGGGCUUCGCCUCAAUCCACUUGGUGAAUUUGUCCACCGCCACGAGUAGGUGAAUGAUGCCACUCGGGGCCUUUUUAAGGGACCCAACUAUGUCGAGGCCCCAGACCGCGAAUGACCAGAUGAUGGGGAUGGUCUAGAGCUCUUGCGUCGGCAGGUGAGUUUUCUGAGCAUAGAACUGGCAGCCUUCACACUUGUGGACCACCUCCUCUACGUCUUGAAAUGUUGUGGGCCAGUAAAAACCUUGGCAAAAGGCUUUCCCGACCAGUGAUCUCAGGGACGCAUGGUGUCCGCAGAUUCCGGCAUGGACUUCAAGAGAAGUUGUUUCCCCUAAUUUGUCGGGAUGCACUUCAUGAGUAUUCCCGAUGGACUUCAUUUGUAACGUUCAUCACCGAUGGUGACGAAUGUCUUGACGCGUCAAGUGAUUUGUCGUGCUUCAAUCCUCUCUAGUGGGAGGACCUCUUCGAGGAUGUAGGUGAGUAACGACGCUCUCCAGUUGGCUGGGUCGUGCGCCAUUACGUCAGUGCUUCUAGGUGAGGUCACCAUAGGGGCAUCAGGGUCGGAGCCCCUGAGCAUGCAAUCGGACCGUGACUGGGUUGGGUCCUCUCGGACACGGGCAGAUGGUUCAUGGAGGUCGUUCACGAAGACUCCGUUGGAAGGUGGGCCCCAUCUAGGUGCCAAUUUUGUGAGGAAGUUAGCAACAUCAUUGUCCUUUUGUGGGACAUGAUGUAGCUCGAUCCCUCGUAACUUGUCUUCUAACUUGCACACAUCUUGACAGUACGCUGCCAUGAGAGGGCUCCUGUAGGAGAACUCCUUCAUGACUUGGUCGACCACUAGCUCCGAGUCGCCGCAGCAUAAAGCCGCAUCUCGCCGAGCUCGAUGGUGAUACGUAGCCUAUUGAUGAGGGCUUCGUACUCCGUGACGUUGUUCAAGGUUGCAAAAUGGAGACGGAUCACGUAGCAGAGCCUGUUCCCCUGUGGGGAGAUAAGGACCACUCUAGCCCUCGAGCCAGGUCCCAUGACCGAACCGUCAAAGUACAUCAUCUAGUACUCGUGGGUGACAUCCAGGGUCAGGAUCUGGACUUCCAUCCACUCGGCGAUGAAGUCGGCCAGGUCCUAAGACUUAAUAGCUAUGCAGGGGACGUACUUGAUGUCAUGGCCCAUGAGCUCAAGCGUGCACUUGGAGAUUCGCCCCAUAGCAUCACGGUUGCAAAUGAUCUCUCCCAGCAGGUACGAGGUGACGAUCGUGACCUCAUGGUCGGUGAAGUAGUGUCGGAGCUUCCGGGUCGCCAUCAGCAUGACGUAUAGAAGGUUCUGGGCUUGGGGUAAUGCAUGUUGGCGUCAUGUUGACACCAUGUUUUGACAUACGUCAAAGAUGGCGUCAAAAGAAAAUAGAGAUGCCAGCGCAUAGUGGAAGGACAACAGCUAGUGGAAUCGACUGGUAAGGUUGUAGAGGGUUGAGCCGAUAGAGUAAGGCAGAAGCCUAGGCGAUGGGAUCACAGGGGCGUAGCCCAUAGAGUCAGCCGAUGUGAGCAGGAGGGUUCUAGCCGAUAGGAAAUGUUGGAGGUUCGGCCGAUGAGGAGCUAGUUUUGGUCGGUAGAAGCCAAAUUCGUUUCUGACUCCUGCACGAGUCAUUUUUAUUUAGAAAGUUUGUUUCUUUAGAGAUAGGUCUUAUGAUUUGUUAUAACCGACUAGGAUUAGAAAUCUUGAUGUAUAGGGUAUAAAUAGGGGCCUUGUAAGGUUUGGAAAAGACACACACAUCAUAAUCAAUACAAAUCUACUAUUUUCGCAAUCUACUUUCAAGUCGACGACUUCGCCAUUGUUUUGUUUUCUUCACGAGUUCUUCCAAGCUGGUUGGACUGCAUUGCUUCGAUCUCCAGCUAGACUGUAAGUUCCGCGUUUACUGAAUACCUCCUAGGCUUUAACUUUGGGUGCAUCGUUGUCAUUUCAUCUGGAUUUAUUCACAAGUUAUCGAUAUUUACUGGAUCUGCAUGUUUUAUUUGUUAAAUCUUGUUGCUUUAGUUUUUAUCACGGUUAUCCAGCUUAGAACACAUUCCAAUCAACUUUUUCUUUAUUUCUCAUACUAAUCUACUAUCACCCAGCUGAUUAGAUCUGUUUUAAGUGGUGUUCAUGUAAUGCUAUUUAGGUUGUAUUUUAUGCUUCCUUUACAUCUACUACAUCCACAUCGGCUGAUCUAGCCGAUUGUCUUUUCUCGUGUCGGCAGCUCUACGAUACGUCCUGUGGAGCGAUUUAGAAUGCCAGCUGAUUUGCUAUUGUAUUUGACAUUUUACCUGUCCUUUUCAAUCAAUAGGUCAGAUUGACUGGCACACCAUGGAUCGAUAGGGCUACAACCCAAACAGGAGCGAAGCAGAUUCUCCCGGGUUUUGUGUGUUAGUGCGCGGGAGCCGUCUCUCAAUUUUUGUGUCAACACAUCGGUGAGUACUUCACUGAUGAAGUACACCGGUCGCUGGACCUUCAGCGCAUGUCCCAGCUCCUCUCUAUCGACUACAAGGGCAGUACUAACCACGUGGUCGCUUGCCGCGAUGUAGAGGAGAAGGGGUUCUUCCUGCUCGGUAGCGAUGAGGACUGGGGCCGAAGUCAGCAAUGCUUUGAGGCUUUCCAAAGCCCAUUGUGCCUCCUCCAUCCAGACGAAUGCGUCUGCCUUCUUGAGGAGUGUGUAGAGAGGCAUCCGUCGUUCGCCUAGUCGGGAGAUGAACCGGCUCAGGACGGCCAAACAACUAGUGAGCCUCUGUAUGCCCUUGAUGCUGUGUAUGGGGCCCAUGUUGGUGAUGGUCGUGUUUUUUUGAGGUUGGCUUCAAUGCCGCGCUCGGACAUGAUGUACUUGAGCAGCUUCCCCUUUGGAACCCCGAAAACACAUUUCUCAGGAUUAGUGGGGUUGUGGUGCUGCACUACUCCAGAACAACAACACUGCGGCACGCUUGCUCAAUCAGACGGCAAACCAACCUGCUCUAGCAUACAACCUCCAUCACCAUCGGCUCCGCAGCCAACCGUCCAGCGUUAUCAGCAGCAUCCACUAGAAGUCAGUAGGGAGGAUGGUGUUUUGGAUCCUCACAGGGAUGGGUCACCUAUAGUGGUGUACGAUGAGGCAACCGGUGUGUUGCGGCAUGUUGAUUCUUCCCGCCAGUUGACCUAGCCGCAAUAUCUGCAACAUACAUCGGCUAUCCAACAGCCAAUUGUGGUGCCACAAAUUCAGCAGCAGGUGCCGGUGGGCCAGCCAAUGCUCCAACCUAUGGUCCAGCAGUAGCCGCAACAGGUUGAUUGGGCCGCAAAGAUAGCUGGGGUGAUGCAAGAUCAGUUCGGUCUAAAACCUAAAGUGCAGACCUACACGUACAGAACGCCGUACCCACCGGCCUAUGACAUGUUGCCGUUCCCUCACCGAUUUCACCAAGUUCUCGGGACAAGAUGAGGCAUCUACGGUGGAGCACGUCAAUAGGUUCAUCAUUCAGUGUGGAGAGUCAGCUGUGCAGGAUGCUCUGAGGGUUCGGCUGUUCUCAUCAUCUCUGUCCGGGUCAGCCUUCCAGUGGUUCACGACGCUUCCACCUAACUCCAUUAUCACCUGGGACAAUCUGGAGAAAUAGUUCCACAAAAACUUUUUUGCUAGGGUUCACGAGAUGAAGCUGACAGAUCUAACUAGUCUCAGGUAGAGGAGUGAUCAAUCGGUGGCCAGUUUCAUCCAACGGUUUAGGGAAGUCAGGAACAAGUGCUACAGUUUGGUCUUGAGCGAUAGCCAACUAGCCAACACGGCUUUUCAGGGGCUUCACAGGAGUUCGAGAGUUUGAGCUAGAUUGUACACCGGUUGUCAAACCAAGACGUACGCCCAUUUGAUUAGAGAAAGAAUUUCCAGAAGAAGGUGGCGUACGUGGAGUGUUUGGACUUAGAAGGAGAAGCAGAGGUCAGCUUGGCAGAGUGGGUUAAAGUCCAAAAAGCCGAUCUCUUGCCCGUACGGCAAGGAGCCUGAGAAAUUCGAGUUCAAUAUUUCCAAGGCUGAUAAGAUCUUUGAUUUGUUGCUGCAAGAAGGGAAAAUCAAGCUCUCACCAUACCACACGAUCCCAUCGACUGAAGAACUUAAGAAGAUCAAGUACUGCAAGUGGCACAAUGCCACAUCUCACAACACCAACGAGUACAAAGUCGUUUGCCAGCAGAUCCAAUCAGCUAUUGAGCAAGGGAGGCUCAAGUUUAAAGCUCCUUCAAAACCAGCAAAGCCGAUGAAGAUUGACCAACAUCCAUUCCCAACAAAUAUGGUAGAAGUCAGAGGCAAAAGCGCACCUCCCACAAAGGUGCUGACAUCAGAAUCAGCCAAGAGGAGUGGAGAUGUGGACCCUAGAGUAUAGGUGUCGGCCAACGAUGUCAAGUUGAAGAGUCAGUUGCAAGAAGGUUAAGCUCAGCAAGGCCUCAAUGGCCGAUAUCGUCCCAAGAGUUGCUCAAUAAGUUAUAGAGAUAGCAAGAUCAGGCAAGGCACCGGGAAGAGAUGACACAUCACCAUGAAGAUCACUGGAGAUGCCCAUUCUUCAUAUACUGCUGGGAGGAGGGGAUCAAGAUACCAUCGAUUGACAACUACCCCGAAUGCAAUGGGUCAUACCAAGGCAGCUGAUUGUCCAAAAGACCGUGCUUUGAUGAUAGGAAUCAAAAGCCGAUCAACAGGGAUAGACCUUACCAUGAUGACAGGUGCAUCCCAAUGCGUGAUUGACUGGGGGGCAGGAUCAGUAUACACGAUUGGCUGGAGGGCAGGGUAAAUGUGCCCAACAGACUAGAGGAAAGAGCCAAUGCAAGAGUCCUCGAUGAAGAGCCUUUGUGUCGCGAACCGGAGCGGCGGCGUGCAUCACGAGACAAAGCUAUAGAACAGCCUAGAUGGUGCCCAGCGGGUUUGACUAAGUCCCAGAAGAGACGGGUUCAAUGCCUGCGACAAUGGGAGUAUCAAGAAGAGGAACAAAGGUGUGCUUCAGAAAGGAAAGGGGUCAAAUCCUAGGUGUGGCACAUCAAAGACAAAGCCGAUGACGAAGAUAACAAUCCCGGAUCAGCUGCCGAUGUCAACAUGGUUUUUGUAUUACCGAUGGAAUUCAUGGCUCCAACCAAUCACAAGGCAACAGAAGCAGAAUAGGGGAUGGCACAAUUAACCUUGGUGCUGAUGUCAGCCACCUUUGAAAAACCCAAAGAUGAAAAACGUCGGCACCUGAAAGCCCUCUUCCUCAAGGGGUAAAUCGACGGGAGGCUGAUUACCAAGCUUCUGGUGGACAGUGGUGCAACCGUGAACAUCAUGCCGUAUGCCAUGUUCCGCAAGCUCGGCAAAGGCGAAGAAGACUUGAUCAAAAUAGACAUGAUGCUGAAGGACUUCAAAGGAAACAUCUCUCCGGCCCAGGGGGCACUCUGCGUCGACCUCACCAUCGGCAGUAAGACCCUAGCUACUAGUUUCUUUGUUAUUAAUGGUAAAGGGUCCUACAAUAUGCUUCUGGGUCAAGAUUGUAUUCAUGCCAACUACUACAUCCCGUCUACAAUGCAUCAAUGUCUCAUCCAAUGGGUCGGCGACUCAGUUGAAGUGGUCACCGCUGAUUCUUUUUUCAGCGUCGUUGCAGCCGAUGCACAAUAGUGGAAUUGCAAAUAAGUCAGCAGCAUAUCUGGCAGAGUCUAGGAUACAGAUUUCUUGAAGAUGUCCGAUUUUGGACUACAGCGAUCCAAGUAGUCGGCUCUGAAGAAUUGUCCUGAUGGAUGAGUUCACCCAAGAAGAUGGGAAGCUGGAGCAUGAGUUUAUGUUAGUCGACGAGUUAGAGAUGGUAGAGCUUGAAGAUGGGAGCAAGCCAAAGCAGACAUAUAUUAGUGCUAAGUUAGAUCCUGAGUAUAAGCAUGAACUAAUUAAGUUGUUAAAAGAAUUCAAAGAUUGUUUUGCUUGGGAGUAUCAUGAAAUGCCUGGUUUAGAUCAAUCUAUUGUCGAACAUCAGUUGCUAAUAAAAUCAGGAUAUCGGUCGUAUCAGCAACCUGCGUGACAUUGUAAUCCGAAGAUUUUACUUGAUAUUAAGGCUAGGAUCACAAGAUUAAUUGAAGUGGGGUUUAUUCGGCAAUGUCGGUAUGCUGAGUGGAUUUUUAAUGUGGUUCCCGUAUACAAGAAGAAUGGAAAACUGCACAUUUGUAUUGAUUUCAGGAACCUCAAUCAAGCCACACCAAUGGAUGGUUGUCUGAUGCCGACAGCUGAUGUGUUGAUAGAUGCUACUUUAGGAUACAAAGUCAUUAGUUUCAUGAAUGGCAACGUUGGAUAUAACCAAGUAUUGAUGGACAAAGAAGAUAUUUCCAAGACGGCUUUCGGGUGUCCUGGACACAACGGUUUAUUUGAAUGGGUGGUCAUGACCUUCGGAUUGAAAAAUGUUGGGGCUACAUACCAGCGAGCCAUGAAUUACAUUUUCCAUAAACUUAUCGGCAUCCUAGUGGAAAUUUAUAUCGAUGAUGUCGUAGUCAAAUCGAAAGGGUAUCGAGAACACUUAGCCGAUUUGCGUGAAGUCCUGGAAUGCACAAGGAAAGAUGGGUUGAAAAUGAAUCCGAAUAAAUGUGCUUUUGGCGUGUCGGCUCGAAAGUUCUUGGGGUUCAUGGUUCACGAGUGAGGCAUUGAAAUUAAUCAGAGGAUCAUUGGUGCUAUUAACAAAGUUGUGGCUCCGCAAAAUAAGACUGAGUUGCAGUCAUUAAUCGAUAAAAUUAAUUUCAUUCAAAGAUUCAUAUCGAACCUGUCUGGAAGGAUUCAAUCUUUCAGCCUGUUGCUUAAACCAAAAGCCGAUCAAGAGUUCGUUUGGGGGGCAGAGCAGCAAAAGGCAUUGGAUGAUAUCAAACAAUACCUGGUGUCACCUCCUAUAUUGGUUCCUCCACAAGCUAACAAGUCGUUCAGGUUAUACCUCUCAGCCGAUGAGUGUGCCAUUGGGUCGGCUCUUGUCCAAGAAUUUGAAGGGAAGGAACGUGUAAUUUAUUAUGUGAGCAGAAGACUCUUGGACGCAGAGACCAGGUAUUCCCCAGUUGAGAGGUUGUGUCUAUGCCUAUAUUUCUCCUGCUCUAAGCUUAGACACUAUUUAUUAUCCGCCAAGUGCGUUGUGGUAUGCAAGGAUGAUGUGGUCAAAUACAUGUUGCCAUUGCCAAUUCUAAAUGGAAGGAUUGGGAAGUGGAUUCUGACUCUGUCGGAGUUUGACCUAAAGUACGAAUCAACUAAAGCUGUCAAAGGGCAAGUCAUGGCCGAUUUUGUUACUCAUCAUUGUAGGCCAGAGGUUGCUAUUGUUGAGGUAGCCCAAUGGACUUUAUUCUUUGAUGGAUCUUCAUGUGGGACUGGAUCAGGAAUUGGCAUAAUCCUUAUAUCGCCUUGGGAGGCGAACUACAAGUUCUCACUGCCAGUUGAGGCUUCUGCUACCAACAACCAGGCCGAGUAUCGAGCCAUUUUGAAGGGGAUCCAAUUGCUGAGAGAAAUCAAAGCUGAUGCUGUUGAGAUUUUUGGGGAUUCUAUUCUUAUCAUCAACCAGCUGACUGGAGGAUGUGAAUGCAGAGAUGAUAUUUUAAGAAUUUACUACGAACAGUGCCUUCAGUUACUCAAAGAAUUCAAGAGUGUGGUUAUUGAGCAUAUUCCCAGAGAUUACGAUGAGGAUGCUAACAAGCUCGCCGCAUGCUUCUGGUUAUCGACCGAUCUGUGGUGCUAUGGCCUUAGAGUUAAUGGCCGAUGAUUGAAGGAAAGAAAUAGUAGAUUACUUAAAAGAUCCCUCCAAGAAAGUCGAUAGGUGAGUUCGAUUUCAGGCUUUGAAAUAUGUGUUGCUUGAAGAUGACCUUCAUUAUCUGAUGAUUGAUGGGGUCUUGCUUAAAUACCUCAGGGUUGAAGAAGCCAAGAAUCUGAUGGGCAAAAUUGAUGAAGGGGUUUGCGGAGCUCAUCAAUCGGCUUUCAAGAUGAAGUAGAUGAUUAGAAACAAGGGGUAUUAUUGGCCGACUAUACUUGAAGACUGCUUUAAAUACUAUAAAAGUUGUCAAGAUUGUCAGAAGUUUGGCAAUGUGCAAAGAGCCCCAACAUCAGCUAUGAAUCCUAUAAUAGAGUUGUGGCCGUUUAGGGGGUAUCGAUUUGAUCGGCCAGAUUUAUCCACCUUCAAACAAGGGUCAUAAGUUCUAGUAGCAACGAAUUAUUUCACUAAGUGGGUUGAAGCAAUUCCCUUGAAAAAUGCAACAUCGGCAAGCAUGGUUGAUUUUGUCAAAGAACACAUCAUCUAUCAAUUUGGUAUCCCUCAAACUAUCACUACCGAUCAAGGGACAAUGUUCACUUCGGGAGAGUUUGAGGAAUUCGCUACUGGUAUGGGAAUUAGGUUGUUGAAUUCUUCUUCGUAUUAUGCCCAGGAAAAUGGUCAAGUUGAAUCAUCCAACAAGGGGAUCAUUAAAUUAAUUAAGAGGAAGAUCAAAGAGCAGCCAAGGCGCUGGCACACUACGUUGAGCGAAUCCUUAUGGGCGUAUCAGAUGGCUUGUCACGGAGCCACAAAAGUAUCCCCUUAUCAAUUGGUUUAUGAACAUGAAGCAGUUCUACCUUGGGAGUUAAAGACUGGGUCUAGGCGUGCAUCGUUGCAAGACCAGUUAAUAGCCGAAGAAUACUCUACUUUGAUGAAAGGGGAUUUGGAAGACCUAGCGGGUCAUCGACUAAGGUCUUUGAUCAGCAUCGAAGAAAAUAAGAAGAGGGUGGCUAGAUGGUAUGACAAAAAGGUCAAGGUCAAGGAGUAUUCCCAAGGAGAUUUAGUCUGGAAGCUGAUAUUGCCGAUUGUGUCUAAAGAUCCCAAAUUUGGGAAAUGGUUGCCUACAUGGGAGGGACCGUAUCGGAUAAACCGGUGUGCUCCUGGUAAUGAGUAUAUUUUGGAGACACUUGAAGGAGAGGAGUUCACAAGGGCUCUAAAUGGAAAAUACUUUAAGAAGUACUACCCGAGUAUAUGGGUAGAUGCAUAGCCGAUGGUGUGAUGCCUCGGACUAACAUAGACGAUAUUGAGGGUAUCGCCUUUAGUCUAAAAAGAAAAGAAGGAAAAAGGCAGACACAUGGAUAGCCGAUAAAAUCAGCUGUGAUAUGGCCGAUGUGAUACAAGUCACCCUUAGAACAAAUAAUACUUGCAACACUUCAGACACAAGAGGUUAUUACAUCAAAGUCAUCAUUAUAUCAUGGCCAAGACAUUCCAUUACAGGCAAAUCUGGAUGGCUCCCUAUUGAUAUCGGCAAAUACUUACUCCCUUUGGCGAGAUGUGCCUAGGAGAUGCCCCAGUUGAACCUUAGUAGUGCCGAUUUCCCUGUUGACCCGGCCCAAUUCCAGUAGAAGUUGAAUUUUCCUAGCCUCCAAACUGGCCAACUUGUCUUCGAGCAAUACACGGGGGGGGGGGGGAGGUUGAUGGCUUCGAAGGAUUGGCUACUGCAUUUGGUGGUUUGAGCCUGCAGCUUCGAUUGAGGACAAGAUCGAUUUGAUGUCCAUAGGUAGAUGGUCUCUGAUUUGAUCACGAUGAGCUUGGAUCAAAGCUUUGUCCACCUGGGUGAGCGGCUCAUUGGAAUGAAGGAUCUGGAUGACCUAUUCAAGCUGUUCGUCCACUUGAUUUGGCUGGGAAAGAGAACAAAGAGUCAAGGUUUGGUUCAUGAUAACCAAUUCGGAAUAGAGAAAACAUAGCAAUACCUGGUUGACUGAAGAAGAGGAAGCCAUCUUGGUCGCGUGAAUUCAAUCUGGUUCGAAAACUCGCAGUGUGUGCGGUCUUGAAGGUGACCUCAAGGAAGGAGUAGGGGUCUGUAUUUAUAAGACGAAUAGACGUGUGAAAUGUGAACAAUGGUCGGUCAAAAGGGGCUUUAAAUGGGACUAGCCAUUGGCGAGUCAGAAAGAGCUGUGGAGAAACGGUCAAAUUACAUUCAAGAUGGAUAUUGAGCAUUGACAUCACGAGAGGAAUGUACCAAGUACCAGAAUACAUAAAAGCUAAUAACGUUCGUUACAAUUAUGCUAGAAGAGUUUGAAUGGCAUUUAUCGCACGCAGGCGAAUCUGAUUGGCAGCCUUUAUCUCCCUACGGUCGUCAUCGGCUGAGCCGGGUAUGUCAGUUAUGCUCCGAUGUAGCUGAAUAGCUUGAUGCGCAUGUGCUUGCUUUUCCUGCUCUAAUUGCUUGAGGACUUCUAGAAGUUGGGCGAGCUUGGUUUCUUCGACGAUGAUGGCAUCGCCGAUGCUUUUCAAUUCCUUCAUCAGUUUUUCCCUCCUUGCUUUGAGCCAAUCAAUUUCACCAACAAUAUUGGGGCGAGAAUCCCUAAGAAAGUCGAUCUUGCGAUGGAUUUCAUCGGCCUAAAGCUUAUGGAAUUCCUUGUCCUUAUGCAAUUGUUCCUGUUUGGCGCGAUCGGCUGUGCGGCGUAGAGCCCUUAACAUCGGGACUUGGUGACUCCCUAUGUAGGCUGCGGGGAGGAUGGCUUCUUCUUUGUCUUCUAGGAUCUGGCCUUUGAGGUUGCGGAGGAUGUCGUGCAUCGGUUGUGCAUCUUUGACUAGUUGGCUGAUGUCUUGCUGAAGGAAGUCGAGUAUAUCUUGAAGUUUGGCCUUUAGGACAUCAGGAAUAGAUUCUGGAACCAGUGGGUGUGACAAAACUUCUUCUUCUUCGUGGAUUUCCCCUACCUGAAAUGAGAAGAGGCUGCUGUCUGGAGUGUCCUGAGCCUGCAAGGAUCAAUAAGGUAUAAGCCAAUGAAGCUAGUUGAUUGGAAUCAAUUAAUGUGCAAAAGAGUGUUCAUCAUCUUCCAUUGGGUUUCUCUGGUUUGUGUUGGUGAUUCCACUGGGGACUCUUGUUGAACUGGUUCCGCGGAGGGUGGCAUGUUCUUGGAAGGUACAUUGACUGCUAGUGUUUCAAGAAUAGCGGCCGACACUUCUGGGAUAGUCUGUAUAGAAAACCGGAUGAUUCUUAGCAACGGAGGUUGAGAAGGGCUGGAAUAGAGUAUGCAUUUUACCUCAAGUGUUGGAGUGAUGGCCGAUGCAGUCUCCUGUGUAUCUUUAGCCUGCGGAUCAGCCGAUGAAGGAGGCAGAAGCAUAGCCGAUUCUAGGAUGGGCUCUUCUGGUGCCGAUUGUGCGGAAGGCUAAAAGAAACAAGAGUCAGUACUAGCAAAGUAUCUAGAAAAAUUUAAAUAAGUGAGAUUACCUACAUAGCCUCUAUCAAAAGUGAUGUAGCUACUGACGCUACUUCCGCUAGAACAGCCGUUUGGGGUGCCACCGCUGCCGUCGGAUCAGUCUCCUGGGCUGACGCUGCUGUCGGCAGGACAGACGCCUAUGCUGAUUUGGAGCCUUUUUGAGGGUGCUUCUUACGGGUAGCCUUCUCAAGAAUAGAGGCUUUGCGCUUUUGGCCUGCGGCUAUGUCCAUUAAAGAUGGCGCAUCGUAGCCGAUGAGGGGGUCAGCCAAUGGAGGGACGUAAGCAAUUGGCUUGUUGCUCUAGCUAACUCUUGAAGGUGUAAAGUGAACACCCUGUAAAGGGCAAAAGUGUUAGUGGGAAGAAAAUAUCUGUAAUGAAAGGAGAUUCAGCGGAAUCAAUGGUGAUUACCCCUCCAUCAGGAUCAUUGAAGUCUAGGUCGAACUUCCUACAAUAAAUUCUUGUUGCCACAUAGAAAAGAUGAUUCUUUCAAUCUUUCCACCACGACAUGAAUUGUUUAAUGGUGAAGGCUGCAGCUGUCCAUGUUUCCAAGUUGAUGGUGCUGGUAUCUGGAGCCAAGUUGUUGAGUCUGUUGUAUUCACGGCCGCUGGAAAGUUUCUCACAGGGUCUCACCAGUUUGGCAAAAUAAGGUCUUAUCAGCAAUUGUCCAAAGCCAAGUUGAUGAGCUGCUGCCGACGGGUGAUAAAAUUCAUAUCUCAAAUGCUGACCUUUACCAGCAAAAAUGUUAGCUGGAAGAAUUCCAGGCUUGAUGAUUAUCUUUAGGAUUUCUCCACUGAAGGUGCAUGUGAUGAAGUCGAAGCAAUAUGGCAACUCAAAGAUAGGAACUUCACUGUGGCAAGCAUACCAGAUGGUAGCCCCUUUGGUGAGUCCAUUGUAACAGCACUUGAAGGCCUCGGCUGCUGCGGAGGGGGAGAGUCUACUGCUAGGAAUGACUGAUACUGCUUCACCAUAAGAUGUGCAUCGACAGGUUACAACUGGUUCCUCCUCUGGCUGAUCGCUGGGGAAAGACAUUUUCUUGAGGUCGUACUGGUAGGCACGCUGGAAGUAAAGAUUGAGCCAUAGGUUGAACCACUAAGGGCCGCCCAGAUUGCCAAUUGGUUCUCCGGCCAAUAGUUUGCUAGAUACUUGAUGCAAUAAGUGAUAGGUCGAUCCAAGAAGGUGCUUUCCUAGGGGGAUUGAAGACCCUACUGCCAAUGCUUCGGCCAAAGGUUGCAGAUUACUGGUCAGGCUGGCUGAUCUUCCGCAGAAUACAAAUUUGUCCAGCCACAUAUUUAGGAAGGUCACAUGCUCCAUCUCAUCAACGGUUCCAGUUCCGAUGUGACGAUCAAUAUAGCCUUUCCAUCCGCCGAUGGAUUUUGUCUCCAGCCGGCGAAAAUCUUUAGCUGCGAAAUGAAAUGGCAAAUUAGCAGAAGUGAUAUCCAAGCCUGUCAGCAUCAUGACAUCGGCUAGAGUUGGAGUCAUCGGCCCAUGGCUGAACAAGAAGGCAUUCAAAGUGUCUGACCAGAAAUAUGAUGCAGCUACGAGUAUGGGUUUGUUUCUAGCCAUAGCUAAUAAAGAAAGAGUAAUGCAUUGACUGAUGCAGCAUUCUUGCCAGAAGACAUUUUUGGAAUUGGCCACCCUGAGAUACCAAUUUUUCCAUCCGGGUGUGCGGUUGGUCCAAGAUUUGAAGGCGCUAUCCCAAUCGGCUAGAUCCAUUGAUGCAGAUUUGAAAGGGAUUAUAUUAGUCUCCAAGUUAAUUAGAUCUAUUGGAUCAGGAUCUCCCAUGGGGCCUAAGUUGAUGUAUCCAGAGGUAUCAGCUAUGGGGAUGGUGAUUCUAUCUCUAAGGGCCUAAGAAAUGCGAAAAUGGCUAAAUAAGGAAAGGAAAGUAAAGGCAUGGGGAGGACAAUGAGGGUAGAGAGGUGUACCUCGGGGACUGCAGUAAGGGUGGCCAUGGAAUUGGUUUGGGAUUUGAAGUGAUUAGCAAGCGAAUCACCAAUGGUCGCUGGAGAUCUCCGAUGGUCGCCGGAAGUCGUCGACGGUCGCCCUUCGCCCGAGAAGAAAGAGGAAGUAAGGUAUGGUGGUGUGAGAAGAUGAACCGGUGGGGAUGAAGAAGAUGACGGUUGUAAAUUUAUAAACUCAUCCGAGAGGGUAAAUGCGGUAUCUCAUCCACCGCCUGCGCGAAACUCGAAAAGCUGUUACCUCUAGACACUUUUUUAGGCAAUCACAACUGAGGAGAUUUCGGAACAAAAAAAUAUUUUGUUACUCGGUGAUUAGUAACUAUUGGCGUUUUCCUAGGGAAAGUAAUCAUGGCUGAGAUAAUUUUGGAGAAAAAUAUAAGUUUCACUCCGAAACUGGGGGGCACAUGUUGACACCAUUUUUUGACAUACAUCAAAGAUGGCGUCAAAAGGAGUAGAGAUGCCAACGCAUAGUGGAAGGACAAUGGCUAGUGGAAUCGACAUGUGAGGUUGCAGAAGGUUUAGCUGAUAGAGUAAGACAAAAGCCUAGGCGAUGGGAUCACAGGGGCGUACCCAAUGGAAGAUGAUGGAGGCGUAGCCGAUAGAGUUAGCCGAUGCGAGCAGGAGGGUUCUAGCCGAUUGGAAAUGUUGGAGGUUCGGCCGAUGAGGAGCUGGUUUUGGCCGGUAGAAGCCAAGUUCGUUUCCAACUCCUGCGCGAGUCAUUUUUAUUUACAAAGUUUGUUUCUUUAGAGAUAGGUCUUACGAUUUGUCGUAACCGACUAGGAUUAGAAAUCUUGAUGUAUAGGGUAUAAAUAGGGGCCUUGUAAGGUCUGGAAAAGACACACACAUCAUAAUCAAUACGAAUCUACUAUUUUCGCAAUCUACUUUCAAGUCGGUGACUUCUCCAUUGUUUUCUUUUCUUUACAAGUUCUUCCAAGCUGGUUGGGCUGCAUCGCUUCGAUCACUGGCUAGACUGUAAGUUCCGUGUUUACCGAAUACCUCCUAGGCUUUAACUUCGGGCGCAUCGCUGUCGUUUCGUCUAGAUUUAUUCACAAGUUAUCGAUAUUAACUACAUCUGCAAGUUUUAUUUGUGAAAUCUUAUUGUUUUAGUUCUUAUCAUGAUUAUCCUGCUUAGAACACGUUCCAAUUGGCUUUUGCUUUAUUUCACGUACUAAUCUACUGUCACAUAGUAGAUUAGAUCUAUUUUAAGUGUUGUUCAUGUAGUACUGUUUAGGUUGUAUUUUACGCUUCCUUUACAUCUACUACAUCCACAUCGGCUAAUCUAGCCGAUUGUCUUUUCUCGUGUUGGCAGCUUUGCUGAUACGUCCUGUGGAGUGAUUUGGAACGCCAACCGAUUUGCUCUUGUAUUUGACAUUUUACCUGUCCUUGUCAAUCAAUAGGUCAGAUUGAUUAGCACACCACGGAUCGAUAGGGCUACAACCUGAACAGGAGCGAAGCAGAUUCUCCCGGGUUUCAUGUGUUAGUGCGCGGGAGCCGUCUCUCAAUUUUUGUGUCAACACGUCGGUGAGUACUUCACUGACGAAGUAUACCGGUCGCUGGACCUUCAGUGCGUGUCCCAGCUCCUCUCUGUCGACUAGAAGGGCAGUGCUGACCACGUGGUCACUUGCCGCAAUGUAGAGGAGAAGGGGUUCUUCCCGCUUGGGAGCGACGAGGACUGGGGCCGAAGUCAGCAAUGCUUUGAGGCUGUCCAAAGCCUGUUGUGCCUCCUCCGUCUAGACGAAUGCAUCCGCCUUCUUGAGGAGUUUGUAGAGAGGCAUCCGCCGUUCGCCUAGUCGGGAGAUGAACUGGCUCAGGGCGGCCAAACAACUAGUGAGCCUCUGUAUGCCCUUGAUGUUGCGUAUAGGGCCCAUGUCGGUGAUGGCCGUGAUUUUUUCGGGGUUGGCUUCGAUGUCGCGCUCGGACACGAUGUACUCCAGCAGCUUCCCCUUUGGAACCCCAAAAACACAUUUCUCGGGAUUCAGUUUGGCGCUGAACCUUCAGAGGUUCGCUAAUGUCGCGGCUAAGUUUUUGAUCAUGUUGCUUGCUUGAGUCAUUUUCACCACUAUGUCAUCCACGUAGACAGUGAUAGUGGGUUUUGGCCGCUCAACUUGGUCGGGUUGGUCGGACGGGUCAAUCUGGUCGACGAAGCACCGCUACAUGCACUGUUGAUAGGUGGCACCCGCGUUCAUCAAACCGAAUGCCAUGGUCAGGUACAAGUACGAACCAUACGGGGUGAUGAAGGACGUCGCGACCUGGUCGGUUUCUUUCAUCGCGAUCUGGUGAUAGCCUGUGUAGGCAUGCAGAAAGGAGAGGAUUUUGCAAACUGAGGUGGAGUCGACUAUCUGAUCUAUGCGUGGUAGAGGAAAGUGAUCCUUGGGACACACCUUGCUAAUGUCAGAAUAGUCAAUACACAUUCUCCAUUUCCCAUUCUUCUUUGUUACCAGGAUUAGUGAGCCAGUCAAAGUGGUAUACCUCCUUGAUGAAGCCAGCCGCCAGGAAUUUGGUGAUCUCCUCACCUAUGGCCAUGUGCCUUUCGUCAUCAAAGCGGCACAGGCGUUGCUUGACGGGCUUUGAGCCCAGGGCGAUGCGUAGUGCGUGCUCGGUGACCUCCCUCGGUAUGCCCGACAGUUUAAGCCUGCUAGGAAUCUAGGAUAGGUGGGUUCGUCGCCCCCGACACGCUUGUGGAAGGUGUCGAGGACAUCCUCCAUGUCAUAGGAUGCCUCCCUGACCUGGUGUGCCCAGACCUUGACCUGCUCAUCGAGCUGGUCCCACGGCACUUCCGCCACCUUUGGGAGGAGGGCGUGCACGUGGAUGCUCUCCGGCUCCUGUGAGAGGAACUCCACUUUCUUCCUGACUCCCUUCUGCAGCUUGUAUUCAUCUUGGAGCAGCUUGGGGGCAAGGCAGCCCAUUGCCCCUAUCACCAGAUCCAUGGUCCCAAGCUCACUAUCAAGCUGAUGUGUGUUAUGUAGCUGAUGUGCACAUUCUAUUCUUUCUUGCAGCUUAGAUCUCAAGCAAGAUAUUAGCGAAGGAUGGUCGCGUGGAUGGAAGUGCCUGAAACUAAAAACAAAAACAUCAAUCCAGUCCAAUUCAACUCGUAAAUGAAAAAAAUAGCUAGCACCUAGGACCAACUAAUACAAACCGAAAUUCCAGUGACAUGUUUUUGUUUCAACUCAAAAAAAUUUGCAGUCAGCAAUUUCGAAAUCAAAAUGCUUCAACUUGACCAAUCUUAAUUACCCAAACUAAGACGGGUAAGGCUUGCCAAUCAGACGUUUCAUACUGGUUGUGGGCCACGUGAUAGUGCCUGAUGACUUUUAACUGUGUAUGGCUACGUGAUAGUGCUCACAUUGAAGCCUUUUAAUGUGAAUUUAUAAAAUUUUCAAUUCUAUUCCGAAAUUAACGUGGUGCUCACAUUGAAGCCUCCAAUUGGUGAAUUUAUAAAGUUGUCUCCCCUGCUGGUCUGUCAUAAAAAAUUGUGAAAGUUAUGCUCGACUAAUUCAUAAGGAAACAUAAACAUUUUCAAAACUAACAGAGAAACUAUUAAUUUAGUGACAUAAUGCUCGUCAUCUUAAUUAGAGCGUUGAGUAGCUACUUAAUGGGCUUCGGUUGAGCUUGUAGAUCGACUUGCAGUUGCAGUGAAUGAGCCGAGGACUGGCGGUACCAAUAACGGGAGGCCGCUGCUCUGCUUGCUACCGAGGCCUGUGACGCACGGACCGCAUUGAAAGAGUGCAUAAUUUCCAAGGACUUUAAUCCCAAGGGCUCCACACCACUGAUUGAUCAGCUGUCUGCUGGCUGGGCGCUGUAAGGAGGUAGUGCAUGUUUGACAUAAAGCAGCAGGUGGCCCAGGAUUCACGACAAAAAAGGCAUGCUGCAGGUGGCCCAUGUGGAGUUGUACCCCGGCCUAGAGCCCUAGAGCCAUGGCGUGCUGCUCCCCCCUGCUUACUGGCUACUGCUAGGUCCUCUCGUCCUUUCAUCAGCUAGCGUCCCGCUGCCAAGCUUCAUUUCUCUUCGUGUGUGUCUAUCUCUCUCUCUAUACGUGUGUGUUUUGGGUUUUUUGCUUGAUUAUUCUUACAAGUUUAGGGUAUUUAGUUCCACGGACUAAAGUUUAAUCCCUGUCACAUCGAAUAUUUAGAUACUUUAGUCAGUGGAACUCUCCAUCUCCAUCUGUGCAAUCAGUUCCUCCUAAUUAGUAUCUAAAUAUCGGAUAAUUUCAGCAGUCUUCAAAAGUUUCCUUUGUGUUAAUAUCUUUCUCUCAAGCUGAUACACUUUUCAUGUGAGAAACCUUAUCUCAAGUUUUCAGCAAUCUAUUAUUUUCCUCACUUUGUUUCCUUGAUCAAAGAGCUCCAGCUAUGUAUUACAACAUAUGUGUUUUUAUCAGAAGGACCUACAACCUUGCUAAUGCAAUCGCACCUGCAUGAAUUGUGGAUCUAAGAUAGAAUGAAGAAAGUAGAGUAACAUUGAGCUAUUUACACAGGCUACCAAGAACAUGUUGCUACCGGCUCGGAUUUCAAGCACCAUCGAGAACAAGCAAGAAAAAGAAAAAAUAAUAGGGUGAAAAUCUAGAUCGAGGAUAUUUCAUUCAAAAGAAAGAAAGAAAGCUAGAUGGAGAAAACAUUAAGCAGGUUGACAGAUAGAGUGUUAUGGCAAGUGGGCUGGCCGUACGUCUAGGCCCACGAGUACUGUAGCUCGUGAACAGUACCACGAGGGGAAUAAGAUUGGUUUGUUAGCAGGUCAUUAAGAUAAGGUUAUUAAAGAGAUAAGGUUAUUUAGAUUAGAUUGGGUUUGUUAGGUAUAGCUGGCUAUAUAAGCACAACCACACCAUCCGUUGUAAUCAAGCAAGAAGAACCCUAAAAAGUAGUCAGAGCCUUCUAGGGAAGACGACGAAUAGAUUCUUCGUGCUAUCCCCAAUUCUACCAUAUCAUACAGCCAGGGAGCCAAAGACAAUGUGCUUCAGAUCUAGGUAGAGAGAAUGAAGGAUGGAUGGGCUUUUGUUGAUCAGCUCUAGAUCAAGCGCAGCUAGUUGUGAAGGAGUAGUUGUGAAGGAGACCACUGCUUGGUGGGGGUAACAUCUGUUUGCUACCAAGGUCUGCGACGCCUGGACCCCCGGCGCAUUCUAAGGAUUUUAAUCUCAGGGGACUUAAUCGUAGUUAUAGCUAUAGUAUUCCAGCAUACAAAUUGUAGAAAUUUCACGUGAAUUGUACUCCCUCCCCUGACACUAUGAAAUAUUCUCCCUGAGAGUCCCCUAUUAUCCGGUAGUAAUUUUCAAUUGAGUUCAAAUCCUUCCUCUUCUUAAUUUUGUUCUCUUUGUUGGAUUGUAUGUUCACUCCUAUGCUGUCGUUUUUUUGUUGUUGUAGCCUGUAUGCUGUGUGGUCACGAGAACGUGUGCUCUAUCACUGCCAAUCAAUGACCAAUCUAGCAGGCUAGCAGUGUGUCUCUGUGCUUGCGUGGUCCGAUCCCUCUGUCUUCGGGGUCCCGCGUUCCUAGCUUCCCUGUGCAUAUCAUCUCCCUGUGCAUCACGUGGCACAUGGAGUGUCUUCCCUUGCCAUGUCCCUAGCUUCCCUGUGUAUCUCAUCUCCAUGGCACAGAGAGCGUUCAUCGCAUGGCACAUGGAGUGCCUGAUGACUUUGUGAGUCACCCUUGUACUCCCUCCGUCCCAAAAAAAUGCAACCAUCGCUUCCCGAGGAGUCAAUCAAUUUCAAGUUUGACUAAAUUUAUACAAAAUAGUAUUAACAUUUAUGAUACAAAAUAAAUAUCAAUAAAUUAAUCAUGUAAUAUAUUUUCAUACUAAAUUUAUUUGGAGAUGUGAAUGUUAGUAUAUUUUUAUAUAAAUUUGCUCAAAUUUGAAACUGUUUGACUCCUUCGAAAGUAGGAAUUGGAUUCUUUUUGGGACGGAGGGAGUACGGCCGAGGGGUAGUGUAGGUCAAGUCUUGACGAGGAGGCCCUGCCGUGGGCAUCAUCUGCCCACUGGCCUUCUCGCACUCCUCUGAGCUGAGCCCAGUCAUUUGACCACGCAUAUGAAUGGAAAAGGGAUACCAUGGGAAUGGGAUGGCACGUACUUCGAAAGCUAGGGCAUGUUUGUUUGAGCUGCAACUUUUGAUCUUUUCUGAAAAAAUUGCUGUUAGUUUUUUUUCUGAAAAGUCAACACUAGAUUUUGGAAGAUGUGUUUGGUUUUCUGAGCUCAGAAAGCUAAAAAAAUCACAAAAUUAAGAUUUUUAGCUUUCCAUAUAAACUUAAUAUUUAUGGGAGGCUUCUAGAUUUCUAGAAACUACACGAGAAAUUCACUAUUUGUUUGAGCUUCUAGCUUUUCAUGCACGAGAAGCUGCUUGGAAUCUCAAACAAAUACGCCCAAGCAAAGAAAGACAGUCAAAGCUAUAAAGUUCGUCGGAUGCGAGCAGUAUAUAUUAGCGGCCACAAAACAAACUUUCCGACUUUGUUAUAUCCAUCGGCCAUUGGCAACGGAACACGCCACUAUAGGUGGAUGAGAAAAAAAAAUUUGAGGGCCACUCCAAUUUUUCUAUACAGGAAAACUGAAGUCUUUAUCAAAAUACAUGAAUGAAGAGCCAAUAAUUUUAGUACGUGUUCCAUAUCUCAACUCUGAAUUCCAAUAUAAAAAAGUGAUUGAUGCCUGAUGCCUUAACUCCGCCUACAUAUGCAUUGAUGCGAACAACUGACCGGUGAUGAUCGAAGUGAGUGCUCAGUGAGACUAAGGUGUUUGGAUCCUUGAGCUAAAAUUUAGUUUGUGUCCUCUCAGCCCGCCAGCAAUGCUAGGCCAUGCCACAUGCUUAUCAUGAAAAACACUGCAAGAUUGGAGAUUAGGCUGAUGGAAGACUAGUGUAACAACUUGGUCUAGGAAAACGGCUAAGGCCCAAUCUACAUAUCGAAUGGACCACACCUACUAGUAAUUCGCUUACACUUUGGUCCUCGCUUCAUGAAAAAGGGUUAACCCGAGGUUACUAGUCUUCCUACUGGAUCCUAUUUAACCUAGUUCAGUUCCCUCUCAGUUUCCGGUUUUGACUGUCCUCGUGUCAGUACAGUGUCACUACAGGGUCGGGAGACGAUUCGGACUCUUCGGGGGACCACGACGACGGUGGCACCUCCGAAGGGCAUGGCGGCGAUCGCGCCCGCUUCGCCUCCCGAUCGUGGGCAACGUCCACGCCCGCAACACGCUUCCUCAACUCAGGGGCACCAAAAGGCACCCCCGUACGACGUGUGCCGCCAGAAGACGCGGCUACAGGCUCUCGGUACCCCAUCAAAGACACGGUGGCGCCCCCGUCCACCUCAUCCCCCGAAGAGUCCGAAUCAUCUCACUCAAGCUCCGCCUCUACGUCCGACCAGCUCUCGCCACCGUGGACCCGCCAGUUAAUCUCUCUCUGCUUCACCUACCUCCUCUGGAUCUCUGUGGUCCUCUUCUUCUUGCUCUCAUCUGCGGACAUCUUUAGGGCAGCUUGCCGAGCCAUGCCUUCUAGCCCUUUCAGGAGGUGCGGUCAGGAUCGGUAACGCUCGAGCCCCUAUGAUACGAACAAUUCAGAAUCGGUCAGGAGAUCUAGAUAAAGAAGAAAAAGGCCAUAGGAAGAAGUAUACCAGAUCGGACUGCCUCUGGGCAUGGAGAGGACCAGGCGUCCCACUAAUGGAUGGGUUCUACCCCAACUGCAGCACCUGGUCCAUGCGCGUCGUGACCUCGCUACCCGGCAAGUUCAUCGGCAACACGUGGUCAGGAUCCGACGGGCCAGAAUACUUCCACAUAGGCCGCGCUCUUUCCCCCAACGGGGCAAUCCAUCGGCGGAUAAAGGUGUCGAAGACCCAAAAUCCGUUGAGUCCCACUUGCAUGAGCCACCGCAGAGCUGGCUCGAUGAUCUCCAUAUGGUUCUUGUGGUAGGAAGCGGGGCCCAUGUCUAGCUAUCCUGCUUCGUUGGCCUCCCCUAGUGAACUUCGGGAAUGGCGCCUCCACAGGGUUUCGAAUGUAGAACCACUCGCAAUGCCACCCCCAAUUAGAAUCAUUGGGGUGUAUGGUGGGUAGGCAACCUUGGACUUCCUCUACAGCGCAAAUCCUCCAACCAGGGCUGGUCGGGCUGCCUUCCCAUUUUCCUCCGAUAGAGCUCGCCCGCUAAAGAUUCCCCGGAAGAGAUCUACGUGUGGCUCCUUCCCGAGGAACGCCUCGCAGACGGUAACGAAGCCGACGAUGUGCAGCACCCCAAGUGUGGAGGAGCCCGCGUAGGAACCAAUGCGCGGGGUAUCCGAGCCCGCGCUCGUGGAAGGAGAGGAAGGAGACAACCUCAUCGGGCUUGGGUCACUGUAUGACGAUCCCCAGCUCUGGAGCUCUCCAGCCCGCCACCGCCUUUGACUGAAGUAGCCCCUUCGUAGCAAAGUCCUCCAGUAGUUCCUCCCUCAUGGGGGAUUCCCUCCAACCAGACAUUGCGCGAUGAGAGCAACGGACGGAUCGGUAAGUCUUCUUUCCCUCUCUGUCUUCACCCUCCUCUCUUGCAUAGCUUGCCACAGCGCGCAAGGAAGCUUGGUGAAAAGGCGGAAGAGGAAGCGGCAACGAUCGAGGAAAGGUGAAAAGAUAGGCAAAAACCCUCCGCCUUCCCCCAUUUAAUGGGGAAGGUGGCGCAGAGUCUUAGAGGACGGGACGUAAUAGACAAGAUGUGGCCCGAGUGAAGGAACGUGGCCUAGGUAGGGCCCACCCACUACCGUAGCGAGGGUGCAAAAAAUAGGGCAUGACCGCACAACCCUCCGCCUUCCAAGGCAAGGUUUCGGGAAGGUCCCACCAUCAGAACCUCCACCGAGAAAAGACCAGCAAGCCACUCGGGUCAGUCGGACGACUCGGGCAUCCGAUGGGAGACAGGUAAGAAAUGAUGGAAUGCCACAUGCAGGCUAAGCCGACCCCAUCACAAGUGACGGAUCCGGAUUCCACUCCGGCAUACCCGCUUAGGGUCCCCCAAGCCUGUCGCUCGAACCAUCAAAGGUAAGCUACGUCAGCUUAACCCCUCCGGUUGUGGAAACUGCAAAUGGGGCGAUGCCUAGAAGUCCGACCGAUGUAAUUUUACCGACCCCCAUUUACUUUCUCAGCGUAUGAGCACUCAUUCAUUCAUCCAUCUCACGCAUGCAUACAUUCAUCCAUGCAUUCAUACAUUCAUCUCAUGCAUGCAAUCAUUGCAUUACAAUUGCUUUGCGUCACGUCACAAAGCAAUAGCGGUUCAUUCAAAAUGAACUGCGACUGACCGGGGUUCAAAGACCGGCCCGUGAAAGGCUCGAGGCCGCCUCGCGUCAAACAGAGCUAGGGGAGAAAAUGCGGAUGAGCCCCAGCAGCCCUCGCCCAACCUGCUCCAAAGCGGAUAGGGUCAUCUCGACCUUUUCAUUCAAUCCUAAGCUCGAGCCAUGCCCAUAGAAUCUCCAUCAAGGGGAGGCCAACGGACAACCUGAGUCGAUCUCCAAAAUGUCUUGGGCAUCUGUCGGGAGGCAGGUUAAGGAGCAGUGGAAUGACACAUGAGGGCUAUGCCAACCCCGCUACGAACGACGGACCCAGAUUCCACUCGGACAUGCCCCUGAAAAAAGGGGAUCUGGAAUCGAGGCGACAGUACCGCAACCGCUCGAUAAAGGCACCUGGGAUCAAGGUGACGGUACAUCUACCGUGCAAUGAAGGCACCUGGGAUCAAGGCGAAGGUACCAGGGCACGAGGCAAUGGUAUGGUGCCCGCAUGAACCUUAUCCUUAUCAUCCAGGAUACGGGGCCGGUCUCCACAAUGCAGCCCAUCCAUUUUGCAAACAAGACAAAGAAGAACAGCACCCUCGUGUGUUCCCCCUGAUGAGGCAACGACCUACCGACCAAAAAACAGCAACCACUUCACGGCUCCAACGGAGCCCUAAAGGGGCUUAGGGGCUCCUGACGGGUCCAUAGACCUGGGGUCCCCAAUGAGACUGCCUUCCCGCAGUGUUUGGCCCAACAAAAUGCCUAGCAACAACACGCACCUGGGCCGACCCAGCCGCACAACGCCAGGCCGAGACCGAGAUCUAGCCACCGACUGGCUCCUCCGAUCAAGAGGCCUGGUCAACACCCUGACCAAAGGGGUCCAAUCAGGGGUGGGACCAGAGUCCGACCCUGACCGAAUCCUCCCAACUGAGGAUGCCCCGAACCACAUCGUUCCCCCUGACCAGCACAGUCGGGGGCAACUAGGACAACUGACUGGGGACACCCGCUCGGUGUGGACCUAGGAGUAGGUGGGACGGAUAACGAGGAAGCAUCCAGGUCAACUACCGUACGAGGAACCAUAUCGCGACACGCGCUGCGCACGUCCGCAUUGUGCCACCGCAACCCACCCACUCCAACGGAGUGUUCUGACGAGAUGAACAGGGACCGAGGACGGUAGCCAUACCUUACCUGAUGACGUGGAGCACGACAAGACUAGGCGAUGCCCGCACUCUCCCUCUCCCUCUCUCUCUCUCUGACUUGUAAGGCCGUCCCCUUGUGCUAUAAAAGGGGACGGGCCCUACCCAUCUGAACACACCACCAGUCAACCAGUGCCGGCCUUGCAAGGGUGCAGGAGGUGCGAUGGCCUAGGGCCCAUGGGAGGGAGGGGCCCAACCUAGGACCCGUGUUUAUAGGCAUACAGCAGGUCAAUAGCGCGUCCGCAUACGGCGUACAGAAAGACCCCCGGCCGGCCCUUUAGACGUGUGACAGAGUCACAGAGAACAUAGAGUCAGUCCCCCGGCCAGUCCUUUAGGCCUUUACUUUAGGCCCUUCACACCGUGUGACAGAGAGUUAGAGACCCAGGUAAUAGACUAACAGAGGGUCAGAGGCCCAUUAGGCUUUAGACCUACAGGACAUCAGGACUUUGAUGCGUGCGCUGCCGGCCGAAUACGAAUUGCCGCCGUGCGACUGGAGUCUGGAUAGUUUGGUCCUGUGUCGGCACCUCGGCAAUUCGGCACAUCCACUUUCGAGUUCCGCUUCGUCGAAUCAUCAUCUCGUCUUGUCUCGUCGACUCGACUCGUCGUCUUGGACUCAUGGCACCACGCAUAGCAAGGCAAUGAUCAGGCCCUAGGUAUUUUUUUCCUUGAUCAUUUUUUAAUCUAAAUUAAUUACUUCGGACUUGUAGUACUUGGUACUCAUAUAAUAUAGUUGUGUUUUUCUUCUAAUUUAGGUGUUAGAAUCUUAGAAUGUUACCUAAGAAACAUUUGUCGGGGGCUCAGAAAAGAAAACGGAAAAGAGUAGAAGAUCAAUUUAUUGAAUCUCAAAAAGGUGCUAUACAUAAGUUUUUUUUUUCAGCUACAAGCAGUGUUAUGCCUGAUGAUAAUCUUGUAGAUGCACUUGAUAUUGAAGAACAAGGGCAGCAGCAAGUUAAUGAUAAUUUAAGGGAACAAGUUGAUUACAUUGAUGAUGCUACGGAGAAUAAAAAUUUACAGCCUUCCUUUCAACCUAAAAAUUCAAUUGAUGAUGUGCAAGAAACUUCUAUUCAUGAUGUCUUUGAUCCUAGAACUUGGGGAAAUCUUGAUAAUAAGGGUAGAGAUAUAUUGAUUGAAAAGGGGCCGAUGAGAGAAUUGAAUCUUGAGUUCCCUACAAAUGCUCUUAAUAGACGUUUUUCAUAUGCUUACUACUCCAGAAAGUUAAGCAAUGGUGAGGUGGUUGAUACAAAAUGGUUGGUUUACUCUAAACAUGUGGAUAAAGUAUUUUGUUUUUGCUGCAAAUUGUUCAAAUCAAGUCAGAGCAAAAGUUUGCUAGCACAUGAUGGAUUAAGGGACUGGAAACAUCUUAGUCUUAGACUCAAGCAACGUGAGAAUUGUGUUGAGCAUGUAACAAAUAUGAAUACUUGGAAUAAACUUAGGCUAAGGUUGAGCAAAAAUAAAAUAAUUGAUGAUGAUUUCCAACGGGAAAUUGCAAAGGAGAUAGAGCGUUGCAGACAAGUUUUAGUAAGAAUUGUUUCUGCUGUCAAGUUUCUUGCUAAACAUAAUUUGGCUUUUCGAGGGAAAAAUGAGACACUAUAUCAAGAUAGCAAUGGUAACUUUCUGGGCACAGUUGAAAUGAUGGGUGAAUUUGAUCCCGUGAUGCAAGACCAUAUUAGGCGGAUUCAAAAUAGUGAGAUUCAUCAUCAUUAUCUUGGGCAUAAAAUUCAGAAUGAGAUGAUUUCUCUUCUUGCAAAUUGUGUGAAGCAAACUAUACUAAAGAUCAUCAAGGAUGCCAAGUAUUUUUCUAUGAUUUUAGAUUGUACUCGAGAUGUGAUCCAUGAAGAACAAAUGACUCUAAUUAUUCGAUGUGUUAAUGUGUCGAGGAAUGUUCCAAGGGUAGAGGAGUUCUUCCUAGAGUUCUUGAAGGUAGAUGACACAUCAGGAUUGGGUCUUUUUAAUGAAUUAAAGAAUAUAUUGGCCUCUCUUGAUUUGAAUAUUGAUAAUGUGAGAGGACAAGGCUAUGAUAAUGGUUCAAAUAUGAAGGGUACUCACCAAGGUGUUCAGAAGCGCUUGCUUGAAAUUAAUUAAAGAGCACUAUACAUGCUGUGUGCAUGUAAUAGUCUGAAUCUUACUCUUUGUUAUAUGGGAAAAUCUUGCAGGUAAACUAUUAUUUCUAUUAUACAUUGUUUUCAUAUAAUAUGCCAUGAUUUGGGAAAAGUUGAAACUUACUAUUUGUUAAAUCUUGCAUUCAUAUAAUAUGCCAUGAUUUGGGAAAAGUUGAAACUUACUAUUUGUUAAAUCUUGCAGGCAAGCUAUUUUUUUUGUCUCAUCCAACGUAUAUACACAUUGUUUGCAAAAUCUACCAAAAGGUGGAACAUUUUGGUGGACAAUGUCCCAGGAUUGACAGUUAAGUCAUCGUCUAAUACAUGCUGGGAAAGCCGAAUAAAAAGUGUUCAAGCUAUCAGAUUCCAAACUCCUCAAAUAAGAUCAGCUUUAAUAGCGCUAGAGAAGGCUUCAACUGAUGACCUAAUGGCAGUUAGUGAAUGUCAAUCUUUGGUGAGUGCACUAGAGAAUUUUAAAUUUUUAGUUGGUUUGGUUAUUUGGCACGAUAUUUUAUUCUCUAUAAAUAAGGUGAGCAAAAAGUUGCAAUCUAAAAUUGUGAGUAUAGAUGAUACUCUCAAACAUAUUGAAGGUGUCAUAUCAUAUUUUAAGAAGUAUAGAGAUGAAGGUUUCACUUCUAGUAUGAAUACAACAAAAAAAUAUUGCAUCUGAAAUGGAUAUAGAGCUAAAAUUUCGUACAAAACGUCAAGGAAAGAGAAAGAAACAUUUUGAUGAACAAGAUGAUCAAGAUGAGGAAAUACAACGGUCUGUUGUGGACUCAUUUAAAGUAGAGUACUUCAAUGUUACGAUCGAUGCUGCAAUUACUUCACUGACUAGUAGAUUUGAACAGAUGAAAAAAUUUGAUAACGUUUUUGGGUUCUUGUUCAACUCAAAAAAUUUGAAAUCUUUGGAUGAAGCUGAUCUUUGGCUGCACUGCAAGAAUUUUGUGGAAAUAUUUUCUCAGGAUAACUCAUCCGAUGUUGAGAUCAAUGAUUUUUUUCAGAAUUAAAGGUGCUACAAGUGACUUUGCCAGAUUCUUUGAUGUCGGCGCUUGAGAUUUUGGAGUUUGCUAUAGCUGCAGAUUGCUAUCCAAAUAUUUAAGUUGCCUAUCGAAUCCUCUUAACUGUACCUGUGACUGUAGCUUCGGCUGAAAGAAGUUUCUCAAAAUUGAAGUUGUUGAACAACUAUUUGAGAUCAACUAUGUCACAAGAAAGGUUAAAUGGAUUGGCUAUGUGCACCAUCGAGAGGGAUAUCUUGGACACUAUUGAUCUCAAUACCGUCCUAGAUGAUUUUGCAUCAAGAAACGCCCGAAGAACUAUCUUUUUAUGAGAAGCAAUGGAUUUUAUGGAGUUAUAUUUUUCCUUAAGGUAAUCAUAUUAGUUUUAGUCUACAUUGUUUCUCGAUAAUUAUCAAACAUGUUAAAUUAAAAAUAUAUCACUGGAUUUGUUUUCGUAUUGGAAAAAAAUUAGUGCUUAUAUAUAUUAUAAGAUUUAUAUAUAGUCUAGAGGGUCCGUCGCGACAAGUUCACCAGAGGGCCCUCAAAAUCUUAGGACCGGCACUGCAGUCAACACGCAUUACACUCCAUAGACGUAUACGCUCUCGAACACUUAGCGCACGUCUAAGCCUCGAUUACUCUCUUCCACUCGGACCAGAGCACGACCAGGUCUUGGACACCCCCUCUCAUCCCUCAUUUGGACCCCCACUGCAAACUUUUUGCACCGGGGCUCAGGAAUAUAGUCGACCGACCGACCCCGACUAGAUGUAGGGCUCGCUGCCCGAACCAGUAUAUAUCCUUUGUUAUUGUGUGCUAGGUCAUGGAAAAACUACAAUAUUUACUUGUCGGUCAGAUUUUGCACCGACACUAUUUGACAGAAAACAUAGGCCAAAACCUAUAGUGUUGUUUUUCUAAUUGAUACGUCAGUUUUUUUUAAUGAAUGUAUCGUGGUUAAUGGCCAUUUAAUGAAAUUAUAAAGGAUAAUAACGAUCGUGCUUUCUGCGUUCCAAAAAGCAAUCAAGAAUUCAUGAAGGUUGUGCAGUGUAUGGAAACCUUAUGUUAAUAGUUAGAUGGGAAAUGUCUGAGUGACCCACCUCACCUUGCCAGGACACUGGUACUGCCCUCGUGGUUCACGCACAUCAGGCCAGCAGACAAGCUAUGAUGUUGCCAGCAGUGGUCAGUACACAAAUCUCGCUAUCAGUCGGAUCCAAGGGCAGGCAUUUGCAUUGUGGUUGUGUUUGAACAUGGAGAUGUCGUUGUGAUUGUGAGGCACCAUAGAUCCUCUCUCAGUUUCACUCCGCCUCACACACGGAUAGCACACCAGGGACCCGACACCAUGCAUGCCGAUUUCAUAUUAUUAAUAAUUAUUUUUGGAAUGGUUGUUGAAACUAUAUAGUUAGUCCAAUCUGACGUUUCCGAUUAUAAAAAUUAACAUAAAGAGAUAGUAUAAUAAGCACGCAUAAUGAAGCCGACGCGUACAGUAAGUACUAGAGCCAGCAUUUAUACAAACUGAUACGGAUAGUAAAAACUAGAAUUUAUAAAUAAAAAAAUAAUUUGCACAUCUAUGCAAUAAUUAGUGGUUAGUGGCAGUUCUAGAGAGAUAUCUCAUCAAAUUGGUGAGUUAUAUCCGGUUUAAACGAGGAUAAAAAUGAGUGUAUUUUCCACUCAUGUUGUCUUUUCGCUGCUGUACUGCCUUGAGUGUGUUGUAUUGUUCCUCUAACACCAAAAAGUCUUCAAGGCUCGAAAAAAUAACAAAGUGAUAGCAGCCCAGAAAUCGACAAGUUUCUUUCCCCCUUUGGCUUUCCUACUAGGAUUCGGAAUCCUCUUUAGCACGACAAUCUUAAUUAUCUCCCAUAGUCCAAAACUCACAAAAACAUCAAAAAUCUGCUGAGAAUAAAUUAAGUAAAAAACAUGCACACACAGAUAAUAAUAAUAAUAAUCAUGUUUCAAUAAAAUUGCUAAGGUCAGAGACCAUACAUAAACAUAUUAGACUAUUCAUGACACAUAUCACGGUGGAUAGAGUCUGUGUCCUUAUUACAAGCAGCGAGAGGAAUUAAAUAUGCAUGUCACCACACACAUGCACGCACAGAUGCAUGACAUACCAAUACUAGAGAACUCGGUAUAGUACCAUUUCAUAGGGUGCAUAUCUCUCGAAAAUGCAUCCAGGAUUAAUCCGUCGAGAUAAAAGGGGACGAUCUUUUAUCAUGGGUCCCUAAAUUGGGGUCCCUCUUUUAGUCCCGGUUUGUAAAGCCAACCAAGACUAACGGAGCUGCCACACUAGGCGAUGGACAGACCCCUUUAGUCUCGGUUGGUGUUACAAACUAAGACUAAAGUGCAUGUAUACAGUGCCAUGCAGGCGCCUAUAAUUUUGUGCAUCACAUAACCCUUUAGUUAGUUGAGAGUUUUUUUAAAAAUUAAUAAAAUCAAUCAAACUAUAUAUAGUAUUUAAACGAAUCAAUUUAACUAUUACAUACUUAUAUAUACAAGUCUUAUACAAUUAGCAAGUAUAUGUACAAUUCUUAAUUAGUAUAUAUAUAGUACAAUUAAUUCCUAGCUAGCUAGCUAUAUAGCUCUAGGAUCUUUGUCGAGGUCUUCCCGUCGAGGUGUUGCUCGGUGCUUCUUAAUUUCAUCCACCGUAAUGAUAUUUUCCUUAUGGAUUUAUCACCUUCUCCACCAGGAAUCCUACGAGACUUUCGCAUAUUGUGACUAUUCUUUUCUUCUCCAAGAUCUUGUCUCUAAUAUUAUGCAUCUAUAAUUUGGAAGUGAAUAAUGUUACACGAACAAUUAAAUAUAAGGAGCUAGAAAAUAAUUAACUAUUAAUAGUUUUAUUUUAUAUUACAUACUUUUUAUUUUUCCUGCAGCGUCAACCUGGCCUUGUGUGAUAGAAAAUUGUGCAUGUUCUCACAAAUAUAGUACCCACAUAGAUUAUUCCCUUGUUCCUAUCUUAAGCACUUCAGUGGGAACAAAACAAGUUAUAAAAUAUUCAUCAUAUAGAAUGUACAAAAUAUGCAAACUUCAUACGUACUAGGAAGUCUGUGUAGUGUUAGGCGAAAAUUUAGGAAACACACUUUUGUAUUGAGAUAAAGGUCCAGAAUUAUUAAUUACAAGUAUAGAAUGUCUUGAAUCUCUUGGUACUCCGCUAGUGGUUUCCUCAAGGAAUCGAGGACGGUAACUCGGCUUCUACCAGACUCAAUUACUAUUAGGAUCCAAUGGUAACUAUGUACGUAAAUAUUCAUUAAUCAGAUAAGGAAAAGGAAACUACGAUAGACGGUAUACGUACAUACAAACACUUACUUGAAGUUGUAUGGAAGUAAUAUGUAGCCCUUGCCACCUUGAAGGUCCAGCAUAUUGAAACAGUCCACCAACAUUUUAUCUGUAAAAUCUCGUAGUUGGGUUUGGUUAACUACGGAUGGAUCCGUGAAGCCAACAUGCAAGUAUCCUUCUUGUCGGCACUUCUAAAUUAGCAGCCUACAUGAAAAGGAAGACAAAGUUAGUAGGGUGACGCAUGCAUAAAAAAUAAUGAUAUGGUCCAAAAUUUACAUAUAGAUAAAUGGAUACUUACAGAGCCCAGGCGCUGAUGAGAGAGACGUCUAGGGCAUCUUGAUGGUACACUUCGUAUAUAUCUUUGAAUUCCAGCCAAAGAGAUUUCUCGCCUUCGCCGUAAAAAUCUAUCGGUUUUACCUUAAGGGUGAACAUGGAAGUCUGGUCGGCGGACGUAUUCAUGAACCAUUCAUGGAAUUCGUACAUCUUUGGUGAUAGGCUCCCUACCAACUCAGGCCUUCCCAGAGACUUUCCUAGCUCAAACGUCCAUCUUGGUUGAAAUGGUUGUGAAGCUGCUAGCUCUUGACCACCUAGCUCUAUACAUUGAUCAAGUCCCACUCCAAAUUCUUUCAUGAAUUACAAUACUUGAUCUUGUUGAGACUUGGGCAUUGCUGCUAUCCUGGUAGCAUCUCCUUCUGGUAGAUGAUGAAGGCGACGAUCAACAACACUUGAAAAUGACUUUCCGUUUCUUUUUUUUCCCUAUAUUCAUCGCCUCCUUGGUUGAAUCUGACAUCUUCUGAAAAAAUUGUAAUUUAGUUGGAUCAAUUGUUGGUUGUGGCUCCAUCUCCCUUGCUUUUUUUUUGUUCAGCCCUUUUCCUGAACAACUCCUUGCAUUCUUCUUGGAUUUCGGACCAACAUUCCUCUUGAGUCAUUGCAUCCCAGCGUUCCUCAAGAGUCAUUCAGGCUCCUUAUUUGUUUUCCUCUUUUUUAUGUGCUGGCUUGGGAGCCGUUGGUCGUGACUUCUUAAUUGGGUCUCCAGCAGGUUCCUUUCUCAGGGCUGCAGGUACCUUGCUCGGGACUGCUCUUAGUCCCGAUGUUGUCGGUGAUCGGGGAGGAGUGUUGUUGUCAUCAUUGUUGCCAGCUGGAUGUGGAGAUGGAGACUUUGAUUGAGCAUGCAUCUACAACGGUCCUGGUGCUGAAGGUCCUGGUGGUGAUGGUUCUAGUGGUGAUAGUCAUGGAACUGACCGUGGUGGAGAAGUCGGUCUUGCCAUUUGAGGAGAUAGUUGCGGCUCGGGUUCUUCCGGGAGGGGUGCUGCCUCCAUGCCUGGGAUGAUGAUGUAGCGUUUGUGCCAUAGAAUGAUGCCUCCUUGAACCGUAUCUCCUAGUGUCCUUUCCCCAAUGCCUCCCAGGAGCUGGAGCUCAUAGCCUUCAUAUUGGCUAUCAACAAGCUGCUCUACCGAGACAUUAGCAUAGUCAGGUGGAAUCUCCAUGCCAUGGCUCACCUGCGUUGCCUAGCUUGGUAAGGCACUCGCGUAUGCUACCUGUCCAUAUAACAGAAAUCAAGAUGUUAUUAAACUCCAAUCCUGAGGCAUUGGAUCGAUGGAUUGAGAAGAUUAUGGCAUAAAUAUUAAUUAUGUAUAAGAGUAUACCUUAAUAGUCAUUUUACCGACCGGUACAUGCAGCUCACAUGAGGUGCAUUGCCUGAUGAAAUCAACAGUGAACUAUUGCUGGUCAUGUGGAUCGGGUUGUGCUCCUAAUUGGGAAAGGGCCACUCGACGAUUGACUUCAUCAUGCAUUCUUUGUUCUACAGAUUGCACUUGAGAUUCUAGGUUGCGCCGCCAGCUCUGCUCAGCCAAAUCCUUUCUUCGCUUGCGGCUUCUGUACGAAUCUCUGUCUUCUUUGAAACCGUACUUCCACGGAAUGAUCCCGAACCCGCGGACACGUCCUGGGUGCUUAGGAUUCCCAAGGGCCAAUGUGAGCUCAUCCAUUUCUCGAUCCACCACCAAUCUCCCAGCCUUAACAUCUUCAAUGUUCUUGGCGAGUUGUUCGCCCUUGAGACAUAUUUCCUCAGUUAAGAUCAACGUCCCAUCCUCUUGGCUCAGUUUGCCUCCAUGAGUGAAAAACCAAUUUUUAGCUCGUUGGUUCCAUUCAUGAGUAGCUGGUACGAUACGCCGUUCGAGCAGGUCUUGUUCCAUCUUGCGAAAUUUGGGCACUACUGUGUUUGGCCAUUUAAUCAUGUGACAUGACUCACGGAACGUCGGAAACGGAUUGAAGGGUCACUAGGGACGCAAACGUGAGGGAUGGUCAACGAACACGUAAAAAUAACCAUCGGACACAUGUUCGGCCAAGUAAUAGUGUGCUAUAGCUCACGGGGAGCCAGAAACAGCCUCAAAGUGGACCAAGGGUGGAAACAUGUGGGAUAGCCAGAACACGCAAAAAUGGCCACCGGACAUGUGUUCGACCAUGUAAUGAUGACCUAUAGACCACAGGAGGGAGGAAAUGGACUGGUGGGGCUCCCGAGAUAGAAACGUGGAGGAUGGAAUAACAGUGAAAAUGGCCUUCAGAAACGUGUUCACUAUGUAACCAUGUGCUAUAGCCCUAGGGAGGCCAAAAACAGCCUGGAACAGGUCCGGGGAUAGAAACCAAGGGAAGGAGGAACACAUGAAAAUGGACACCGAACAUGAGUUCGGCCAUGUAAUUGUGUGCUAUAGCUACGGCGACACUAAAAAAGGCUCGAAGGCCACCAGGGACGAAAACAUGACGGACGACCAAAACACGUUAUAAUGACCAUAGAUACGUGUUCGGCCAUGUAACCAGAUGCUAGCCCAAGGAAAGCUGCAAUGGGCUCGAAAGGGCUCUAGGGAUGGAAACUAGGGGGUACAUGUUUGGCCAUAAAACCAUGUGCUAUAGCUCACAGUAGGCUGUUGGAAACUAGGGGGAUGACAGGAACACAUAAAAAUGGGCACCGGAUACAUGUUUGGCCAUGUAACCGUGUGUUAUAGCUCACGGGAGGCCGGAAAUGGCCCAAAAGAACAUGGGGACGGAAACGUGUGGAAUGGUCAUAACACAUGAAAAUGGCCACAAGACACGUGUCCGAUCAUGUAACCAUGUGCUAUAGCCAAUGGGAGGCCUAAAAUGACAUGGAAGGGCUCUAUGGGUAGAAUCCAAGGAGACAGUCGGAACACUGAAAAUAGGCACCUUAGACGUAGACGUAUUCAGCCACGUAAGCGUGUGCUAUAACUUCCGGAACGACGGAAAAAGCUCGAAGAGCCACCGGAACGGAAACGUGGGGACAGACGGAAAAAGUUCGAAGGGCCACCGGUACGGAAACGUAGGGAUAACCGGAACACUUGAAAAUGGGCAUCGAGCACUAGUUCGACCAUGUAAUAGUAUGCUAUAGCCCACGGGAGGUCCAAAAAGGCCCAGCGGGGCUCCAAGGAUGAAAACAUGGGGGAUGGCUGGAACAAAGAAAAUAGCCACCAUUGGCUAGAGCUACCUGGCCCGAAGGUGUGCGUUUGUCCAACUAUAGCACAUUCUAGUUAACCCUUUACAACACAAGGAUGAAAGUUAAGGAUGAAAGUGUAAGUAAAUGCUUGCCCCUCGAAAGGGUAGGGCAGUGUGGCUCGGAGCACGGGAUGUUACAAUCAUACACAAGUCCAAUCAGGAAACAUGUACUAUAGCUCACGUGAGGCAAAAAUUGGUCAGAUUGGAUACUCAGGAGCAACACACGUAGGAACGACCCGAAGGAGUGGAAAAAGACGCCGAAUACAUGAACUAGUAUGCUACAGCUCAUGAGAGGACAAUUUAUCAAAAUUGGCACUGGAGAGACACGUGCAGGAACGACUCGAGCUAAGUGGAAAAGGAUGUCGAAUACGUGGACCGCCAAGAACCAUGUGCUAUAGAAAACAUGUGGUUGCGUCCAUAACACAUGGAAGGGGCCCGCGUCCGAUCGGACGCCCUACGAGAAGCAUUUCCGAUAGUUCAAUUACUGUUUACUUUUUUAUAGUCCAAUUAUUACAGUCCCCCUCCCAAUUAGUCCCUUAUCUACAGUCCACUAUUUACAUCACGAAUUAGUACAAUCAAUGCAACUGAAGCAGGUAGUCUAGCGGGAUCCUUACUAAUCGGGAGCAGAUAGCUGUUCUUGUUCAAUCAACCUGAGGUCCCAUCCUCGAAAGCAUCAUGGAAAAAGAAAAUAAUCAGAUCAGCAUACAAAUGGCAGCAAUUAAGCUGAUCAUAUCAAAUAGUUAUGGAAUAUAUCAAAAAAAAUUGCAAAUGCAGCAAUUAUUAAGAGGUCAAUGUGGCAGUAUCAAGUCACUGACGAAUUCAGGCCAAACAAACAUACGAGAAAUACUAGCUACUAAGCUACCUCAAAUUUCAGUAAACAAAUAUCAUGUUAAGAAAGCGCCAUUUUCAUUUAGUUGCAAGUGAACAUUCAGUUUCAAGAGUAAUGUCCAUUGAAAUAAGAGUAACAAGUGUUAUUUCAUAUUCUGCAUAUGCAAAAUCUGUCGUGUUACUGUAUAAUGUCCUUAUGUCAAGGUCAAAUGAUGGGUUUGGUGACCAAGCACUGCAAAAGGAGAAAUGGACGCACGAAGGAAGAGCAUAUGACCGCUGCCUCUGCACAUCCACCAACCAAUUCCUACCCAAGUAAACCCUUCUCUAUAAUGGGAAACUAUCAGUGCAGUGGACAGAUGGCAGAACUAGAGUGGACAUAUCGCCACCCCAAGUUUAGAAAUACUGCAUACACUUGCACAUUUACUAGUGCAAGCCCAGUCCUUCCUGUCGCUACCCCAUUCAGUCAUGGUUAACAGCUAAAAUCACCUAUGAUGUCAAAGACUAGCUUAAAAUGCAGAAGUAAAAGAAGCCAUGAUGCCUAUUGCUAGUUCAACAGCUAGUGUUUCAAAGGUGACAAGGCGACCUAACCUAAGGCGAGCUGGGUAUGCCUUAUCGCCUAGGCGCCGCCGCCUUUGAAACAGUCAACAGCUUUUUUUUUGCUCAUGGUUGAUUUAAAAUGGACGUAGAGUCAAAAUCAUCACACUGAAUUGCUCCUGCAGCACAAGGUUGAAUGGAUUUAAUGUAAGUUAACACAAAAGGAGCGAACAACUCACGGCAAGAAAUAAUGAUCCGUUCCAGUGUUCCAACAAAGUAAUCAUGAAUAUUCCCUAUGAAAAGCACACAUCCAUCUUAGCUUCAAAUUAAGGAAAUGAACAGCAACAGAGGCCCCACUGUAUAUCCCAACAAUUAUUAUCUGUACAAGAUAGAAUAUAAAAAUAAAUCAUCAUGGGUUAAGCACAAAUGAUGAACCAUCACCAUUAAUUAACAUCAAAUCUAAAGACUUCUCCAGCUCAAAGUAGAAUGCAUGAACUGAAAGCUAAAAUCAUAAUUUGUGUCAUGCAACACUAUCAGUAUACGUAAACAUGCUGUACCAUGUCUCCUUUGCAGAUUACGCAUUCAGAUAAACAAGUUAAUACCAAUCACGCCUGCCUCCUGCUUUUCAUAGAUACAGCUGUUUCUAGACUAGUGUUUCGCAAGGACAGCUGUUCCACAUUUAAUGUAGCCUGAUUAGUUGAUAAACCGACAUUCCCGACAAUAGUCAAAAUAUGGAGCUAAAAAUUAGAAGCACACAACAUCAAUUUAUCAAAUUGUACUAAAAUUUUACUGAGGAAGAUUUUAGCAGAAACUAGAUAUAGCUAUCAUAGUCGGAGUUUCACAUUUUCACUCAAGAAGACUAUUAUCCUUUCGCAUAAAUAAGUAUAAAACUAUGAGCUAUUAUUAGCAUGUAGCAAGCUCAAAUCAAGUGCUAGUAUACACAUUUGCUCGAAUGCAAUAUACAAGGUCACUGAUUAGCAAUUGAAAAUCGGAAUCUUACGCAAUCUAUCCAUCUAUACAAUAUGCAUGCACAGCAGCUCCAAAUCAAACUGUACCUCCAUUGAAAGAAGCAUUACACUUUGCAACAUUAGAGAGGGCAAUAUAUAUCCCAACCUGGAUUUUUUGUCCGAAGGUACUAAUGCUAGGAUGGAAGGCCACUCAAGAGAUGGUAAGCCCAAUGAGUCCUUCAAUGCCAUAAAUACAGAUCACAGACACAUGUCACCAGUGCACAAGGAAUAAAAUUGAGAUUGGACAAGUCAAUCACCCAGAAUUUUUAAGAAAUAAGAAAAGAGAAAAGACCAAUGAAUAUCAUUAGUUGGAAUUGAUUUUUCCACAGAACUUUGCCACCAGCGAACUUCAUGCGUCCCCAAGAAGAAAUUAGGAUAGAACUUUUUUCUACGGAGCAUGGUGCACUAGGGAGGAGCAAGGACAUCUUAUAUGAACCUCAUCAUUCAGUGCGUCUGUCCUAACAGUUUAUAUGGUCAAUCAACACAUGAAGAUUCUCCCACCCUCCUCUGCUCCUAAAUUUUGAAGAAUAUGUUUGUGAACCCAUGAUAUAUUAUCAUGAGCUACAAAAUUUAAAUUGGCAAACUUAUAAAGUUCACAACUUUAUAAUUUUCGAUAUGUAUAUAGCUGCAUAAUUAGGAAUUCCAGUAUCAAGUCCAUCAUCCCCCGCCCGCCCUUAAGGAAGUCCAUCAUGUUGCCCAAGCAUAACUUCCUGUUCUGGUGUAUCAGUUUCAGCCUUUGGGGCUUUCAUCCCUUUUCAGCUUAUUGCCAACAGUACUAACAAUUAGCUAUCAUACUUUGUUCAAAUAGAUCUAAGAGACUAAGACAUCAAGGUAAUGUACAAGUCAGCAGAAGACCUUACUUGCCACAGGCCAAGAUACCAGCACAAGUUAUAUAUAUGAAAAGAAUGUUGGCAUUUUGAAACUUCACUUUGGCAAAAGUUCAUGUCACUUCUGCAAAUUAAAACUAUAUAUUCUUUACUACAUCUUUGGUCAAGAUUAGAUGAUUUGCCUGAACACAUUCUAAGACAUCAAUUUCCUUACUGGGGUACAUUGAGUCAUCGAUAAGUAAGGGAAGCUGGUAAGGACCCUGAAGUUAUGGAACAAAGAACAGAGAGGAAGGCUUCGACUUCAUAAGACAAGUGAAAAUGCUGGAUGGAAACAACAUAUCAACACACAUAAAGCAAGAUAGCUUAUGCAUAAUGGAAUAACCUUUCACCUUUCAAUUUAAUGGGGAGGUUGCCAUUGAUAAGUUGGGAAUCAAGCUUGAAAAGCAUUUAGACAGUCCUGAGAAAAAUAAAUGAUGUGGAUCUGAUCACCUGAACGAGGGCGUACCCAGUGCGAAAGCUCCCACACAAGGUGGGGUCUGGGGAAGGGAAUUUCUAGACAGCCUUACCCUUGCAAAAUUCUUUUAAAAUUCUGCAAAGAUGCUGGAUAUAUUAUCACACCUGAACAAGGAACAAAAAAAAAGACUUCUACAUCAAAUGACCAGCAGGAAAUGCUGGAUAAAAACAAUGUACCAAAAUUAUAAUUUUACAUGAUUCCAAUACUUAAUUGGUGAUAACUAUGUACAAUGGAACGAUCAUGAUAUUUUAAAAGACAUGUUAUCCUCCUUAUCAAAAUAUUUGUCGCUGUUAACUUUUCCUCGUGAAACUUGACCAUUCGUCUUAUUCAAAAAAUUAUUGAAGUAUCAUUCGUUUUGUUUGUGACUUCUUUUAGUAUCAAAUGUAUUAUAAGUUUAUUUAUCUUUUUGUAUAUUUGCAAUAAAUUUUUGAAUAAGCCGAAUGGUCAAACGUCGUGAGGAAACAUCAACAACAACAAAUAUUUUGAUACGAAGGGAGUACUUUUAAAAACAUGCUCUUGAAAAGAAAGAACGAAACAUUAAAUAUGCUCAUGCACCCUGGUCUGGCGUCCUAUGGUAGAAAAUGAAAUUGACAACAUAUGUGUAACCUCAUUAGGUAAAUGGUGCCUUUUUCAAAUUGAGUAUGAACAAACCUGAAUUUUCAAUGUGUUGUCCUCCUUGAUGGAUUUUCCAGCUUUAGGUGACACUAUACUUUGAACAUCAUUGCAAGUCCAAAUAAAUGCUAUCCUUUGCUUUGGGUUUUAUAUCUUGUGGGUGGUUGCAUUUCACAGGCUCAAGAUAGACAGAAUAUAACCUGAGUGGCAAGCGAAAGCUCUGCUGCAUAUAUGUUAAUGGGCAUGAUAUAAGCGUUACGGGUGCAAGAAUGAAAGUAUUGGAAUUUUGUCAAGAGAUAACAUCAAAGAAAGGUGGAAAAAAGAUACAAGCAGUAGACAAAUAUACUAAUUCCACAAAGUGUAAAAGGCACAAAUUGCAGACAGCACAUGCCAGAAGAAAGGAAAGAACUAGGCAUUAAUAUGCCUACCAUUGCACAUAGAUAAGAUAUACUGUAUCAUGAAUGUCUUCUUCCACUCACAUACGGACAGGUAUAAGGCUGAUAAUAUCAAGAGGAAAAAAGUUGAUUACGGCCUAAGCAGACAAUAAUGAUGGAUAAUGGAAAUUAGAGUGCAUGAAUAAUCACAUCCGGACGUGUGCGCCUAAAUAGUAAAUACCAACAAGAAAAGGCAAAUAUACCGUUGCAAAUCAAACAAGAUUCCAUGGCAGACCAUGCCUGAUGUUGUUCCCUGUGCUCCUAUGGAAAAAGGAGACCAACACCACAAGCAACUCAGGGAAAAUUCACAGCCAAGACACAGGAAUCACACAAUUUGCAUCAUGCCACCAUCAAAACAUGCAAGUACAGGGUUGGGAGUUGGGACAUUGGUAUUUAGAAACCCUUUACCUCUUCUUUUUUCUAGAGGCCUAUAGAUUAAUUAACAUUUUGAGAUGACAUAGAUUAACUAACUCGACUCAAAACCAUUUGAGAAUUCAUCAUAAGCAAACCUAACCAUAGUGACAAACUGUUGUGUUGUGGGCACCACCAAACCCGUCCUAGCAUUCCACCCCAUAAGACUUGUACUUAUCGGAACCCUAAAACCAUCAAUAUCCCAAAUCCCCGCGAAGGCAACGAUUAGGGUUAUAGCGGAAGAGACGUACCAGAACACCGUCCACGGACAGACGGCGGAGCGCGCUGCCCCCGUCGGGUCGCCGCGCUGCGGAGCGACCCCCUUCCCCCUAUCACACCGCUAGGGCUCCAGAUCCAGAGGCGGACCCAAUAAUUUCUGCAAGAAAAUCGAAGUCCGUAGGUAAAAUACAUGGUCAGAUCCGAAUCAAAUAGCAUAGAUUAGGGGCUUGGGACUUGGUGUUCGAUUCCGUACAUUAGGAAGGGAAGAUGUGGGCGGGCAUUCCCGAGGUCGCCGGCGAAGCGGCCCUGGCGGCGGCGCUAGUAGAGAGGAAGGCCGAGAACAUGAGUCGAGAGAGAGAAGGCGUGGUGGGGGCGAGAGGUCAAGAGCCGGGUGUGCUUGUUUGCAAAGCACGAGCACAAGGCCCAGUUUGGCCCAGCGAGCCAGAAAGGCCCAGCCUAGCUUUGUUUUCUUGUUCUUCCUCCUCCUCAGUUUCCUCAUUUUAUUCCAUUUUCUUUUAAAUGGUAUUUAUGUUCCCGCCCUACUUUCUACUUUAAAGUGUAAUUUCAGUAUAAAAAAGUGUAAUUAUUGUUUUAUCCUUAUUUUUUAAUUUAUAAUUUUAACAUUUACAAUUCACAAGUCAACACGAUUUUUUCUGGUCAACAAUCAAAACAAGAAAAAUGUGCAAAAGCCAAGGGCAAAACCGCAUCAACUUGUGAAUAGUGAAAGGCAAAAUCAUAAAGUCAAAAGAAAUGAGAGGAAAAAUACAAUUGCAGUAUGAAAUAGGAGAAGAACAUCAAAAUACCUUCUAUUCGGCGCCUUUCUUUUAAUACUCCCAAUAAUUAAUUAUUUUCAUAAAUAUGUGCCUUUCAUUGUUUGAUUCAACAAUUUAUGGAAGCUAGUUCAACAAUUUGAACAUAAGUUCAACAUUUCAUAUCCAUCUUACAAUGAAGGGACAAGACUGAUUGAAACACAUCCAAUCUAACAAUCUAUUAUACAUUUACUUUUACCUGAUGAUCCCUAAUUUAUCUCUCAACCCCUUUGUUAUUUGUUUGCUGAUCAUCACGAUCGCAGACCGCGUCCCUGCCUCCAGGCUUACUAGCCUAUACCUAUAGGGUAUGACUGGUCAUGUCCAUGCCUUGACGGGUUCCUCCCAGGCAAGAUCUUUUAGGACCUUUCUAGUUGGUCAUAAACUAAUCGUUCUGGUUAUCUCUUAUUUGGUUUGUGUCCAUAUAAGAGCAAGUAUAAUAAGAUGACGUAAGCAGGCCAAAUGAAGUGCCACAUCAGAUUUUUGGUACGAACUCCAAUAAAUAUGGUGAGAGAAUGAGAGAGUAAAGAUGAACAACGGAGUCUCCAACCAUUAUAUGAGUGGCUAUUAGAUUGAAUCAAGAUGUUGCCGGCAGCUGGACCUCACCGUGUAAGCGUGUUAACUGGGGUGUUUGGAUCCUGAAGAUAAAAUUUAAGUACGUGUCACAUCGAAUAUUCGGAUGCUAAUUAGGAGGACUAAAUAUGAGUUAAUUAUAAAACAAAUUACACAGAUGGAGGCUAAAUGGCGAGACGAAUCUAUUAAACCUAAUUAAUCAAUCAUUAGCAAAAUAGUUACUGUAGCGGCACAUUGUCAAAUCAUGGACUAAUUAGGCUUAAUAGAUUUGUCUCGCCGUUUAGCCUCCAUCUGUGCAAUGGAUUUUAUAAAUAGUCUAUAUUUACUACUCUUAAGUAGUAUCUAAAUAUUGAAUGGCUAAUUCUCCUCGGCAUAAAUAUUCUCUCUGCAUAUGCACUAGACUGGGGCGUAAAUAAAUAUUCUCUGCGUAUGCAUGCAGCAGGAGUACACGGGGGGAUGGAUCGAUCAGGAAUCUGCUAUUCAUGCACAGCACAGUGUUCUGAAUUAUUCUAUCUGCUAUUCAUGCAGCUACGUUCUUCAAGCAAUCAAGCAUGUGUGCAUGUGCUGUCGUCUAUUAGCCUCUGUACGUCCAGUGGCCUACGUACUAUAUUAUUAUAUCAUUACGAGCAGCUAGCUUGCUUAUAUGUUGGAAAUGGGUUGCCGAAGCGAUUGUUUGCAUGUGGAUGACAUUGCUACAUGGAAUCCAAAAGUGGUGUCAAUUAUCAAUUCAUGUUUGGAUAUGCACGCCGUUAAAUUGACGUCACCGUGUGCAAGAACGCCAUGCCAUCUCCAAUCCCCUCCUCGAGUGGAUUGACUUGUGAUACCCUAAGAGGGAAUGUUGAAUUAGGUGUUCUAUAACUAAGACUGUAAGCACAUAUAAAAAUAUAUUUCAAUUUAUAUCUAGAUGUGAACUAGAUUUUUCUUUGUGUUAUUAUCGUUGCCUCAUAAAAGUUUUGCACCCUACGUUCCAAUCCUACUAAACUGCACAUUCCAAUUAUAGAAAAGGUAAACAUGGAACUAUAAUAAGUAAUGCAGAAGGUAAAUGAAAUAGAGAAUACAAACUCUCGGCGCGAUGAAUUUUUACCGAUGUAUUGGGAAGCUCUCACUUUCGUCUAGUCCUUAUUGGAACCCUCGCAAGGGGAUGCCUCAUACAAGAGCCAAGCUCUUGGUCGGGUAACUACAUGAAUAGGCAGUAGCCCUUCACCACGCGCAAGUAGAUCUAUGUUUUCCCUUUCCCGGAUGCUCUCCAUCAACUUCACUAGGUAGAGCUUUGGAAAAUCAUCAAGGGCCUCUCCUCCCUUGUAUAAGCACCAUCUGCCACUCCACAAAGGUGGUUGUAGGUCUCGAGCCAUGGAUUUACAACUCUUGGUACGCCCAAGCACCGAUACUAAGAGGUUUGCAAACCUCAUGUAACUCUAGGCUAAUCCUAAAGCAAUACAUAAAUAGGCCUAAACUAAUCUAGUAAUAUUAUUCACUGGAUGAAUCAUAUCGGCGAAGCAACUCUGAACAUAGACAUUGCCGACACCCAUAGCACCGACUGAUUCGGUGUUGUUCAUGGUAAUCACCCUAUUGUUCGGUGAUACUAGAGCUGUGCUUCUCCUCAGACAGAGAGGAGGCAAAAACUCAUCAUAGGAUGAUCCAAUGAUCAUUACUGUGACACCGUAUGAUCUGGUGCACACAGUACACGCUUUCUUGGCCCUGCUGCCAAUUUUUCUAUCAUUGACCGAUACGAUGUAUUGGGUGCAUGAACACCGGAUGGUCCGGUGCAUUAUGAUAGUGACUCUUUUCAUCAAGAUUUGCUUCAUGUCAUUACUCCGUCUUUUUUCUAUGAUGUUUUGGGUUGCUUUAAGGUCUUCCAGGACCUUCUACUUCUACAUUUUGAAUUAUCAAAGCAAAAUCUUUAUGUGAGAGUUGAAGCUUCAAAAGGUGAAUUAUGAAUUUACUAGUAGGAGAUGAGAUAGUCUUUUCCCUUGAAAUGGAAAUUGAUAAAACUAAGUGGACGAAUUUAAUUUCUGCAAGUUUAAAAAAAAAGAAAUUUGGAUGACCCUUCAUUGUCUCCUCCUCCACCACUAAUUUUCCCUAUACAAGAUGUAAGUCGCCUGGCCUCCUCCAACCCUCGCCCACUAGCAACUCUCCACAGUGACUACUGUGGCCAACGCCAUACGGUGCCUUCGUCUUAUUGUUGUCUCAUUCACCUCUGACAUGGUGUUGUCAGCUUGGCUGUGGCUCAUGGUCCACGGCCAUGUCUUUAAUUUAGAGCACGCUGAUAUGCAAAACCUCCACCCCAAAAUCUUAAUCCAAAUGAUGGCAGCCAACAACGAUGCUAUAUACACUACUGGAGAAACAUCCAUUCGUAUCGGCUCAUCUAUACUGGGCAUAAUGAGCCGGUAUGAAUAAGUCGUUCGUACCAGGUCGACGAGAUGGCACAAACAAUGAACUACCCAUGCCGGCUCUCUUAUUUGUGCCAAUGCAAUUUUAAGCCGGCGUCAAUAAUGAUUAUCCUUUUCUGCUCCAAAUUUGCAACAACACGAAUACUCAAUUAUUCAUGCUAGCUCAAAAUAGAGCUGGCACGAAUACUCUUAGGAUUAUUCGUGUUGGUUCAAAAUUGGACCGGCAAGGAUAAUCCAUUGUUCACACCGGCUCAAAAUUGCGAUGGAACAAAUAAGAUUCCCGGAUAUGCAAUUCGAAUUUUAGCAUGUAUUCGGAAAUUCAUAACUUUUGCAUAUGGGCUCAGAUAGAGACAAACAUUGUAUGAAAUUGUACCGCUUGAUGAGAUCUAUAACUUUGUAGUUGAAUACUUUUUAAUUUGAGAUCAUUACAUGCCUAAAUAAUGGAUCAAAAUGUUAAACAAUAAGAGUUAAAAGGAAUAAAAGUUCCCUUUGUGUGCAGAUAAGUGGUGUAGGUGAGAUGGUAAAGAGGUAUCGUGGGAGGAGGGAGGCCGUGAGUUCGAAGGUGGAUAGAGCAUGCGCGACCGCGAGGGGUAGCUCAGGGGUGGUCUCCAGCCUAAAAAAUACUUUUGCGUGUUUCAUUUAUGAAUUCAUAUUUAUAGAUGGCUUUUGAGCCAGCACGGAUGAGUUGCUCUUCAAUAGUGAUAGAUGGCUACAAGCUCGCACAGGGGAAGUAGCUAACAGCCAGUGGUUAACACACCGUUUGGAGCUUCACAAAGUUGUUGCUAGUGUGUAAGCUCUACGGGUUAUUAUUCACAACUAGACUUAUAACAUUUCCCAAUAGAUUUUCUACAAGUGACCAAACGAUUUUUAGUAUACUUAGAUAAACAUCUACAAUAACUCACUAUAAGGGAUCUUCCUAUCUAUAACAAAUCGAAAUGCGUCAUAAACACAUUUUUUGCGUCAUAAAUCGUGAUUUAUGAUGCUCGUAUGAUGAAUAUCGUUCAUCACUAAUCGAGUAUUGUAAACUGUGACUUUCCUUAAUUAUUUCCGUGUGUCACUAAGAUUAUGAUAAUUACAGAACAUCAAUGAAAACGUCAAAAACUAGCUCCUGCGUAGCCAGCCACGUGCUAGACCACAGUCCGAUGUGGCGUAACAAUUGUGACAAAAUAUUUCGUUAUAACUUAAUCUAGAUCCAAUUCUUGUUGAAUCGAGCCUAAUAUUUGUUGUCGUCAUAACUUGAUUUAGGCCCAAUUGUCGUAGACUGGAAGAUUUCUUGUGGUGACCGUGGAGAAUGGGUUUAUUAAGAGUUAUGUUGUUGGUGAACUAUUGGGGAAGAUGCAAAUUAUUCUAGAAAAUUUUUCGGCCACCUGAGGAAAAAUAAUUAAAAACACUAAAACUGUUCGCUACUCAUACAAAUUAAAACAAUCAGGAAAGUUUGUGAUUGAGUGAUUUAUAUAUUAGGAAUAUAAUAUUGUGAUUUUUUGUUUGACGAGGAGCUCAUAAUUUUCUUUUUGUAAACCAGACCAUCAUGGCAGCAUCCCAUCAACAAGCUCACUGAUAUAUCUCUAUAUAACGUUAUUCAUAAAGGUUUAUUUGCUACUCCCUCCGUCGCAAGAUACAUAUGUCUAGAUCCAUACUAAAAGCUAUGCCUCUAGAAAAGUUAAAACGAAUAGUAAUUUGAACAGGAGGGAGUAAGACUUAAGGGGAUGGGGAACCUGGAAACUUAUAAAUAUCAAACGUGUUGCUAUGGUAGAAAGAAAUUGGCAAAGAAAGGAAGCAAGUGUAGCUUGCAUUUCUUUUUCUAAUAAGAGACCAUGAAAUGUGGUAAGGAAUUGCAAUAAUAUACGUAUGUAAAGGGGCUGGUAAGUGUUGAGAAGCACAUAAAUAAUUGUUUAAUUUAGUACGGAAGUACUCUAUUUGCAAAUGAAAUUAAUUUUGAUAUGAUAUAAUAAAUUUAUAUGGGAGUGAGCAGCAUAUUGCCCCCACAUGAUGAGUAUUGGAAGUAUGUAGGAAAACAACAGAUGACCACUCCGUCGGUUCGUCCUCACUACUGUCUGCUUGUGAUCUUGAUGAUUAGCUCAAGCAAUGCAAGCAAACCUAACUUGCUAAUCAGGAUUGUAUUCGUACAACAAUUAUAUAUGAAGGUAUAUAAAACAAACUUUUUUUUAAUCUGGACUCCGAUGAAAUAUGGCUAACCGCAUCAAAUUCCACAUGCAUGCAUUAACCAAAACUGAUCGAUUUUAGGGAUGAAAUGCUAGAACAGAAGUUUGUGGCUAACAAACCAAAAUAAAAUGAAAAUAAACAAACAAGCUAGCGAGGAAAAUGUUUGAGUCAGUACAAAGUUCUCCAUGCUGAAGGUAUAUGCAUGUAUGCUAGAGGCAAAAUCAGGAAGCAUAAGUUGAUCAAGGAUCUAAAUGAACACAACAACAGCAAUAGAGGAAGACUGUAUGAGCUAUGUAGUAUUAUUGAUUAUCAUUUUGACAAGACAAAGAAGAAACCUCCCACAUGUUGCUAAAACAAGAACAACAGUUGAAAUUGAAAGAGAGAAAUUUAUAUCUAAAGUAGCUCUUUGGCCAAAAAAUGUAUGAUCCGGUAGCACAAGAAAGGAAAUGAGAAAAAAAGGGAGAGAAACAAGCAAUCAACAAUCCAGCAGGAGUAGCUAGCGAUACAUUCAAAAGACCAAACAAAUUGAUCUCCUUUAGUUUGCAUGCACAAGUAUGUACUGGCUCUGUGUAUCAUGUAACUUUUGGAGUGGUCCCAAGCCUUAACUCUAGAUCUACUUCAUGUUGAUCCACAAGCAGAAGGGAACUAGAGCUAGGGCUUGGGAUUGUUGCUUGUGGUACCUUUGCAUCAUGAUCAACUCCUCCUUGUAGCCCCUGUGAUGAUUCACAUGCUGUAACCUCCGCCACUGGCUGCACAAAGAUCAGAAGCGCCGCCGCGGAGGGAUGAUCCAAACGCCUCCUCUUUGUCCUCGCUGACUCCUCGCCGUUGUUAUCAGCAAGAUCGCAGUGAUCUUCUCUCAUCUCCACGGGGGCUGCUGGCAUCGACAUGAGGAGCUUGUUCUUGCUCUCCUUGAUAAUGGUUGAUAAGUAGGAAGUAGCAGGAGGAGUCGUGGUGUUCUUCGCACCCCCCUUGUUGGCUGCUGAGCCGGCGGCAGUACCUGCUGCGUUAGUCGCCGCCGUUGUAGUGCUAGGGCUAGAGGCGGCCCUGUACAGGAGAGCCCCUUCCUGUGGCUGAUCAUUGGGGGCGUCGGGGGAUGAGCCCCCCUGCCGGAGAAGAGCUCGGUCACGGCGAUGGACGUUCAUGUGGCCACCGAGCGCCUGCGCCGACCGGAACUCGCGCUGGCAGAAGGUGCACGAGUAGGAGCGCGGCGGCCACACGCAGCCGCCGAGGUGCGCCGCCGCAUCGCGCUCGAAAGCCUGUUCCUCCCACGACGGCUCGCCGCCGGCGGCCGCAGCUGCCGCCCAAGCAGUGAUGGGGCUCGCUGUGCUGCUGCUGCUGGUGCUUCUCCUUGCUCCCCACAUGCCCCAGUAACUGCCUAUUCGAUCCAUGGCGGUGGAGGAGUUCAUGGGCGCGCUAGCUGGUGAUUGAGCUAUCUGUUUGUAAGUUUGUUGUUGCAAACUUGCAAUCAAGGCAUGCAACUAGUAGAUCACAGACCAAGAAGAUAGGAUGUGUGUACCUAUUUGCUAUAUAUGUGCAAGAAUCAAGAAAGCAAAUUGGAGCUGGAAUAGUGAACAAGAAAAGGAAGAGGGGGAAGAGAAGAGCUCAGGGUGAUGCUGGGGAUGAAUUGGAGAUGAGUAAUUUGUAUGAUUAGAUAGAUGACUAGUCCUCUCACGCCCUGCUGUUUAGGAAUUGGUGGGUGGGUGUGCCUUUUUGUUUUCUUCUAUCUCUGAUUUUUAUUUAAUUCAGAUGUAAAGCAAUGGAUAGUAUAAUCUUUCGGGGGCACACACAUAGUGCUGCUGCGUCUGUGCUAGUGUACGUUUGUGUAUCUUUUGUCAUCGUUGUUAAUUAAUAAGCUAGGCAUCUUGUUAAUCAAGAGGUAAUUUAUUUGUUCUGUGUACCUAGCAGUGAAGACAAGACAUACAUGCACGGAAUGAGCUCAAUUUGUCGCUCCUUCUAAACAAAGCUUUAAUUUCUGGAAUGCAUGUACACAUUACCACUUGGUCUUGAAUUGAUCAGAUGCUGCCCUGCACAGUUCGCCGAUCCUAUCCGCAUGCUAGUCCUCUGUGUUAGUUCAAUAAUGGUGCUUCCACAUAUUUUAUCAUUCAAUUCGGACGCAUAUUGCAAGAAUAUGGAGAAGAAUAGUGACAUUCUAAUUCUAGGGGGGUGGGCUAGACAAUCAAACAGGGUUCUCCGUCCGUGGUAGGUGCCCCUAUUUUUUUUGCCUCUAAUAAAGGAAGUAAUCGAAUGUUAGGGCAUGUUUUGUUUUCGCUUAACAUUUUCAUGUAUAUAUAUUAGCUAGCUUAUGAGCGCCUCCAUUUCAAGUUAAGUUGCAUAACGAUGAUCUAUCCUUUCGUAGCCACCGGAAGAGUCGUACACUGCGGAAUCUUAGGGGGUGUUUGGGUAGCUCCCGCUAAACUUUACAACCUAUCACAUCAGAUGUUUCAUACUAAUUCGGAGUGUUAAACAUUGUCUAAUUACAAAACUAAUUGCAAAGAUGGAGUCUAAUUUGCGAGAUGAAUAUAUUAAGCCUAAUUAGUCCAUGAUUUGACAAUAUGGUGCUACAGUAACCAUUUGCUAAUGAUGGAUUAAUUAGUCUUAAUAGAUUCGUCUCGCGAAUUAGACUCAUCUAUGCAAUUAGUUUUGUAAUUAGCUCAUGUUUAGUCCUCAUAAUUAGCAUUCGAAUAUCCGAUGUGACCCUGCUAAAGUUUGCCACCUCGUAUCCAAACACCCCCUUAAUUGAUCCGAUGUAUCAAUUAAUUGAAUGAACCAGCACUACUAGGAAAAUGACCUUUCAUCCAACGCGUUAGUACCAACGUGUUAGUACCAGUCAAAUUUGGAUCUGGUAAUAAUGUUGGUAUCCCCCGGAUGCCCUUUAGAACUGAUUGUGUUACCACCCGGUACAGCUAAAGCCUCGAUGAGCAUUAGUACCUGGUAGUGUUACGAUCCUAUAUUAAAAAAUCCUCCAUGGGUUACUUUCAAAGGAAAAAAUUUCUAACCAAAUCACAUGUGUUGUGUUGGUGAGAUGGUAAAGAAACCUCGUCCAAGGCUUGAGGUCCCGUAUUUGAAUCCCUUGCACUACGCACGCGUGAAAAUCAUGUGACUUUUUGCCUUGUGACUUUGCGCAUGUGUGCGAGCCUCUCGGCAGUUCAAAAUAUUUUUUCUUUAUUUUUUUGAAACCAUACUGGUUUCUCGACUGGUACUAAAUAUCAAUACUCAAGUAGUGCAGUAGCUCCCUCCGUUUGAAAUUGUAGGUCGUUUUAGUUUUUCUAAGUUCAUAUAUUUUACUAUGAAUCUAAACAUAGGGUAUCUAAAUGCAUAGCAAACAUUAUGAAUCUAGAAAUACCAAAACAAUCUAUAAUUUGGAAUGGAAAGAGUACUUCCCAAAUUAACUUGAAUCUGAACACUAGUAGAGAACUCAUCUUCCAUGCACCUCCUUUUGUCCCGGUUUAAAGUUGGUCCGGGAUAAAAGGUUCACCAACCAGGACUAAAGCUCGGUCCCUAGCGGGGGGCUCACCAACCUGAACCUUUUAUCCCGGUUGCAAAGGCUAGUGGAAAAAAAAGAUCCUGAAAGGCCUUUUAUCCCCUUUAAUUUUGUCUCGAUUGGUUUAUCCCGGAUGAAUUUUUGGAAAAUUUGCACCCUACCAACCGGGACUAAUACUGAGGUCUCUACCAGUGGAAUGUCAAAGACCGAGGAUGGUUAACUAAAAGUUUCAAUCUUUUCCUUCGUAUUAAAGUCUAGAACCACCGUCCGCAUCCACCCAAAUUAUUGUCAGUGCAGUGGUUUAUUUUCAGCAUGAAGAUGGGCCUAAGGAGUUGAAAGCUUCAGAUUGUACGAUCGAUGUCAAAGCUCCGGUCCUUGGCGAUUGAUCAGCAGGCAAAAGUAUCCAAUAUUCUCUGACGCGAUUAUAAGAGCAUGAACUUCUAAACAUAUUAUUAACUGAUGAUUUGCUAGCGAUAUGGAGUGGACCUAUCAAUAAUUUUUUUCUAAAAUAUAGUAGAGACACACACGCUCGCAAACAUAUGCCCAUGCUCAUCCCGCACACUUACACAACUUACCAUAUAUAUGAACAUCUUUAGAAGAUAGAGCCGCGGCAUAUAUUACCAUCGAAGAAGUCACCCAGGCAUCUCGCUAAAACCAGGUGGUGGGCAGGCUUCACGACACACACAGGUUGAUGGGCUUCGAGUAUUCCCGUGUAUACAUUUGAUUUGUCUUUGACUAGAGUUGAAGCCUUUGGUGAAUUUUUCCAGUGUAUCACAGAUAUUCUCCAUUAUUUGCUAAUCGAUCAAUCACAAACAUAAACAAUUAUCACUUGUGAAGGAGCUAAUAAUAUAACCAAGAUGCACAUCACUGAUGUAACAUGUGGAAUGAUUGUGUCAAUUAGUCAUCUCAUGCUUUGCCGUGUCUCCAUAUAUCUCUGACAGAAACUUCGAUAGUUUCAGUACAUACAAUACAAAAUCCAAUCAUGCCCCCAGCCUAAUUUCAAGAAGGAAUAAUAUCUGGAUAACUUCAUCACAUAUCAGAGGCCAUGCAUAUUACCAAUUAAAUUUAGCAUAUUUUUGUAUAUGGAUGGGAUUCCAGUGCGAGUCGGUUUCAUCCGUGUUGGUUAUUGGGCUGGCACAAUGGAGCCGACGCGGAUGAGAGGUGGAUAUCCGUGCCGGCAUCAACACCAACAUGGACGAAGAUUAUUUCUGCCGGCUUCAAUUGUGAGCUGACAUGGAUAACUGAGUAAUCCUACCGGCUUCAAUUGUGAGCUGACAUGGAUAACUAAGUAAUCCUACUGACUCUAAUUGUGGCUCGCCAUGGUUGUUAGUGUAUUACUACUGGUGCUCGUUUUGGGCUAGCAUGUCGGUGUUUAGACCCGGCAACUUACCGAGGGGUGCCCGUGAUAGUGUUUUGCCCACUGGGGCUCGUCAAGAUCAGGAAACUCGAAUGUAAACGAAGACACACAAUUUAGAGAGGUUCGGGCUGUUAGAUUGCGUAAUACCCUAAGUCCUGUGUGUUGGUUGGAUUGAAUCGCUUUGGAGGGAGUCCCUGCCUUGCCUUAUAUUGUCGGAGGUAGGAUUACAGGUCGGUUGGUUAUAAGAAUACUAGUCGAAUACGACUAGAGAAGUUCUACUCUUAUUAUAGCGAGUACUUUUUUUAAUCCUCGACUAGUUCCUAUCUUUCUAUGUAGGCUACGCCGUCCUGUGUCAUGGUCUCCAUAUCAGAUACGUCUUGGUGUCCAAUCUCAUAUUUAGGACUAUCCAAACCUUUUGGUGGGCUCAUAGAUGUGUGUACGACAAGCUCCCGAGUACUUUUUAGUCAAAUGCAGCAGUUUCGGGUACUCUUGUAGACUUCACCGACUAGUUUUUGGUGCUCUUCAAGUACUUCAUCUGGUUGAAUCUUCAAAGGUACCUAAAAACUACCAUGCGGUUAAAAUAUGCUCAAGCCUCAUUUAAUUAACUCAGUCUGAUAUCCUUCAAUGUUGAAUUUUAUAUGGAAGUGCGAUGAAAGUUGCACUCCAUAUGGAGUAGUCCCCAAGCCUUAGGUUGAAUUGAAGAAUCAGGCUAAGGGUUAAUCUGUAAUUCGCGUCACUUUCCCCUUAAAACCCGAAGAAAAAACUUUUUAUCGAUGGACACGUGGCACAUAGCCCCCGAGCCUUUAGCCAACUAGUUUAGUGGGUAUAAGGGUCAACCUUUGGUCAACAUGACCAUCUCUGGAAGGAGAUCUUAUCUCCUCCUGAAAUAAAGGUAAUUGCAAAUCAGAUGUCCGAAAUUCUAGGGAUCCUUUAAAUCAAAAUCCCUUUAUUUGCGCAGUUUUCACCGUUCCACUAUUAUAAAGAAUGGCGGAAGUUAUCCCAUCCGUUUUACCCUUUUACCAUCUUCCUUUCCAACUUCCACACCUUAGCCCUAGCGCCGCCGCUAGCGCCGCUGUCCCCCCACCGAGCAGCCCCUGAGCGUAUGCGACAGAAGAAGCUCGUGACAUCAAGGAUGGGUAGGAAAGCUGUUGCGUCUAAAUCAAGCGAAGGCGAGAAGAAGAAGACAUCUGAUAAGAAGAAAAAGUCGCAAUUGCCGGCACCCAAAUACGAGAAAACUGAUCAGACUGCGUCGCCAAAUCUCGUAUGUGCCUGAAAACAGUCAACUAUAAAGGAGGAGGAUACCAAGGCGCUUGUAGCCACCAAUAAGUCCAACUGGACAAAAGGGCAAUUCUUUCAUAUAAUUGUGCCGACACUUAUAUCGCCAGAGAAUGUAAACAACACUUACAUUACAUAACCAUGGUUGCACCUCCUCCAUCACCUCCAUGGCGACCGUGGCUGUGCUCGAAGGGGAGGUAAUGGCAGAAUGCUAGGAGGUCCCACUCUAAGGCAGCAUGAGCUCAAGCCCUUGCCGCUGCAUUGCCCACCACUAGUGCGAUUGCAUUGCCCUAUUGGCCGCGGAGAUGGUGGCCGCGGGACAAGCGGUGGCUUCCACUGCCUUCCACGCCGAUGUGCUAGGUAGGAUCCGAGGUCUUGACGACGUGAGAUGUGGCCCCCUGCCAUGAUCAGCAGGACUACUUCCCUAGCCACUGAUGCCACGACGCGGUUCUGCAGCCACGACCGUCUCAUCCAUGGGGUUAUCCAUGUGGAUCCUAGGGAGGGAGGGGGUGGCAACGCAGGGAGGGAGAGGGAGGGUAAGGGCUAGUGUCAGGGGAGUGAAGUGUAGGAGUCCUUAUAUAGAAUUUUUUGUACCGGUGAGAUCGGCACAUAUAUAAAAUUUUUAAGGGCUAGUGUUAGGGGAGUGAAGUGUAGGAGUCCUUAUAUUAAAUUUUUCGUAUGAAACAUCGGCACAUAUUUAAAAAAUUUUAUGCUGGUAUGGUCAAACAUAGGCACGUAUAUACAACCAUCCAUGCUAGCUGGUGCUGGACCUCACUAGCACAUAUACGCUAAUACAAAUAAAAAAAUAAAAAAGUUAGAGAAUCUAGGCAGGACAAUCCCUGUUGAGUUCGAGUUGCACUUGGAUGCUCUAUGCCGUUGUCUCGAACUCCUUUCUCUCUCCACUCUUGCGCUCCGAGGGAUUUGGCAAGUGUUGUUGUAGAUCGAAGCCUGGUUUGGACCGGCGAAACCCGUCGAACCAGCCCGUACUAAACCGUUUCGGCGUGCUCCUACGGGUUAGGUUUAAACUGGGUUCUACCCACCUAACCCGGCGCCCCGCUCGCUGAGGGAGUCAGCAACAGGCCCACCAAAUAAAUAGAAUAAAAAUGAAAAGUUAUUUAACUGUUCUUCUUCCUGCCGCAUCUUCACCCUCCCGGCUCUCGUCAAUGGAGCGCCGCCGCCUUUAGAUCCGCUGCCGGCAAUUGCAGAUGUCGUCGCCUGCCACGAAAAAUCCCCAUUCUAUUAAUCUUCCUCAUCAGUGUCUUCACGGAGCCUGCGGUGUACCCACCUCUCUGCAAUUCUGGAAGGAGGCCGUUACGCCGCCGCCGCUGCCGACAAGCCGCGUCGACGGCGGGGACCUCGGCCGCAAGAGCACGUCCAACAUCAAAGCGCGUCGACGGCCGGGACCUCGCCCGCAGGUGCCGCAAGCCGUGCAGUGCCGGAGAGCACCUUGGACCGACACGGAUCAUACCUUCUGUAGUAGAUAACAUAUAUAAUUUACACACACACACACUGAUCAUGUUCUCCAAGCUCUCAGAGAUGUAGACCAGGAAUCUUUUUAAAAAAUUAGGAACUUGAGAAUUGGCUUGGCUAGUUUAAUUGGAUCGGAGGACAAACAAGAUCGAAAUUAGAGAUGCAUGAGACUUGCACUGCUCAACCACCGGUAGUACGCACACGUUUGCUGGCUUAAUUUGUUGCAGCCUUAUUAUUGCGUUAAGUUGGUGCCCGCCGGCCUUCCUUACUUGUAUUGUAUGCCAAGAGAAACAAAACCUUAGCUUAAUUCUCUCCCCUGUUGGCUGAUCAGAUCAGUCACGAGUCACCGCUUAAUAAUGAUCUUAUUGCUUGUCAAUAAUUUCUCCCUCCAUCCCAAAUUACUAUUCGUUUGGACUUACUCUUCCAGAUGCAUAACUUUUUGCUAUGCAUCUGCACAUGAUAUGUAUUUUUAUAGGUGCAUGUUAAAGGCCACGUAUCUAAUAAGCCAAAAUGAAUAGUAAUUUAGGACGGAGGGAGUAGAUGCUUGAAGGACUGCUAAGCUAGCAGCUAGUCGCUGGGGUCAUGCAUAAUAAAGUUGACGCUUGUGCGAUGUGUGUUUGUCAAUUUGUCCAGGCCGGAUGCAUCCACAUGCAUGUGACUAAGCAAUUUGGUCUCUUUUGACUCACCACUUUUGCGCGAUCGUCGAUCGAUCUGGCGUUCAGAUUCGUACAUGCUUCCUCCCACUGCUCGUAUAAUACUCCCUUGUUGGUAGUUUUAACAUUUCUAAAUUUAUAGUUUUUUUAUAUACUCCCUCCAUCCUAAAUUACUAUUUAUUUUAGCGUUUCCAGAUACAUAUAUUUUACUAUGUAUCUAGAUAUAGUAUACAUCUAUGUGCAUAUCAAAAGUUAUGCACCUAGAAAAUCUAAAACGAAUAAUAAUUUGGGAGAGAGUAUCUAGACAUAGUGUAUAUAUAUCUAAAUGAAUAACAAAAUAUAUGAACCAAAAAAUAUUGAAACAAUCUACAAUUUGGGACCGAGGGAUCCUAAAUUACUAUUAAUUCGUUUUGACUAUUUUUAGAUACAUACGUAGCUUUUGAUAUGCAUAUAGAUAUAUACUAGAUAUAUAGCAAAAGUUAUGUAUCUAAACGAAUAGUAAUUUGGAAUGGAGGGAUUAGUUAAGUAUAACAUCUAAUAUGUCUUCAGUUAAUUUUGUCACCAUGCCUGCAAAUGACGUCUUCAGCACGUACUCAUUAUAUAUAUUCGCUGUCAGCUGCCGUUCAUGUACGGGAACGCUGUUCGAUUCUUGUCUUAUUGAUUAUGCAAUGAUACGUGCUGGUGGAUCAUAUUAUAUAUGUAAUGUAUGUGUCGAGCUGCAUGUGUAUGUUUGUCGCAUAUAACUGCAGUGAUUAGCAGCAUGCGAGUGUACUGUGCUGUGCAUGCAUGUUGGCGAAGCGUGUUAACAACACAGUGCCGUAAACACUGUAAUCAAAUUAGUUUAAUUUGUUCUAUGAAUGCAUGCUCUGUUUGCUUGCUAGCUGCAGCAUCUGCUGAUCGGCAGGCUGCAUGCUGCCGAUGAUACUGAAGAAAAACAAAAGACACAAGAGACUGCAUGCGAAUGCUUUGAUCCACAAAUUAAAUUUGCAGGCCCAUAUAGUACAGCAUCGAUGCAUGCAUGGUAUAUCCAUCCUUUUCUGCACCCUACCAUUACUGUUUAUUUGAACUGGGAUAUUAUUUGUUUGGAUCUGUUACAUGCAUGUUCAUCUGAGAUUGACAGAUUGUUUCUGAUCAAUCGAUCAGAGUGCUGCUGGCUGGCAGGCAUGCAAAGAUUCUUGCUUGCUUGUCUCAUCCUCUAUCACACACGCAACCCACCACCACCCUAGCUAGGUACUCUGAAAAUGAAAGCUGCUUCACACUGAAAUUACGUACUGAUUGUUCAUGUGCACUGCUCAGCGCAGGUGCAGAUGUGUACAUGUACAUGUACGUGUCUACAGUCGUAUAUGCCUCUCUGCAGCAGCUAGCAGUGCCGCCCUAUGUAUGUACAGUACCUGCCUCGCUCCAUGAUAAUAAAGGGAAGCUAGCGACCCAAAACCAGAAGAAUAUUGUAUUAUUAUUAAGGAAUUUUUCAUCUCUUAAGUAUUGCAAAAGUGUGAUAUUCAUCCCUCAUGUUUCAUUGAUGCAAAUAAACCUCUUAAUUAAUUACAUCGGUGCAUUUAUCAUCCCCACUUUAGUUUAAUAAUGAUUUAGUGUCAUAUAACUUCAGUUAAGGUCAUGUAAUUAUCUUACUAAUUACGACUUAGCCACGUCUAAUGUUGAGACAAUUUUGGUGCGAAUAAGUUCCGUUAAUUUUUUGAAUAAAUUUUAUAUGUUUACUAAUUCUUUUAUGAGCUUCAUAUCUUGGACUCAGCAUAUUAAAUCACUAAGCAGCGAUUAGUCAGGUGAUUAUGUGGUUUAAACUGCCAUUUGAUGUCCUAAACCAUUAUUAAAUUAAAGUGGGAUGAUAAAUGCACCUUUUUAGUUAGGUAAGGGGGUGAUUUGCACUAAAUGAAACAUAAUGAAUGAAUACAGCCUUUUACAAUGCUCGAGGGACGAAAAAUAUAUCUUUUUCUAUUAUUAAUUAUAUACCUGUGCAUGAAUAUAUAGGUACUUGCACGUAUACAUACAUAUACAGGAUCAUAUAUAUGCAACUAAUUAAUAAUUAUACUAUUCGUCCAAGCAUAAAGUAGUUUGUUAAUUGUCAUAUAUCAAGAUAGGAUUUGUGUCUACCCGACUUUGACAGUAUAACUGCCUGGCCAGCACCAUCAUCAUCAGUUGUUUUCCAUUAUAUAUUAUUUUCGUUCCCCCUUUCCCGGCCCUCCCUCCUCGGUUAGCAUCUAUUCUAAAUCUCUACAACUAAUAAAAUAAAAAUGGUGACAAAAACUUUGUGAAGCCUCAGUCCGCCGAUAGAAACGCCAGCCUCCGUCCUGCAGAAAAGAAAAACGUGUGCAUCCUCCGAGCCCCUCAUGCAGUCAUGCACCCUCAAAGCCCCUCACGCCGUUGAAAACACGCGCUGCACUUCCUCCCUCUCCGCCCCAGCUCGGCAAUCUAGCAGAUGGAAGGUGGCGUCGGGCUAGCCAACGCAUCCCGUCUCCAAUGCGACAAAUAUCCAGCAUCGAGUGCGGCGAUCUGGCCGACGGUAGAGAAUUCUGAGGGCGGACGGCUGUUAAAAGCAGAUGGCGCGUCAAUUUAUGAACCGUAACAGAUCAUCAUAAUUUUUCCUUUAUAACUUUUUCUUUAUAGUAUUCUAUCUAAGAUUUAUUAAUUCGUAGAUCGGCAAUAAAUUGACUAGGGUUUUCUAUCUAACUAAUCGGAUCUAAUCCUAUCAUGAAGGUAUCGAUUGCAUGUGAGGGUAAACAUGAGUAUGAGAUGAAUAUCAUGAAUAGAUCACAUUCGGUAACAUGACCAAAGGUAGUAUGAGCCUAACGUCUUCUAGUUGCAGUUCUAGCCAAAGUGGUAACCAACUUAUCUCGUACCUUGAUAAAGAGUUAUCCAUUACACGGUCGUUUGGCUUUUUUCCCUUCCGCAUGCUGUCACCACACAAGGAUAAUCAUACCGACUUCUUGCACACUAAUAUGAUCUAUCCGCAAGACAUAGACUAAUCACCACGAUUACAUCUAUUCCUACUAAAGGCAUACGGUAGCUACACAUAUGAAUAAGCAUGAAUCAUAGUAGAUCAAAGUAGAGACAAGAACAGAUCAAAGUCCACCAAGGAAACCAUAGACGCCUACUGCACCGAAGUCUGCAAACUCGAGGCUCACUUCUAUGGUCUCGAGUUCCAUCACAUCACUAGGGAUCACAACGUCACCACCGACAUCCUAUCCAAGCUCGGCUCGAAACGCGCCCAAGUUCCAGUUGGCGUGUUCGUCCAGAACUUGAAAAAACCUUCUAUCAAGAUAUUGGACCCAGACCAAGCUGACGGCAACACCUAGGCUUAGGUUGACCCAGCGCCCACCAAUGUCCUGAUGAUUGAGGCGCAGGAUGACUGGCACGCACCUUUCAUCGCAUUCAUCACCAACAACAUGUCCCCAAAGGACAAAGCCGAGCACAAAAAGCUCGCACGAUGCAGCACCAACUACGUUGUGAUUGAUAAGAAGUUGUACAGGAAGGCUGCAUCUAUCGGCAUUCUGAUGAAGUGCAUCCUCUGCAACGAAGGCCUUAAACUCCAUAAAAUCCACUCAGGUUCAUGUGGGAACCAUGCUGCCUCGGGCAAUUUAGUCGAGAAAGCGUUCCGCUCUAGCUUCUACUAGCCAACUGCUAUCGCUGACACAAAAGAGCUCGUCCAGAGGUAUAAAGGGUGCCAAUUUUUCUCCAAUCAGCAGCACCUCCCAGUGCACCAUCCCACAAUCCUGGCCCUUCGCAUGCUGGGGGCUGGAUAUGGUCAGCCAUUUCAAGACCGCUCCGAGCGGAUACACCCAUAUCUUCGUGGCAAUUGACAAAUUCACCAAGUGGAUUGAAGUCAAGGCUGUCACUAGCAUAGAGUCAGCCAAAGCCUCUCAAUUGAUUGAAGAGCUCACACACCACUUCAUUGUCCCUAAUAGGAUCAUCACCGACCUAGGCAAACAAUUCACAGGAUCCGAGUUCUGAGAUUUUUGCCAAGACAGCCUCAUUGAUGUAUACUACUCCUCAGUAGCUCACCCAUGAUGCAAUGUCCAGGUCGAAUGUGCAAAUGGGAUGGUCCUCCAAUCCCUCAAUUCUUGAAUCUUUUGACAGCGCAUCAGCAGACCUAAGCGGCCUGCAUCUGGUGCUACGAGACAAGGUGCGCGAGCAGGUGGUAGUACCCGCCAGCUGGGGCCUUGGUGGCGGGCGGAGCCAUUGGCGAUGGCUUCCUCGCUGGCGGCACAAAGCCACCAUAGCGGUUGAAGCCAUAGGUGUUGGUUAGCACUGGGAUGCUAUUUCACCACCUCAUGCAUACGGGUAACCUACCCGGUAGACUCGUAGAGGAGCUCCCACGGGUCUACCGGCCACUGCUCUGCGCUGUCCUCCUCCUGUCCGGCCACGUCCUAUGCGUCGUCCCCCUCCCAGAUCCGGAGCCAGAGCAGUAGGGGGAUCGAGGCUGCAUGCUCCAUGGAGGAGGAAGAUAAUAAGGGACAGAGGAGAUUAAUUAGAGGUGAGAGGGAGUGGUAGUAUAGAUAAAUGACUCUUCAACUAGUAUUUAGAUAAUGGAUCCAAAAACUCUCAUCUAAACUUUAGCUAGCCAACGUUUAGCUGGCUAAAAAAGCCUCUAAACUUGAGGGGUGGAUUCAAACAGAGCUUUAAUUCUUCGGCUGAUUUUCCCCAAUGGAACAGUACAACAUCUUUGAGGGAUAUGCUUUCAAAUUGUAUCCUUCCAUCUUGAAUGAGUUAAUACUGUUAACAGAUAUGGUUGUAUUUGUGUUUGGUUCGGUUGUGAUCUAGGGGGUGCGGCUCAAGUUUACUUAGAGCUUAAGUUUGCUUAGAGAUAGAUUGAGUCUGGAAUACAAGUCCUAGUUGAUCACAAUUGUAUCGAUGUAAAUCUCUUUGGUGUUUUCACCACAUAUAAACAUGUAACCGUGGAGAGCCAAGAUAGGCAACCAUGUUUCCUCCUUUCCUUUAUGGUAAUCAGAGCAUCCUCUUCCUAAACAUCCCACAUCCUAACCUCCUGCAACAGAAGCUUUUUUUGCGCCAGGAAGUUGCGAAGCUUUUCCUGCGAGCAACAGAAGCUUACGACAGAAGUUUUUUUUUCCACGACAGAAGCUUUUUGCACCAGAAAUUUUCUCCCAUGGUGUCGACAUCAACUUCUGCUAUGCUGGUGCUAGGAAUAGUCUCAGAGAAAUUAACCCGAGAUAAUUAUCUUCUAUGGAAGGCUCAAUUCCUUCCUACCAUGGAUCUACCCCGGAGCCGCCCAAGACCUUGGAGGUGGUCAAGGAAGACGGCAAGAAGGAAAUCAUCCAAAAUGUGUACGACUCCUGGAUCGUGAGAGAUCAAUAAGUGUUGAGCUACCUGCUAAAUUCUCUUACCAAGGAUGCUUUGGCGCUAGUAGCGAUAGCGACUACGGUAGCAGAAGCUUGGGAGGCGCUAGAAAGGAUGUUUUCGGCGCACUCCAAGGUGCGGAUAACAAAUCUACGCAUCUUGCUCUCCACAACAAAGAAGGAUAACAUGUCCACUUCAGCUUACUUCACCAAGAUGUGUUCUUUCGAAGAUGAGUUAGCCAUGGUUGGAAAAGUUAUAGAUGACGAUGAGAUGGUUCACUUUAUUCUCAAUGGCCUUGAUUUUGAUUACAAUCCUUUUGUUUUGUCAAUGCUUGGCCGUGUUGGUUUUCUCUCCUUGAGCAAGUUGUAUUCUCAGCUACUCACAUAUGAUCAAUGCAUGGAGGUGUACCAAGCUGGGAAUUAGUUUCAGUCGUCAGCUAACAUGAUUAGUAGAGGACGCGACUAUGGUGGUCGUGGUCGUGGUGGCCGUGGGCGUGGCCGUGGUGGAGCUGGCCGCGGUCAAAGGGGCGGCCAAUAGUACCAAGGCGGUCAACAAGACUGCGGGUCUGGUUCUGGAUCUACCAAUCCCAAUGCAGCUAAGCAAGGCACACAACAGUAAAAUAAUAUGUCAGAUUUGCAAGAAAAUUGGACAUGAAGCGAAUCGCUGUUGGUAUAGAUAUCACAACGAUGAAGAUUAUCAAAGUCAAAAGAUGGUAGGGGCGGCUACAACCAAUUAUGGUUAUGACACAAAUUGGUAUUUAGAUAGUGGAGCUUCUGAUCAUGUCACUAGUGCGCUUGAGAAGAUGACAAUUCGUGAAAAGUACACUGGACGAGAUCAAGUACAUGCAGCUAAUGGCACAGGUAUGAAAAUUAGUAACAUUGGUCAUACAACUUUACAUACCCCUAGCAAAACCAUUGUUCUGAAAAAUAUUCUUCAUGUUCCUAGUGCUAAAUCUAGUUUUAGUUCAUAAAUUUGCUCAAGAUAAUGAUGCCUUUAUAGAAUUUCAUCCAAAUUUCUUUUGUAUAAAGGAUCAGGAAACGAAGAAAAUCAUCCAUCAAAGUAGAUCUCGAGGUGGCCUCUAUCCUCUAAGGUCGCAUCUAUCCCAAGAGGUGUCCAGGAAACAAGCUUUUGCAGUCAAUAAGCCUUCUAUCACUCGAUGGCAUAGUAGACUUGGUCAUCCAGCUUUUCCUAUAAUAGAAAGAGUUCUUAGUUCGAAUAAACUUCCUUAUGUUAGUGAGAAUAAUUCUAAGUCUAUUUGUAAUUCAUGUUACAUGGCCAAGAGUCAUCAACUUCCAUAUCCUAUAUCAAAUAGUGCAUCCACAGCUCCACUUGAUCUUGUCUUUUUGAAUGUAUGGGGGCGGGCACCUCCUUCCAUUGGGCGCCACAGCUACUAUGUUAGCUUUAUCGAUGAUUUUACUAAAUACACUUGGAUCUACCUGCUUAAGAAAAAAUCUGAUGUGUUUCAAGUCUUUCAAGAGUUUCAGCAGCUUGUAGAAAGAAAAUUUGGCUGCAAGAUCAAAUCUAUUCAGUCUGAUUGGGGAAGUAUGAGAAAUUAAACUCCUUCUUCCAACGAGUAGGAAUUACUCACCGAGUGUCCUGUCCCCAUGCACAUCAACAAAACAGUGCAGCCGAAAGGAAGCAUCACCAAAUAGUUGAGCUAGGCCUGGCUCUCCUCGCUAAUGCAUCCAUGCCUUUGAAAUAUUGGGAUCAUGCCUUUCUUACAACCACUUAUCUCAUCAAUGUCCUUCCUAGUAAAGUCAUACAUUAUGAUGUCCGUCAUGCGCCUCAUGCAACAAACUCCAAAUUAUUCAUCUCUUCAAGUCUUUGGUUGUGCUUGUUGGCCUAAUUUUCGACCAUAUAAUUCUUGCAAGCUUGCCUUCCGCUCUAUUCGCUGCGCCUUCCUUGGUUAUAGCGUCGUGCAUAAAGGUUUCAAGUGUCUUGAUAUUUCUACUAGUUGCAUAUAUAUUUCUAGAGAAGUUGUCUUUAAUGAAGGAGUUUUUCCCUUUGCACACCUCCAUCCCAAUGCAUCAAUGCAUUGACACGUGGGGGGCAGCGCUGUCUCUCGCCCAGGAGCACGUGCACGCGCCGCACACACCGCACGGCUCAUCCGAUAGCUCACCCGCGCAGGCGCACAUGCCGCAGGGCUCGUCCGACAGCUCGCUGCACGUGCCGCAUGGCUCGUCCAAUGGAUCGCCCAGCCAGUUGCCGCCGCAUGGCUCGCCUAAUGGCUCGCCUAGCUCUACGCCCGGCUCGCCCAGCUUUGCGCUGACUGUUCCAUCUGCACAUGCUGUUUUGCCUGGAUUUUCUGCUCCGCCAGCUGGAUCAGCUACGCCAGUUUUAGCUACACCUCCGAUUAAGCGACGUACGCAUCUUCAGCACGGUAUUGUCAAGCCUAAGAAAUUUACGGAUGGAACCAUUCGGUACGGGAAUUUUUGUGCUACUGGUGAGCCGGAGAAUUUACAAGAAGCUCUUGGUGAUUUGUGAUGGAAACAGGCCAUGCAAGAAGAGUAUACGGUGUUGCUCAGAAAUAAUACUUGGCAGUUGGUGAAGCCCAAGGAUGGCUGUAACUUGAGUGAUUGCAAAUGGGUGUUUAAAGUCAAGAAGAAGGCUGAUGGGACUAUUGAUCAGUAUAAAGCGCGACUAGUAGCUAAGGAAUUUUGACAAAUAUAUGGGAUUGAUUAUGAGGACACAUUUAAUCCGGUUGUCAAGAUUGCUACUGUGAGGCUUGUUUUGUCUUUACCUAUCUCUAGAGGUUGGUGCUUAAGAUAGUUGGAUGUCCAGAAUGCAUUUCUGUAUGGUGUUCUAGAAGAGGAGGUUUAUAUGAAAUAGCCUCCAGGUUUUGAGAAAGAAAAUGCUCCACAUCUGGUGUGCAGACUUGAUAAAGCAAUUUAUGGUCUUAAGCAAGCUCCACGUGUUUGGUAUGCGAGAUUGAGCUCCAAGUUGAUUGAUUUCGGUUUUAUUGCUUCAAAGUCAGAUACCUCUUUGUUUAUCUAUAAAAAAUCAGGGGUUAGCAUCUAUAUGCUUAUAUAUGUUGAUGAUAUCAUUAUCACUAGCUCUUCUAGUGAAGCAAUUUCGGCUCUAUUGUUGAAUUUGCGCAAGGAGUUUGCUCUAAAGGAUCUUGGUGACUUAAACUAUUUUUUGGGUAUUGAAGUUUAAAGAAGCAAGAAUGGAUUGUUACUGUCUCAAGAAAAGUAUGCGCAAGAGAUUCUAAUGCGUGUUGGAAUGGUCAAGUGCAAAGGGUCGCCUACUCCAUUGUCUAGCUCGGAAAAUUAUCAAGCUUGGAAGGUGAUCCGCUUGGUCCAGAAGAUAGCACUCAUUAUAGAAGUAUCAUUGGGGCAUUGCAAUACCUAACUCUCACUCGGCCAGAUUUAGCCUUUUCUGUGAACAAGGUGUGUCACUUUUUGCAUGCACCAACGUCAGUUCAUUGGACUGCAGUUAAAAGAAUUCUUCGUUAUGUUCAAUCUAUAUUGAAUGUUGGGUUACAUAUUAAAAGGCCGAGUUCUACAACUUUGAGUGCUUUCUCUGAUGUUGAUUGGGCUGGAAGUGUUGAUGAUAGAAAAUCUACUGGAGGAUUUGCAAUUUUCCUUGGUUCUAAUCUUAUAUCUUGGAGUGCUAGAAAGCAGGCUACUAUCUCCGGUGUAGUACUAAAGCACAAUAUAAAUCUAUGGCUAAUGCUACUGCCGAAUUGAUUUGGUUGGAAUCAUUAUUGCUGGAAUUGGGAGUUCGGUUGGCACAACCUCCUGUUUUAUGGUGUGAUAAUUUGGGAGCUACAUAUCAGCAAAUCCAGUUUUCCAUGCACAGGCUAAACAUAUUGAAAUUGAUUUUCAUUUUGUUCGAGAGAGCGUAACUAAGAAAACAGUUGCAAAUUCGGUUGAUAUCUACCCAUGAUCAAAUUGCAGAUGGGUUCACUAAAGUUUUGCCGGUUUGGUAAGCAAGAAGAGUUCAAGAACAAUCUAAAUCUCAAGAGGAAGAGAAGUUUAGAUUGAGGGAGGAUAUUAAUAGAUAUGGUUGUAUUUGUGUUUGGUUCGGUUGUGAUCUAGGGGUGCGGCUCAAGUUUACUUAGAGCUUAAGUUUGCUUAGAGAUAGAUUGAGUCCGGAAUACGAGUCCUAGUUGAUCACAAUUGUAUCGAUGUAAAUCUCUUUGGUGUUUUCACUACAUAUAAAUAUGGAAACGUGGCAAGGUAAAAUAGACAACCAUGUUUCUUCCUUUCCUUUAAAUACAAUACAUGCAACCAACACACAGGGAUUCUUCUCUAUCCAGGAUCAUUCCAUCCAUGAACGGAUAAAUACAUCCAACCAAAACAAAUACCAGAUAACAAUGAGGCUAAGCUGCAGAUGACGCAAUCCACGACGUUAAAACCAUCGUGGAAACCAAGGAUCCCGCGGAUAGAAUCACAAGAGACGGUCGUAGUGCCCGAAGACAAUUAUUAUCAAGAAAAAAAGGACAAGAACGGGAGGGCGCUAAGAAUAUGAUGAUGGUUCAUGUCGUCUACGCUGGGCAAGCAGACAAGCAGUCCAUCUGUCUCCUCUCAAGUCACUCAUGGCGGCGCCAAAGGAAUCACGGUGGAGCCUGGCCGGCAAGACGGCGCUUGUCACCGGAGGAACCAGAGGGAUCGGGUAUGUGGCAGCUAGCCUAUAUAAAAUCUAAAUAUUAUUAUGCAUAAUACACCGAUCUCAUAGUACGACAGGCUUGCGAUCGUGGAGGAGCUGGCCGGCCUUGGCGCCAGGGUGCACACCUGCUCCCGCACCGCCGGCGACCUGAACACAUGCCGGCGCCGCUGGGUCGGCAAGGGCUUUCCCGCCGACGCGAUCACCAGCUCCGUCUGCGACGUGUCCUCGCAGCGCGACAGGGAGGGCCUCGUCGGCACGGUGCGCGACCUCUUCCAGGGCCAGCUCCACAUCCUCGUCAACAACGCCGGCCAAUCCAUCUACAAGCCUGCCGCGGAGACCACGCCCGGCGACUACGCCCGCCUCAUGUCCACCAACCUGGACUCGUGCUUCCACCUGACCCGCCUCGCCCACCCGCUCCUCCAGCGAGCAGACGGCGGCGCCGUGGUGGUGCACAUGUCCUCCGUCGCCGCCUUCAUCGCGUACCCGGCGCUGUCCGCCUACUCGGUCAGCAAGGGCGCCCUGCACCCGCUCACCAGGAGCCUCGCCGCCGAGUGGGCGCCGCACGGCGUGCGCGUCAACUGCGUCGCGCCGGGAGCCAUCGACACCGGCAUGUUCAGCGCCACGCUGAGCGACCCCGGCAGGGCGCGGAGGCUCGCCGAGAUGGAGGUGUCGCGGGUGCCCAUGCGCCGCUUCGGCACGCCGCAGGAGGUGGCCUCCCUCGUCGCCUUCCUCUGCAUGCCCGCUGCCUCCUACAUAACUGGCCAAGUCAUCUGCAUCGACGGCGGCCGCACCCUCGCCGCCAAACUCUGACGACUAUCGACUUGUCGAGUCGUCGAGCUUUGCACAUGGACUGCAAAUAACCAAUAAUGCAAGCCUGCCUGUUUGUUACUUUGAUGCAGUGACUGCAAAUAAACAUCCCAACCGGUGGAUGCUGGAUGUAAACUGAGAGGGAUGAUUCACUUGUUUCAUUCAUUCACAAUACACCUAAGUUGCAGCACAGCCACUUCCUCCUCCUCAAGUGUACAGGUAGUUUGCAGCCAUCAUCAGGUCCAGGGUUAUCUCGGGCUCAAUCUGAAACUCCGCCAUCUCCUUCCCACUGCACACCCAAAACAAAUCUCGAAGGGCAUGCACGAAUGGCUGCAAAAAGCAGAGCUCAUAUACCAACUUCACAUACAUUUGAUUUCAAUAGUGUAAGCAGCAAGAGUCCUGAGAUGAGCGUGUGCUGGUCCCGUCAAAGUUUCUUUCUACUAAACAGACUAUCAUAGCACAACCUAAGUGGUCAACACAAUAAUUGAGGACAGGGAAACUUGGCGAUGGGAGAGCUCAGGCAUUUACUCUGCCAAAUCAGCCUCAAAGCAUUCUUUUACGGAUCAACAGAGUCUCCUGCAGCUAAACCUGUCUGGCGCGCCUGGGCACCUCUCAAGGUCAAAUUCUUCAUGUGGCUAGCACUCCGAGAGAGGUUGUGGACUGCUGAGAGGAGGCAGCGUCACGGUUUGCAAGAUCAGGCGGUUUGCGCGCUCUGUUAUCAGGAGAUAGAGACUUCAGAACAUCUCUUUGCAUGGUGUUCCUACACUCAGCAGGUUUGGCAUUUGGUCAGCGCAAUGAUCAGCAUUCAGAACAUGGCACCGGCGCAGGGAAACGGUCUGAUGGACUGGUGGUUGCAAAAGAGGGCAGCGCUCAAUGCUAUCAAGAGAAAAGGACUAGACUCCACAUUCAUGCUAGUUUCCUGAAGAAUUUGGAAGGAGAGAAACGAUCGAGUCUUCAACAGAUCGACGCUGAAGAAUCCGACAGAGUUGGCUCGGUUGCUCACUUAUGGUAUGCAGCCGGCGCGAAGUUUAUGUCCAUUCUGGGCUGGCCGGCGUCGGCAACCACCUUAGGACAGUACUAGUUCCUUUGGCUUGCGUUGUUUUGGUUGUUUUCAGUUUCCAUGUAAUUGUUUUUAAGUUGUAUUACCGCCUGCGUUCGGUAGACCCGUGUUGUACUAAAAUCGGUAUUUUCUUCUUAUUAAUACAAUGAUACGCAGCUCUCCUACGUAUUCUAGAAAAAAUAAGGAUGCCAAGUUUUGACAGACGAUGUUUAUAAGGCAGAAAACAGGAAGCCUAUAUUCUCAGAGUUAUGCAGGACAACAACAUCACCUUUCCAUUGAGAAGGCAGCGCAGCUUCAAUUGAUACUCUCCUAAUAAAUGGGUUAAAUUAUGUGCUGCAGCUAGGGGAUAAAAUUUCCAAAAUCACAUGCUUCAUGUGUCGUUGACCAGUGAACAAUAACACAAAAGAAAUUGGGGGCCCCGGCCCACUCAAUCGAAGAAAUUAUGUCUUAGGUUGGUUGGGUUGGGCCCAAUCGAAAUCGAACCCCUCCCUCUGUUUGUCCGUCGGUGGAUUUACGGUGGGGCCCUACGCGUGUCACGCGCCGCUGCCAACGGCGUGCGCUGCCGGAGACGAAGAACGCAAAAUUAUCUCUUGGAAAUGUUGUUUUUUAUUUGUAAAAAUGUUGAAUCCAAUUUUUCAAAUGUUGAAAUAUACUACUAAAAAUGUUGAAUGUUGUAUCUAUUUUAGAAAAUAUUAAAUCUACUAUUUUUGAAUGUUGAUAUAACUUCUAAAAAUUGCUGAAUAAAAUAUGUUGAAAUGUCCAUUUAGAAUACUAUUUGGGCCUAAUGGGCUUUAAAGCCACCAAGUUUAACUGGCUUCUAGUAGCCAUAUAGGAGCCUCCCUCCUAUAAUAGUCUUAUACUAUAGAAGAUUAUUAGAAGAUGGGCUGAAUGAGUAAUUAAUUUGCAGGAUUCGUUAGUAGCGACUUUCUCAAAAUAAAAGAUAGUUAGUAGUGAUGGGCGCAGUGGGCUGACUAAUGCUCCAUAUCAUAAUGUAGUUGAGAACGAGCAAGCUGCUAAUCUAGCUAGGUUCUCACGGAUACUAUUCUCUUAUGUUUUUUUAAGGUCCCGUUUGGCGGGGCUCCAGGAGCGGCUCCUCGAGCGGAGCCCUACCAAAGGAUGCACUCCGAGCGAAAAGGUUCCGGCUCCAGCUCUGGAACCCUGCGAAUCCCGCUCUCAGGAGUUGUUUUGGGGAGGCGGAGCCAAAAAAUCUGCUCCUGCGGCUCCUCCUCGACCGUUUCCUACCCUUGCCCUCGGGUGAGGGCCUACAGGUAGCGGAGGCGGCAGCAGGUAGGCUGGGAGCGGCGACCGGCAGGAGGCGGCCGGCGGCGGGGAGGUGGGGGUGAGCGGAGACGGUGACGGGCGGGAGGCGGCUGGCGGCGGGGAGGUGGGGGUGGGCGGAGACAGCGACAUCUAGGAGCCGGUGGGAGGCGGGGACGGAGGCCGGCCGUGGGCGAUGGGGGCGGGCAGGCGGCGGGAGACGGGAGCUGAGUGUCGGGGGUCGGGAGCGGAUAGGGAGGAGAGAGAAUGGAGUGGAUAGGGAGCUAGCGGUGGGAGGUGAAAGAAAUAAAAAGAGAAAAUAGGAAGAGAAAAGAAGGAAAAUAAAUAGGGAAAAAAGAAAAAAAGAGAGAGGGGAAAGGGUAUUGUGGGUAUUUCAUCUAUCUAACCAUUUUAAACUACACGAAAGAACCGUUUUGCCAAACGGUUUUUCAAAAUGGCUUUAGGUCCACCAGAGAAGACACUCCACCAGAGGAGCCAGAGCUGGAACCAUUUUUGAGAGGAGUGAUCCUUAAUAAUAAUAUACUCAUGUAUACAAUAAUAAAUUAAGGGAAGGAAACACGGCCCGGGAAUCAAGAGGGAGCAGGAGCAGCCGUGCACUCCAUCACCACGCCAUCCUAGGCUUUAGCCUUUCUUUUUUUUCCCCUCCCCGAAGCAAAUGCUCAUCCGACCUGUUCAUCACUCAUGCUCAUUAUCUCUGUGAUCAUCUGAUAUGGAUGAUCUGAUAUGCAAGCAGAGUCUGAACCAACUAAGGCCUUAUUUAGUUGCUCUGAAUUUGGAUGUCCAAAAUUAAUGUUGUAGCACUGUAGCACACUGUAGCGUUUCGUUUGUAUUUGUAAAUUAUUGUCAAAUAUUGACUAAUUAGGCUCAAAAGAUUCGUCUCGCAAAGUACAACAAAACUGUACAAUUAGUUUUUGAUUUCGUCUAUAUUUAGUACUCCAUGCAUGUACCGCAAGUUUGAUACGACUUGGAAUCUUCUUUUUGCAUAGUGUCAAAAUUGGGAGUUUGGGUGGAACUAAACAAGACCUAAACCCAGUGGAAUUAUGGAAUUGGAUUGAUGGGCAGGCAAUCUGAGCCGUUGGUUUCCUCUGACAAGUUGCUGCCUCCUCUGCGUCCCUGAGAAGAUCCCCCCCUGCCUGCGCCGCUUUCCUCUCGCCUCGGUCUCCUUCCUCUUCUUCUUCGCUUUGCUUGCUGCUGCUGCUGCAGCUUCGCCCUCGCCCCACCCAGCAGCCAUGCCAGGGGACCAUGGCUCCAAGGUCGACAUCUCCUUCGCCGGCCGCUUCACCGCCAGCGCCAUAGCAGCAUGCUUCGCCGAGGUACCGUAUCGAUCCGUCUCUUCCCUGAUCCCCACUGCUGGCGAUUCAACUUCAUCUGCUUCCUUCUUAGGAGGAGGACCACCCACAGAUUCGAUUCAGCUUCUUCCUCCUUCCCUCGGAUCACCCACCGAUUCGAUUCGGCUUCUUCCGAGUGGGUAGGAAAAGGAUAGGAGGAAGGUGAUUGAUUCCAUAGAUUUCCCCUCUCUCCUCGCUCGCAGGUAUGCACCAUCCCCCUCGACACGGCCAAGGUCAGGCUCCAGCUGCAGAAGAACGUCGACGCAGCGGCGCUCCCCAAGUACCGCGGGCUGCUCGGCACCGCCGCCACCAUCGCCAGGGAGGAAGGGGCCGCCGCGCUCUGGAAGGGAAUCGUCCCGGGGCUACACCGACAGUGCAUCUACGGAGGACUCCGCAUUGGACUCUACGAGCCUGUAUGUAUCAACUAGUACUACUACUCUGCUUAUUAUUAUUGCCGCAUUUCGUCGAAUACCUUUUCUCUUUGGCCCCGUUUGGAUCCCUUCAUUUGAAGGAAUUGGAAUCUACUUAAUGAAGUAGGCUAAUUUAUCUUGGAAUGUAGCAUUCCACAACUUUCCAAAGUUUAGAUAUAAGCCUAACUUAAAUUCAUGGGGUGGGAGAUGGAAAUUGAUUCUAUAGAUUAUAAUUAUUAGAAUGGAAUUCAAUUCUUAUAGCACGCUCUUGAACUCGCUUCCCUAUAGUAGAAGUGCAGCACAUAAGUAUCUCUCCCAUAUCGCCAACAAUAAUAUACAAAUAUAUUCCACAUACAAUUAUAUUAGCUUAAUUAAUUUGUGUCUAAAUUAUGAUUAUUAGAAUGGAAUUCAAUUCCAAUGAUCCAAACGGGACCUUUGAGUAAUCUCGUCGAAUACCUUGCCCCCCCCUGCAGGUCAAAUCCUUGUACGUCGGCCAAGACCAUGUUGGGGAUGUGCCCCUCUCCAAGAAGAUUGCCGCUGGCUUCACCACUGGUAGGUUAGCAGUAGCACAGCUCAUCCACACCUCUGUUUCACCCUGUAAUAUAUUACAACCUCUCUCUGCCAUAGUCCUACAUACUUUCACAACUCACCACUACUUAUCAUCAUCAGGCGCCAUCGCUAUUACCAUCGCCAACCCCACUGACCUUGUCAAGGUCAGGCUCCAGGCCGAGGGCAAGCUUGCGCCUGGCAUGCCACGCCGCUACGCUGGCGCCAUGGACGCUUACGCAAAGAUUGCUAGGCAGGUCUGCUCUUCUCCCGACUAGCACUUCGCUUGCUAUGUUUGCCCCCAGUGAACUGUGAACUGCCUCACACUUGUACAUAUGUAUGUUUCGGUCAUCAUCCAUAGGAGGGGGUUGCCGCUCUGUGGACCGGCCUGGGACCAAACGUAGCACGCAAUGGUAUCAUCAACGCUGCUGAGUUGGCCAGCUAUGAUCAAGUCAAGCAGGUGCUGCAUGCUUAUAUGCUCCAUUCUAGUCUCUGAUUACUCCAUUGGCUCCUUCACUCACUUUGCCCGUACAAACUGUCUUUGACGCAGACGAUUUUGAAACUCCCUGGAUUCAAAGAUGAUGUGGUCACCCACCUCUUUGCUGGUCUCGGUGCGGGCUUCUUUGCUGUCUGUGUUGGUUCUCCGGUUGACGUGGUGAGAUGUCCUCCUCGGGUGCCAUAUGCCACAAUUAGAUUUAGAAACUCAACCUAGACUGUCACUAUAUGUCACAAUUUCAGAAUUCGAGAAUGAUCACAGUACUUCUACCUAGCUGCUAUUAUUUCCCUUUAUUUGGGAGGUUCAUACUUCUAGGAUUUAUAACUAAUUUUUUUCAUGCGCGCAUUUUAAUUUCUGGCCAUGAAUGCUGGUUGUGUUUCCAGAAGUUUCCCACUUAUUGUGGUCAUUAUCCUUAAGUAUUUGCUGACUAUUGAAAAUUGAUUAGUAGCUGAAUUCUUGGCUUCAAGUUCUCUCCCUCCCUCCCCUGCCGCUCUAGUGUCACCGAGACUGAUAAGAAUCAUAUUCUUGCAGGUUAAGUCAAGAAUGAUGGGUGACUCAGCCUAUAAAAGCACUCUUGACUGUUUUGUGAAGACACUAAAGAAUGAUGUAUGUUCCACCCUGCUACUCAUGUCAUGUUUAUGGAUUCGUUUUUUUUUGAAAUAAGGGAUUCAAAUUUAGAUGAGAAGAAAAAAUACACACAUGAUAAUCCACCAAACACAUCUCAUUCUUCACUAAUACAUGCAUCCUCUCUUGGUAACAACCAUGUGACGGUCCCCCAGUUUAACAUAACUCUUUAGCAGCAGUUAGUUUUGCUUCCCAGGCUUUCUUAGGCAGGUUUUAUAAUCAAUUGUAUUUUUUGGGACUAAACAAGAAUUUUUCUUCGUACAUGUGCCAUCCGUUUUGUUUCAUUGACAGCCCAUAACAGGAAUAUGGGAUUCUUCUUUUAUGUCCUAAAGUAAUCUCUGGUCAGGGAAUUGUAAACUUUAAAAGUAUGUUGAAAGUUUGGUUCCUUUCAUACCAAUUCUAUACCUCUUAGAGCUGCUAAAAUUACUUUCAGCAGUGAAUUAGUUGCAAAGACUGCAGGCUGGAAUCAGUUUAUGUUUACGCAACUAACCUGUAUGGUACCUGGUUAAUGUAAAUGUAACUCCAAUGAGGUAGGCGCUAGCUAAUAGCUGUUUACUCUACAGGGGCCUCUGGCAUUUUACAAAGGGUUCCUCCCAAACUUUGCUAGACUGGGAUCAUGGAAUGUGAUUAUGUUCUUGACAUUGGAGCAGGUGCAAACUGAAACUUUUUGUUUUCACUAGACUUUUCAGUACAUUCCGCUGAAACAAGACUUUUCAUUUUGGUAAAAGUACAUAAGCAUGCUCCAUUGAAUAUAAGCACUUUGUUUGUUGCCCUGGACAGGUUCAGAAGAUGUUUGUGAGGAAACCGGCAAGCUGAAGAUAAGGCUUUUGCAGUCGGGUGGCAAACAAAGGUGCACACCUAUGGCGCACACAUUUUUUCUUCUACAGACAAGAAAAAAAUGACUCUAUCCCCCUGAAGAUUGAUUGGGGAACAAGGAGAAAUCUGACACCUAAAUUGUGAGAAUAAAUAGCAUGGGGGUAUUUGCAUGAUCCCCGGAUGAAUAAAAUUCAGAAAUAGCAAACAGCUGUUAUCAAUGUUUUAUUGUCAUCUCUGUGGCUGUGCUUUUACUUUUAUCGGAAUUGCUGGGAAUGGUGAUCAAAUUGCUUGGUACUGUUGGGGAUGAAACUUGGUGUGCUCUCUGUAGUGGUUGAUUGUUAUGUGAUGGAUUGAUCAUGUGUAAGUAGAUGCUGCUAGUCUUUGCCUGUUACAAAUUUACUGAAGUAGUAGUAACAAAGUUGGAUUGGAGCAAAAGCAUACGGAGGAGAGGACUCUGACCAUCAUAGAACAGAAUAUUAUGGUGGACCAUUCAGAUGUUGCUCCUGAUCUUCAUCUUUCCGAAGAGCGAGUGCCUCCCCUCGGCGACGACCUGGCCCGUGGCGGCGUUGGCGACGAGGACGUGCGUGCCGGAGUAGGCGCCCCUGUGGCCCAGCGCCCUGGCGGCGAUGCGGAGGGUGUCGCCGGGCGCGGCGGCGGCGAGGUCGACGAAGGAGACGGACAUGUCGACGGAGACCUUGAGGUGGUGGCCGUCGGCAACGGCGGCGGCGGAGCCGAUUUCGUCGACCAGGGAAACCACGGCGCCCGGGGCGAGGUGGUCGCCGGCGGCGGUGAGGCGCGGGGGCACGGUGAAGGAGCAGAGUAUGCGACCCGGGUGGAUGCUGUCGACGCGGAUCCCCUGCAGCGCGAACCCCUCGAAGAAGCUGGGGCUGGGCUCCGCCCCCGCUCGGGGCGCCCGCCGCGCGGCUCGUCGGUCCAGCGCGUCCACCCGCGCGCCAUCCUCGUCGCUCACCCGCAGCAAAUCAGAGGCUCCCUUCUUCCCCGCCAUGGCGGUGUUGCCUGUGGUGGGUGGACUUCUUGGACACCGUGAGCAGCUAGAGCCAACCGCAGGAUGACGAAGAAGAGGGGAGGGCACGCAAUGACGCUUUUGCCCCCGCCAGCCGUUACGGGAGUCGCUGUUGGCUUGUUGGGAGGGAUCGAUCCGGCAACCUACAAGCUCCUCAAGCAAGUGGCGCCCCUUCACCCCCGAUCAAGGUCAAGCUCUUCUUUUGGGUCAUGCGCCGUGAGAACACCGGAGUUUCCUUCACUUGCUUGAGGCUCUUCCAAUCCCCACUGGACCUGUGCUUGAGGCGCUUCGGAUCAUUUCGAAAUAUACACAACCGGAUGGUGUUCGACAAGUUGAUUAGGGUGUAGCUAGGGUGACGGCCAGGGGCGAACCUACGCUAUGAUUAGUGGGUGCUAAUACACUCCCUAAAUUUUGCAAAAACAGUGAUUAUGCUUAAAUUUUUACCAUAUAUGUACCCUCCUUCUCAAUCUAAAAAAUAUGCACCCUCCUUAGAUCAACACUAUGCACCCACAAGGCAAAUGCACCCCCACUAAUUUACUCUAGCUUCACCACCGGUGACGGCCCAUGCACGCAUGUGGAUCCAUUGGGAACAACGUCGCGUCAACACACCCCUUCUCGAAACACGGUGCCUCCGUAACUUGGAUAUGUUCGAUCGGGACUCUAUCUAGUCUUGUACACCAGUAUAGGUUGUGUUGUAAACCUAGCUUCUAGAGGAGUCCUGACCGAACUUCCCUGCUAUAUAAAUGUAACUUCCUUACGCUUACCGUUACGCUAUCGAUCAACACGCAAACACCAUAGUAAAAUCAUGACGUCUUUUGUGCACAGGUUCUCACUACCAUGUAACACAUCUUGAGGGGUUCAUCACUAGUAAGAAACUUACUCUAAUGGUUGACAUCGGCGGUCAGCAAGUAGGUAGGCAAGCCGGUGGUUAAGAUCCUAAACCCAGCCUAUGAGGACUCGGUUGCCUCGGACCAACAGGUCCUGGGCUUCCUCCUUUUGACAUUGUCAAAGGAUGUGCUAUUACAAGUAGCCACGACUUUGAAAUCAGCUAAAGCAUGGAAGGUGAUUGAAGAAAAUUUCGCCUCUCACACCCCGCGCACGGUCCAUCAAUGUCUGUUUGGUGCUAGCAACAAUAAAGGAGGCCAUUACAGUCCCCCAAGUACCUUUGCAUGAUGAAAGCAUAUGGAGUUGAGAUGGUUGCGGCUGGAAAAAGCCUCUUGAAGAUGAAGAGUUGGUUACGUAUAUCCUUAACUGUCUUGAUCCUGAGUUCGGUACAUUAGCUUCUGCACUUGUAACUAGGGUAGAACCCCUUACGAUCUCUUAUUGUAUUCCCAGUCACUGAGUUUUCAGAAUAGGCUUAAGCUAAAACAGGGCGGUUCAUCGUCACCUACCAACACCACAAACUGAAGAUGUUGCGGAGGUGCAUGGCUUGGUUCUUCACGUGAUCGUAGGGGUUGUGGUUGCCCUUAGUGAUGCCUAUCAUAGUGCUAGGCAUGGCCAAUCAGGCUGUGGCCUAAACUUCUCCAACCAAUUGAGUCACAAGCAAUGCAACAAAAGAACUAUGUCCACAUUCCCAGCACUACCGUGAGAUCCGUGGGUGUCCCUAAGAGGGUUGAUGCACCCCAAAAAAAAGGAUGUGCUAGUCCAAUUACUCCAAGAGGUGAUUAUGGUGCAAGACAACGUGGUAGACCGAUACAAAAUAAGAACUGGUCAGGUAAUAGGAAAAGUCUAGUUUAUAAUUACAUUAGAUCACUUCAUGUCCUAACCGAUUAGUAUUCAUGUAAACCAAUGCAACUUGUAACCUUGCCCCGAAAAUACAAGGCGAGGCAAGGAUCUCUCCAAACACAUGAACACCCAAAACACAUGAAGGUUUUAUGCUUUUUUUCCAGUGGCUCGAACCUAUCUAAAUCUUGUCUCAUGUUCACCUUCGAGUUCCUGAUGUCAAUGAAACCUCACCAAUCAACCUACUAUAUUGAGGUAUUCCUCGGUAGGUUGCCGUUCUAAACACUACGAUGAGGUCAAUUGAUGCCCAAACAGUCAGGUCUUCUUUAAGAGCGACACAUGGCACUUGAGUGGUUUGAUGAGACCUAUGCGUACGAUGAACGUCACAUUGCUGCAGCCUUGAACUCAUAUGGUGUGGACACAAAUUGGGACACCAAAAUGGUUUGAUGAGACCUAUGCGUCGGACGAACGUCACAUUGCUGCAGCCAUAAACUCAUACGGUGUGGACACAAAUUGGUACCCCAAAAUGGGAGCCACUGGUCACAUUACCAACAAGCUGGUGAAGCUCAUUGUCCAUGACAAGUAUCAUGGCACGGAUCAUAUUCACACGGUGAGUGGUGUAGGUAUGGAAAUUAAGCAUAUUGGUCAUUCUAUUGUCCAUACCCCCAUUUGUAAAUUAAAUCUAAAUAAUGUCCUCCACGUCCCAAAGGUUGCUAAAAACCUUAUUUCUAUCCACUGUUUAGCUAAAGAUAAUUCAGCUUUCCUUGAGUUCCACCCAAUUUUUUUUAUCACGGAACAUGCCACGAAGAACACUCCCCUUGGAAGGUGUUGCCAUAAAGGACUCUAUUCUCUCCCUUUAGCAACUCCAAUAAAUUAAAGUAGACUUUUGGUAUGGUCAAGACAUCCAUUGAGAGGUAGCAGAGUCUAUUGGGGCAUCCCACUACUUCCAUUGUUGCAAAGGUAAUUAGAAGUAAUAGUUUGCCUUAUCAUGAUGAGUCGAAUAAGGAGUUUGUCCGUGAUGCCUAUCAAAAGCCAAAGGUUUUUAAGUGUCUCUAUUCAACUUUUGCAAUUUAUUUUUUUCUGGUGUUUGGGGUCCUGCACCUAGUUUUAUUGAUGAUUACAACAAAUUUACUUGAUUGCCUUAUGAAGUUCAAGCCAAAAGGUUUUCAAAAGUUUCAUGUGUCCCAAUAUCUUGUUGAGAGAUUGUUUCCUUGCGAAAUCACUGCCAUGCGGACUGAUUAAGGAGGCGAAUACCAAAGACUUCAUUCUUUUCCUUUUUUUGAUAAAAUUGGCAUCUCACACUAUGUUUCCUACCCUCAUGAACAUCAAUAGAAUGAUGCAGCAAGAAUAAAGCACAACACAUUGUAGAAGUUGACCUUGCUCUCCUUGUAUAUGCCUCUGAUCCAUUAAAAUUUUGUUAUGAAUAUUUCCUUGCUACCACAUAUAUCAUAAACCGUAUUCCUAGAAAGGUUAUGCAUAUACAAGGAGUUUUUGCGGCUUACAGUUGGUAUGAUGUGGAUAUGAUGCAAGGUAGAUCAUGGCAGUAGUAGGACAGAUUAGUGAUGCGCGUGUGGCCAUUAUGGAUCAUCGCUAGUGUACACAGGCCAGCGCAAAGAUGUUGCGGGCAUCAUGGCCUGCACAGAUAUGUAUAAGAGCGGCGGCAGUGGCUAGGAUCUCUACCUUGAUGUCAUCGUUGCAGGCGGCAUGGAUGUCAGUUUGGAGAUAGUGUGAACCAGUGGGGUUUCAUGCAGUAAGAUUGAACAACGAUGGGGUAUAGACAAUCCGCAAAAAGAGUGGAUAGUCCGCUGAUCGACGAGCCACGUUGAUUGGAUCAGUAUACACUAUACAACUAUAAGGUAUGUCAUGCAAGUGUGUGGUAGGGCUAGGUGUACAACGGAGCUAUAAGGUUCAACAGGACAUCACAUAAGCUAAUGGAAAUUGUAACUGGUGAACAAGAACAGGUAGAGUUUGGAAGACCAGAUCUCAGGAUGGUGUUGCGGCUCAUUGGCAAGGACAUGAGGCUAUCAACAAUGUUUGGUUAUGGCAUGCAAGGCGACUGAUAAGAGUUAGAUGGUGGUUCAGUGAGUGCUUAGGAGUGACAGAGUCAUAUGGACAGGUUGGCAUGGUCGAGGUGUUGAGCAGCGCAUGGUGGAUCUACUUGUGAUGGAUAGAUUGGAUCGAAUAGUUCUUGGGGUACAUGGGUGAUGGAUAGUUCACUUGGAGGGUGAGCAUUCUGUAGUGUAUGGUGGAGAGACUAGUGGUGACAGGCUGGUCAGACUAUGGGUCAAAGGCGACGACAGGAUCAAUGAUGAUGACGUAGGAGCAUGGUGGCUGAUGGGGUUUUGUUCUCUCUAUGGUGUGGCAACACGCGACAUGAGCUCUGGAUGUAGAUUUGCAUGGGUGGAGUUUGCGAGCUUCCAAAUUAGCAAGGGUUGAGCUGGAAGGAUGUAUAGGCUAUGAUGUAUGUUCUUGAAACUGGAGUAAUUUGGUUGGUCAAUGUUGAAGGAGAUUACGGUGUAAGACGUCAGACGUAGUAUGGCAGCGGUAAUGGAAGAGCCAUUCUAAUAUCACGAUUUCUAUAUGUUACUCAUAUGCGAUAGCUAGAUUCUUAGCAUCAUGUUUACAAUCGACGGAGAUUGUGGUGAUAGAAGAGAAGGGUUCACAGUUGAAGGUGGAGUCACGGAGUUGGAAAUUAUAGGGAUAGCAGUGUUUCUUCAGGCAGCUCAUAAAGUGGCAAAAUGUGACAACUCAAGUUCGGUGUAUAUGGAGGUUCACACAUGAUGACUUCAAGAUGGUGGAAUAUUUGGCAAGGUGAAGUUUGUUAGGUAUUGUGUCAAAUAUUUGUACGAGUCUGGUUACGAUGGGACUUAAGUUGUAUUUAUGAAAGGAUCUUGUGAUGCCUAGGGGGGGUUGAAUAGGCUCACUUCGAAUUUUCCUAAAAAACUCGCAACAGUAUUAGAUCUGUUGGAACUUCCAACGCAGUGCCGGAACUUCUGAUGGAUCGAAACUUCCGGUACUAGAUCGGAACUUCCGAUAAGAUAAAGUGAGCUGAACGAAAUUCAAAACACAACCUGAUUCUGCCAAAAAUAUUUAAAUCAAAAGAUAGUAAAUGAAGCGUAGAUGCUACUCCAGGUGAUAUAUAUGCAAGGAACAACUCAAAUGUAUAGAUCGGCUAAAAACGAGCUUCUAGGCAAGACUUAGAACAAAGAACACAAUAAGCACGUGAGACAAGGAUUUGUUACCAGAGUUCACUCUCACUAAGAGAGCUACGUCUCCGUUGAGGAUCUCACAAAGAGCCGGGUCCUCACUAACCCUUUUACCUCCCUCAAUCAACCACAAAGGAAGAUUGAGUCACUUACUAUGAAUCCACGAAGGAUGGGUGAUACAAAUGUUCCCAGACGCAUCACACAAAGAGGGCGCUCAAACGGGCGACACCUAGCCAUCUAGAAGCGAGCUUCAAGAGUAACAAACGUGAAUCAACGCCAAGGAUGCUUGAGGUGCUCUUGAGAUGAACUCCUUGAACUUCCCACUCAACCCUCAAGUCCCUCACACUCUCAAUCUCACUCUCACCCAAACCCUAGCUGAAGAACUCAAGGAUUAGGCUCAAAGGGGUGAGGAGAGGGAGUAUUCAAUGCUAUGGGAGUGUUUUGGCUCGAGUUAGGUCAGCAGCACUGAAUGGGGGGGCUGAGGAGGUAUUUAUACCCAGCCCCCCAAAAACUAGCCAUUUUAGACAGGUUAUGUACCUGUCGUAACUUCCGACACAGGGUCGGAACUUCUGACAGAGUUAGCUCAGGCGAGCAAAUGAUCCUGUCGGGAGUUUCUAGAAACACCCGACACUUAUCGGAACUUUCGAUGGAGUAUCAGAACUUUCGACACUUUUGAGUUAGACACACAAAGGACCUCUAUCGAGACUAUCUGGAUACUUCUGAUACCCGUCGGAACUUCCGACACACCGUCGGAACUUUCGACAGGCAUAGAAAUGCUGAGGUAAAGGUUGUGUACGUGGGAGAUUUGUGUCUCUCAAAAGGUUAGUUAGCAUCUCAAUAGAGCACCUUAGCAUCUUCAAGCUAUCCAUUCACAUCCUACUUUAUAGUACGGCAUUCCUAAACUCAAAUUCAAAAUUAGAAAUAACAAAAAGAGACUUCUUUUGAGCUUAACGCCGUCUCAGCCUUGCAAUAGGGGCUCUUUGAGAGUCUUUUCAUGCAGCUUUGCAUUCUUUUCAACUUAGUACCUGUUAAUCACUUAAUAAUUGUGUUAGUCCCCUAACUAUGCUAGUCAUCAACACCACAACCCACUUAGGGGGCCAAAUGCACUUACAAUUUAGCAGUACACAGUAAAGUCUGUAUCAAAUUUUGUAACCUGGGUCACCUCAUAAAUAUGAGAGGGGUGAUGCUAUUGUAACCAUAACGAUAGGCUCACUAGAGGGAGGCGGCAUGAUGCUGGGAUCCUAAAGUGGCCGGUGUUGUGAUAAUGGGGAAGAGCGCCCGUAGUCAUGCCCCGGGAUGUACGUUUCGGCCGAACCUCGUCAAUAAAGAUUGUGUGUGCAGUGUCGUAUGUGAUCUUGCAUGUUGGUCUCAGUAAAUCCAAUCAUCACUUCUACAGGUGGAGCGACUCAUCACCGUGAGGGUUUAUUUUCUAAUAGGUACGAUGUAUUCAUCUAAAAGCUAUUUUUUUCUAUAGUUAAUUGUGAGCACUUGAGGCAUCCUAUCCUGAUUCCUCUCUUUCUAUUAUAAUGUGAUACAAAGAAGAAAAUAAAGAAUGAAUAUACAUAUCAUUGUGUUUUAUUACAACAUUGGUUUUCUUUAGGCCAUGCUUAUUACCCCAUCUGUUCUAUGCACCUUAAAUCAUACUCCCUCCAUUCCAAAAUAAGUGUCCGUUUAGAAAAUUUCAGACACAUUAGUAAGGGUGAGAAGUGACCAUAUCACCCCUAGUUAUUCAUAUGAGUUGUGAUUGGAAGCUAUGUUAUCUACUUGAUUUUAUGGAUCAUAAAUAAAUGCACGUGUAUUGGAAUAAGAGAAAUAACAUCAAUUGAUCAUUUGAUUAGCUUUGUGCAGUUUUCCAUACACAUUUUUUUAUUGGUGUGAGUGUUGAUGAACCUUACUAGGAGCUAAAAUAACACUCUUUGUAGGAUUAAUUUUGAAGGCUAAAAGAAGACUUAUUUUGGGGCGGAGGGUGUACAAUGUAACAAAGAAAAUCUGAGCCUCAAAUUUGCGAUCACAAAUUAAAUGUAGCCUAUAGGCUAUAGCAAGGGAUAACUAGAGUGAGUGACAGAAUUUUCAAACAAAUUGCAUCAGAACUCUGCAACAUGCCAUACUUGAAUCCCCUGGAACCCCCAAAUUUUGACUUCAUUUCCAGAAACCAGAAUUAACCACAAUAACCUGGCAUCAGUGUCUCUGCAUCCUCGCCUUCGCUCGAGGCCGUGCUUGAAUUCAAAUGGGGAAGAACAAAGCAUGGAAAUCUUGAAGAACAAAAGGUUGUGAAUAUACAAUAAGUAGUAAGGCCCUGCUAUGUAGAUGUAGAGUACUGGAUUGUGUGUGUAUAUGUAAUGUAACACCUGCUAGACUAUAAACCAAAACACAAUGACCACCACUUCACCGCUAGCUAAAUGGCCCGCCUUGUCAGCCAGAAGAAACUAUGCCUAUGAGGACGGAAUAAUCGAUCAGCAGCCAGCAGACUCACUAGAGUCCAAUCGUACUCCUCCUGUGCAUCGAGCUCAAGUCAUG
Molecule: long non-coding RNA, 130016 nt
Filed under: Setaria italica (foxtail millet)
Lineage: Eukaryota; Viridiplantae; Streptophyta; Magnoliopsida; Poales; Poaceae
Description: long non-coding RNA (SITA_LNC006351)
Rfam family: Small nucleolar RNA Z247 (bases 109824-109962)
Source: RNAcentral